RNAcentral lists this long non-coding RNA (159434 nucleotides) under Vitis vinifera (wine grape). Its description in RNAcentral is "long non-coding RNA (VVIN_LNC002455)". The stretch from base 64255 to 64327 matches the Rfam family "tRNA". Lineage: Eukaryota; Viridiplantae; Streptophyta; Magnoliopsida; Vitales; Vitaceae. The record is from RNAcentral.
CUUGUCCAUCAAUGCAAGUGUUCGUAAUCCCACUUUGCCUCUGCUGUCGAAUCUUACCACAUUAAAAUUGGCUUCUUGCAAGCUCAGAACAUUACCUGAUCUUAGCACCCAGUCAGGAUUGACAUAUUUAGACCUUUCCGAUAACCAAAUUCAUGGAACCAUACCUAAUUGGAUUUGGAAGAUUGGUAAUGGAUCUCUUAUGCAUUUGAAUCUCUCUCAUAAUUUACUGGAGGAUCUGCAGGAACCUUUCUCUAAUUUUACUCCUGAUCUGUCCUCCCUUGACCUACAUUCCAACCAGCUCCAUGGCCAAAUCCCAACUCCUCCCCAAUUUUCCAGCUAUGUGGAUUACUCAAACAACAGUUUCAACUCUUCCAUCCCAGAUGAUAUUGGUAUUUACAUGUCCUUCGCUCUUUUCUUCUCUCUUUCGAAGAAUAACAUCACUGGAAGUAUUCCUAGAUCCAUCUGCAAUGCAACUUACCUGCGAGUUCUUGAUUUUUCUGACAACACUUUGAGUGGCAAAAUACCCUCAUGCUUAAUUGAGAACGGGAAUCUUGCGGUGCUGAAUCUAAGGAGAAACAAGUUUAGUGGCGCUAUACUUUGGGAAUUUCCAGGUGAGUGUCUUUUACAGACCCUAGAUCUCAAUAGAAAUCUUUUACGAGGAAAAAUUCCGGAGUCUCUGGGCAAUUGCAAAGCCUUGGAGGUUUUAAAUCUUGGGAACAAUCGGAUGAAUGAUAACUUUCCUUGCUGGUUGAAGAACAUAAGCAGUUUGCGUGUUCUUGUUCUGCGAGCCAACAAAUUCCAUGGACCCAUUGGAUGUCCCAAGAGUAAUUUUGAAGGGGAUAUACCAGAAGUAAUGGGGAACUUCACAUCACUCAAUGUUCUCAACUUAUCGCAUAAUGGUUUCACAGGCCAAAUCCCAUCGUCAAUAGGGAAUCUGCGACAACUUGAGUCAUUAGACCUCUCGCGAAACUGGCUGAGUGGAGAGAUACCUACACAACUUGCCAACCUAAAUUUCCUUUCAGUCCUGAACCUCUCCUUCAAUCAAUUGGUGGGAAGCAUCCCUACGGGCAAUCAAUUGCAAACAUUUUCAGAAAAUUCCUUCCUGGGUAACAGAGGAUUAUGCGGCUUCCCCCUAAAUGCAAGUUGCAAAGAUGGUACACCACAGACGUUUGAUGACAGGCACUCAGGUUCCAGGAUGGAGAUUAAGUGGAAAUACAUAGCUCCUGAAAUUGGAUUUGUGACAGGGUUAGGAGUCGUGAUCUGGCCUCUCGUGUUAUGUAGGAGAUGGAGGAAAUACUACUACAAACAUGUUGAUGGAAUUCUUUCAAGGAUUCUCCUUGGGCAAGACCAAGGAAGAGCAAAUGGUGGAAGAAGAGCUCACAGAAUUCGGCGGCGGAGAAUGUAGCAGUGGUGAAGAGGGAUGUGGCUACUAGUAAAAGCGUCAUUCCGUGUGUUAAAUGUAAUUCUGGCUUGCUUUUUCAUAAAACAAUCAUAGGAAUUAGAUUUUCAAAGUAAUAUUACUCUUACCUUUUAGUGAUGCAAAUAUUAAGGUCUCUAAAAUAUUAUAUAUUUUAAUAGUUUUAUUUAAAAAAUUUAUAUAUUAAAUAGAAAAUAUAUUUUCCACCCAUGUGCAGAAAAGCUUUUUAUUCACAACUCUAGUGUAUAACCAUGUUAACCCUACCCAAAUUAAAAUUCAAACUUGGGAGAUUCUGGGAGUCACUCAAGCUGGGCUGGAGCAUGGGUUAAGAUGUGUUGGCUGGAUGCGGGCCCAAGUUGGGUUAGGUUAAACUUCGUUGCCUGGAUUUCGGUCAUUCAAAAAUAUGGGCCUGAUUGUUACAAACGAAAGCCAACUGAGAUGGCUAGGUCCAUAUUCAGCCCAAUCAACACUUCCAAAGCCAUAAGGGAUUUAAGAUUGAUAAAUAAGGAGUUGGGUGGCUGCCCAUCUCCACCAUUUAUCAUUUCCAAGAAUCAUUAAACAAUGAUGAGAGUCUGAGAUUUUUUGAAGUAGACAAUGAAUCAAUAUAACCUUCUAUUUUUUAGAUCUUAAUGGAAUUUGAAAACUACUCAUAUUUUUAUGCAAACCAAAAACUUGAAAAAUAAAACCCAAAACCAUCUUCCAAUUGAUCAAAAUCCAUGCCCAAUCUUAUAAAAAUGAAAAAAUAAAUUACUAUUUUUUUUUUAUCUUAUACAUUCACAAUUUAGAUUUAUUUUCAUGUUUUCAUAUGAAAAAGACUAAGAAUGUUAGGUCCUCACAUGAUAAACCUAAUUUUAUAUUUUGUAUAAUCAAUAUAAUCCAAAUUAGACUUAUAUAUAUAUAAAAUAAAAGUUAUAAAAAAAUAAAUGAUUUUAAUGUAACAUUUUUUUAUUUUUUUUUAUAAUUUAAUUUUUAUUUUAUUAUAAGUUAUUAAGGAUAGUGUAAGAUAUUGACAUUAAAAUCAAAUACCUAUAGAUAACGAUAUAAGGUGGUUUUAUGGAAUGUAUAAGAUUAGGAAAUUAGAAUUUACUAAAAGUUUUAUAAAAAUCUUUAUAAAGGAUUAAUUUUUAAAAAUUUAAAUUUAUUGUAUUAUAUAGUUAAUAUUAGGAUUUUUUUUCUAAAAAAUAUCCAUAUGAAAUACCUAUUAAAAAAAAUUAAGUAGAUAGAUGAUUUUAUAGAAAACAUGAGAUUGCUAAAACAUUAUACGGUCAAAGUAUUAAAAAACAAUUUUUUUUUUCUUUUUAUCAACUUUAAGUGAUCUAUAAAUUUUCCUAUGUCUUUAAAAAAUCAAUUAGAAAAAAUAUGAAAAAAAAGAGAAGAAUUGAAAUAAAUAUAUUUAUAAAUUUCAUUAUCUUAUAAAUUUAUAUAUGAAUUAUAAUAAGAUAUAAUACUAUCAAAAAUUAAAGUAAAUUACUUUUAAAAGUUUGUUAUCCUUUACAAUCACAAUUUAGAUUUUAAUACGAAGAAGACUAAUAGUGCAUUUUAUUGGGGAUGAAUUAUUUUCAUCUCCAAUAUUGAGUUUUUACAACAAAACAAUUUCUUUUUCAAUAAAUUUCUUUAUUCCUCCAUCUAAUAGUAUUAGGACAAUAAUUUUGUCCCUCAUUGUGAGGUUUUUCCUCUCCAAACUAUUUAACAAUAAAAUAAUUUUUGUUGUCCAUUAUUUACCUUUUGGGACAACAUUAAGUUUUCAUCUCCCAAUAUAUUUUCUACCACAAAAUAAUUUAGGCUCAAUUCAAUUUCAAUUAAAAUUUUAGAAACAAAUUUUUGUGACAAAAUCAAAUUUUAUCUCCCAAAAUCAUCUUUGGAGAUAAAAUCAUAUUCAUGCCCAAAAAAAUUGUGCCAAAAGGUAGAAUUUCUUGUAGUGGUUUUUCCCGUGCUUUUUGUUUGUUUGUUUUUUUAUUAUCCUUUCAGUUGUGAAUCACUCUUCUUCUAUUAUAUUAUUAUUUUAAAAGAAGUGUCGGCAUCUUUUUGUUCAUAAAAUCUUUUACUUAUGUAAUAUCCUUCUAAAACAAAACAAUAUAUAAUAAAUAACAUUUCAGGUGUGCUUAUUUGGUUUUCUUUCUUAUAGAGACAUGUUGAAAGGUCUUUGUUUUACUGGCGGGUGCUUUGGUCACCUGAAUUAUGGGAAUCUCGUCUUACCUUAUCACCAAUGUAGUGCCUAGCAUCACUAGAAGCGUACGUUGUGCGAAAGACGGUACAAUUCGCUGGUAUACAUGUAAUAUUUAGAUGACUUUUAUUGGUUCAUUAAUGUGGCAAGAAAGAAAUAAUUUGUAUUAAUAUUGAUUGCAUUAGUAUUUAUGUAAUAUUUAGAUUUUUUUUUAAAUAAAAACAUAAAUUAGUAUUAUGCAUUUAUAAUUUUAAAAAAUUUCAAAAUGAUUAAGGAGUUUACCAUAUGAAUGAAUAAAAAUAUAGAAAUCAAAUAUAGUUUGAUAUCUUUACAAAUAGUCUUUAUUUAAAAAUAUUAAAACGUUAUAUAUAUAUAUAUAUAAAUUUUAAUGAAGUGUGAAUCUAAAAAUUGUUUAUAUAUUUAUAAUAUCAACUUAAUUGAAGAAAACAAUCGAUUUAUAAAAAGAAAAAAAAACAAUAACUUUCAAACAAAUUUUUUGUUUUAUUUGUUCUAAAAACUAUUUUUACUAAUUCAAUCAAAUAUGUUUUUUUAAGAACAAAAACUGUUUUUAAAAAUUCAAUUCCUAAAAGCAAUUUUAUUUUUAAAUACAUCAAAAUCUAUUCUAAAAUAAAAAAUAUUCUCAAAAAUUAUUUUCUAGAACUAUUUCCAAAAACACUUUCCAAAUAUGCCCUAAAUAUUCACAAGAUCACAUCAAUAUAGCUCACAAAAAAAUAAUGACCAAAAUAUUCAAGAAAUGAUCCACAUCAACACAUGAAAAAUAGGUACUCACUACCACGGUCUAAUAUCAAUAAAAUAUUUAAUGUCAACAACAUAUCCUUCUCUCCAUUUUUGUCCUAGAAAAGACAAAGGGCCAUUCACCAACUAAAUAUCUAAUAUUCAAACCAAAACAAGUAUGCUCAAUAAAUUCUCCAAUAUCCAAAAAUCAAGUAUUCACAUAUAAACAAGUAUUUACAUUAGCAUCCAAAAAAUUAAUAUGAAACAAGAAUCUCACUCCCACCACAUGGUUUCAACCCAGAACCUUUAGAAAGCUCUCUAUCAUCAUAUAAAUAGAUUCUAAGCUACAAAGAUCUAGCAUGGUUGAAUGCACUCAUAAUAAGCUAGAUCUAACAUAGUUAAGAAUAAAAAAAAAUGAGGAACUCCCCAAGGUAAGAAGAUAUCCUUGUUAGGAUAAAGUCCUUAAAAGAAUGACAUGAUGUAAUAAACUCUUGGAUUUUAUUAUUUAUUGAAUAAAGUUCCAGUUCACUUUUAUUUAUCCUAUUUCCAUGCAUGAUAUUUUGUAAGCACUCUCGCCUGUAUAUUUUUCAUUGUACGUGACUUGGGUGCAUUAAGAGUUGCACGGAAAAUCCAAGUCAUAGGUUUCUUGUAAAUAGAUGACUUGUUUAAAGUCGAUUGAUGGGUUUAGGCGACCCAUUAGAGGUUGUAGUGUACCAUAUCCUAAUUUGAGAGAUGACUGGUCUUGACUAUUGGGAUGAGUUUCCCAUGGUGAGUGUACUAGUGUAUAUGGUUACACAUUAAACAAGACCUAUGGUGAGUCAUGACUUAAGACUAUCAAGUAGUUAUGACUUCACAAAACUACUUCAUUGUGUUGUCUCUCAACCUUGAGAGAAUAUUGAGCUUGUGUUGAAGUUAGUAAUGGCUUUGACCUAUGAGUGAGAUCGUAAGUUGAUUAUAUAUUCCAUAUGAAUUGGGUCAUUAUUGAUGGAAGCCGGUAGUAAUAGGUAUUUUCAAUAGAGACAUUUUUUUUUAUUGAGAAUUAAACUAAUAAAUAGGAACAAUUAAACUAACAAAUUAAAACCACAAACACGUCUAAACAUAAAAGAUAGAUCAAAACUAAACUAAAUCGGAAUUAAAAACAAGAGCUUUUCUAAUAUGAAUAAUUAAACUAACAAAUUAAAAUCACAAACAAAUCUAAACAUAAAAGAUAGAUUGAAAUUGAACUAAAUUGAAAUUAAAAAUCAGAACUUUUCUUAUAGAAAUAAUUAAACUAAUGAAUUAAAAUUGUAAACACGUCUAAACAUAAAAGAUAAAUUAAAACUAAAUCAAAUUGGAAUUAAAAAAUAAACUUUAAUACUUAGAAACCAUUAGAUUAACAAACUAAAAUAAUAAAAAACACCUAAACUAAACAAAUAGAUUAAAACUAAAUUUAAGCAAAUUAAAGUUAUGAACUUGAUCACAUGAAUUAAAAAUAGAACUAAACUAAAAUCUAAACUUUCAUUAUCUUUGCAUGAAUUAAAAAAAUAAACUAAAAUUUAAGCUUUCAAUAUCUCACAUGAAUUAAAAAAAAAAAAAAAGAACCGACUAAGAUUUAAGCUUCCUUAAUUUAAUAUGAAUCAAAAUCAGGGCUAAACAAAAAAUUAAGCUUUUUUAGUUAAAUAUAAAUUAAAAGAAAAUUAACUUACCUUUUCCGAAGAUGAGUGUGAGUUGCGACGUGAUUUUUCAAAGUGCAGGCCUAUGUGUGGUGAUGCAAGAAUGGGUUGUGCAUGCUUUCUGAUGUUAAGAUGUAGCUGUUUUUUUUCUUCAAAAAAUAAAAUAAAAUUGGGUGUUGUUCUUUAAAAAAUGACAAAAUCCCAUGAUCCCCUUUGAUUCCCCCCUUGUGUAGUCUUCUAUUGCCUCCCUUUUAUCUCCUAGUGCCCACAUUUCUUUUAACUCUCCCAAACCAAAAUAUCCUUUUUUUCAAACUUCAUUUUCAAAAUUUAAAAUUUAUCCUCUCUAAUUUCAAAAAGAAAAAAAAAAAAACCAUUUUCCAAUCUAAAACUUAAUAUCCCAUUCUUAAAAAAUAUUCAAGUGUCAACCAUUUCGUUUAAAAAAUAUCUUGAUUUUCCGAUUUAAAAUUAAUCUUUUUUUUUUUUUUUGUUCUUUUUAAAUUCCGAUUUUUCAAUUUUUUUUUAAAAACUAAAUGUCAUUUAAAAAAAAUUAUGAUGUCAUUUUUAAACUUAAUUUCAAACUUAUCCCCUCUCUUUUAGAUAAACAAAUCUAUUUUCCAAUUUAAAACUUAAUCUCUCACUUUUUUUUAAAAAAAAAAAUCUGAUUUUCCAAUUUAAAAAAACUAAAUCUCCUUUUUUUUUAAAAAAAAAAAUUAUGAUGUCAACCCUUUCUUUUCCAUUGGUAAGUUUCCUUGCAAAAAAUCAAAUUUAUUAAAUGAAUAAAUAAAUUAGAAAACAAUAAAACAAUAAUAAAUAAAUAAGUUAAUUCAAAAAAUAAUAAAAAAAGAAGAUAAUAAAUAAAUAAAAAUAAACAAGUGAUUGAUAAUAAUAAUAAUAAAAAUAAAUAGAUAAAAAAUGAGCCACGCAAGGCAUGAAACCAUGCAAGUCAUACAAAUUAAGCAAAGAAUGCCUAAAAGGUGACCUAAGUGUACUUAAUAUGGGCCUAGGUGAACCUAAGUGUGCCUAGAUGAACCUAGGUGAAUCUAAGUGGGCCUAGGUGAAUCUAGAUGGGCCUAAAUGGGCCUAGGUGAGGUAGAUGAGCCAGGUGGGCCUAGGUGGGCCAAGUGAACCUAGAUGUGCCACAUAUGCCUAAGUGAACCUAAGUGGCCUAAAGGUGCUCGGGUGACCUAAAAAGGCCAAGGUGAUCUAAAUGGGCCAAAUGUGCCUAAGUGGGCCUAAGUGACCUAGGGGGCCUAAUGAGUCUCAAUGGGCCUAGGGGUGUCCAAAUGGUCCUAGGUGGGCAUGGUAUGCCUAAAAGGGUCUAGGUGAACCUAGAUGGGCCUAGGGGUGCCUAAAUAGGCUAGGACAUGCCUAAGUGGGCCUAAGUAACAUAAAUGGGCCUAGGUGAACCUAGAUGGGCCUAAAGUGGUGCUUAAUAGGGCCAAGUGUGCCUAAAUUGGCCUAGGUGAGCCUAAGUGGGCCUAGUGUCACGGACUUAGUCGUUCACUAAGCUCAUGCGGCACUUAGGCAAGUCAAGACGCUUGAUCUUGCUAAGUCAGCCUUGCUCCCAAUGCUUAGCUUGCUAGGCUAAGAUGCUCAUGACUCGAAAGCUUAAGAAGCUUAGUAGGCAACUCUUAGAGAAUGGAAGCUCUUAUUACUCAUGGAAGCUCUUAUUACUCAAGGAAGCCUUUACAAGUGCUUUGAAGACUCACUUGCUUGGUUAGAAAGUGAUUUGGGUGGUGUCUUGGCCAAAUGAGGGCCUCACCUAUUUAUAGGUACCAAUGGAACUCUCUGGAACCUUGGAGGGUUCCUUACAAAUCAAGAAUAUUCUAGAACUCCCUACACUAAUCUAUGUACAACCCUAUGUACAAGAAUAUACAAGAGAUCUCUAGAAUUCUCUAGAAAGCCUUGGACUUCUCUCAUGCCUUCCACCAUAGUGUAGAGAUGUGUAGACAUCUCUAGGCAUCUCUAGAACCUUCCACACUCUUCCAACCAAUGUCUUAGUGUAGAUGGCUCCAAGAGUCUCUAGAAGCUUUCCUCCUCCUAUAUAAGCCCAUUGGGAGGGUCAUUUGAAGCAUCUUGUGACACUAGGGUGUCUAAAUGAGCCUAGGUAGACCUAAAAGGCAUCUAAGUGACCUAAGGUGAUCAGGACAACGCCUAAGUGACCUAGAGUGAUAAGGAUAAUGCCUAAGAGACCUAGAGUGAUAAAGAUAGUGCCUAAGUGACCUAGGGUGAUCAGCACAAUUCCUAAGUUACUUAGGAAAAUUGGGAAAGUGCUAAAUGACUUAAACAUGCCUAAGUUUGCUAUCUUAAAAGUGUACUGUAGACCCUCAAUUUUGUCCCUUUAGUACAUGUCUUUAAGUUCGUUUUCAGUGCUUCAAAAUAGUUCCUUGGUGGCCCAUUACUACUCGUACGACUUACCUUUUUCUGAGUCACCUCGGAGACUUUGGUUGAGGGAUUAUUUGAUCCCAUAUUGUGACCCUUGGCAGCCCUAACUUAGACUUAGGUUUUUCUUGUUUUUUUUUUUUUAGGAUAGCUUUUAGAUACACUUGGCCCAUUAGGACACACUCUAGGUCACCUUUAGAUGUUUUUGCAUGGUUUGCAUGGUUGCAUGGCUCGUGUUUUUGCAUGGUUGCAUGACUCAUAUUCUUUUGGUGGUUACAUAGCUCGUAUGGCUUGCAUGUGGUUGAUUUUUUUUAUUUUUGUUUUUAAUUAUUUUUAUUUUUUAUUUUUAUUUAUUUAUUUUAUUUUUUAGAUGUGUGAUUUAAAUUUCUUUUGAUUUUCAAUUUCAUGAUAUUUAUUGAUUUUAAUCUUUAUUCUAUUUUGUCUUUAUUUUAUUCUUAUUUCUAUUUGUAUCUUUGUUUAUUUAUUUAUUUAUUUAUUUUUUGGGCAUGAGGAAACGGACCGCCAUUUAUUUGGAAGGAAAAUCAACAGAAUUUUGAAAAGAGGAGAUUUUAUUUUUAGAGGGACAACACAUAUACUUCUUCCAUAGGGGGAUCGGCUACAAGAAGGAAAGAAAAGAAAGAAAGGAAAGAAAGGAGAAAAGGAAGUAGGAUUUUCCUUUUCAGCAAGAUGGUUUCUUUUUGAAAAGUGGGACUGGCAGCACGCAUAGAAAAAGGGAUUUUUUUUUAAGAAAACCAGGGGCACGCAUUGGAGAAAACGGUUGAAGAGGAGAAGAAGAAGGAAGCACAAGAAAACCAGUGGAGAUUUUCUGAGGAUAGAAACCAGUGCAGAUUUUUUUUAUUUGUCAGAAGUAAGCAUUCCCAGGGGGGGGGAUUCUUUGGAUUGCUUUGGGUGAGAAGAACAGGGACUAAGGUACACGAGUUUCUAAAGGAUUUGGGAGAAGGAAUCAUAUCUAGAAGAAAGGAAUUGAGUCAAAGCUGCCGGGUAUGCUUCUUGCUACUUUUUUAUUCCCGUUUACAUUCAAUACUCCAUGAUCCUCUGACCAUUUUUGAAUAUUCAAUCUUUGCUGAUUGGUGUGGACGGUAGGUCCACAAUUAGUUCUAUUGAAAUUGGUUGUUUCUUUGUUUAUUUAAGACUUUCGUUCUUUUCAAUGUCAUUAAUUUCUUAUGAGAAUAAUAUGCAUUUGGGUCAGUCCUUGAUUCUGAUGAUGGAAAUCCUACCUUGUUCACGUUGAAAAUCUGUUUUAAAUCACUCCUCUAUUCUAAGCCAAUGGAUUGAAAUAUGAAAUUGUGGCUUUUCUUGGUUAUUUUCCUCUUCUUUCUGUGUUUCUUUUUUUUGUUAUUUUCUUCUAUUUCUGGCCCACACCUCAACCAGCCCUAUUCCCGAUCUUCAAGAUUUAUUAACGUUGAUUCAAAAAUUUUUGGAACUAUGGAAGAGAAUUUAGGAAAUAAAGAGGUUCUUGAGAACUGUUCUAGUGAGCUCGCUUUCUGCUAGCCGUCUGCAUGGGGAUGUUGUAAUUGGGGAGCUUUUGGCUAAAUGGCUUCUGAAACUUCAGCCUGUGACUACUUCUCCUUAUGUGUUAUUAUCAAACUUGUAUGCUUCAGAUAGGAAGUGGGCAAAUUUAAAGAACCUGUCAUCAGCAGGCAACAGUUUCUUUGGCCCAACUACAGACUCAACUUCGAGGUUAGAAUCAAUCCAGUCUUUAGAUUUCAGUUGCAAAUCCUUUUCUGGUGAUAUGGCAGCAUCAUUGACUGUUGAGUCUGAUAUGGAAUACAAUUGGAAUGCCAACAUUGAGAUAUUUGGAAGAAGAGGUCCUGCUCCCGGAGUUAGACUUGGUGGGGUGCUUGGCGACUCACUUACCAGAGUUGCAAGAAAGCAAGCAGAUGCACUUUUGUUUGCAGAGGCCAGGAAACAGAGUCUUGAUUCUUUGAAAAGAGAAGAUGGCAUUUUUGCUAUAGAAGGAAAAGAUUACAGCUCAAGUUACUAGAAGUGGACAGAGGCAAAAGAUAUCAGUAUAUGAUCUAAUUCCAGGUGAUAUUGUUCAUCUUUCCAUUGGAGAUCAGGUCCCAGCUGAUAGACUUUUUGUUUUAGGAUUUUUCUUUGUCGAUAAAUGAGUCCAGUUUGACAGGAGAAAGUGAGACGGUUCAUAUGAAUUCUGAGAAUCCUUUUUCUCUUGUUCGGAACUAAAAUUCAGGAUAGGUCAUGCAAAAUGCUUGUGACUACUGUUGGGAUGAGAACCCAAUGGGGUAAAUUGAUGGCAACUCUUAUGAAGGAUGAUAAGCCUACUGCAUCAAACUAUCUGUCCAUAGCUGCACUGCCAGUGGGAGAGACAAGGAAGGAGAUGGAUUUAAUACUUCAAAAACGGAGCAUUUAGAAGUUCGGAUGGAUCUUACAGAUGACUUAUUGCACAUGGUUUCCUUUUCUUGGACUAUAUUAAUCUUCGUCGAGCUGCUACAGUCUGUAAGUAGUGGCGAGCUGGUAGUUCUCAUGAAGACUUCUGGAGGUGUCUGAAUCUCGAAAAUUAGAACAUAUCUGAAGAACAGUUUGAGGAUAUGUGCCGUAGAUAUCCGAAUGCCACUGAAGUGAAUAUUUUUUUUGGUGCUCCUUCAAUUCACUCGCUGGUUAUGACAGCAAUAUCUUCUUUAAGGAAUCUGGAGAUCUUAACCUUGGGGAAAGGAACAUCAGGUGAUGCAAUUUUAUUUUAUUUUUAGCCUUGGCUGAUUGUUAUAUACUAAAGAGACUUGAAGCAGUUGAAUUCUCGAAUGCCCUGUACAAGAGCUUUUUGGACGAAGACCUGAUUUGACCAGAGAAGCUUUACUCCAGGACAUGUUUUCAAAUGCAAAAAGACCACAGCAAGACGAUUGCAUCUGGCCAAAGAGUUGCUUACUUUUCUUGUUGAAGCUCUAAAGUCUUUUGCUGAGACCAAAGAAGGGACUUCUGAAAAGGUGCUCCAGUUCUGUGGAGAAAGUGCAGAUCCUAAUGUCCAAACCUCUCAGUUUGUUUCCAUGAGAUGAAGGAAGAGGUGCAAGUCAAGAUUUAGUCUUGCUGCAAUUUCUGAUGUCGAAACUGCCAAUAAUUCUGCCAGCCUACAGAAAAUUCCAAUAUCUGUUUUGAAUAUUGAUGAAAAAUACAUUGCAUCAAGGUUUUGCUGUAAUCUGGAGAAGUCAUUAUCACCAUUAUUUAAGGAUGCAGCAUACAGAGAUUUUGACCUCAAUUUAUCACUCAAUUGGCAAGAGAUCGUAAGUGCCUUUGAUAACUGAUCAGUGGCUGUUUGAGGCGCCAAGUAUGUGACUAAUGAUUAUGUAUCAAUGACAGAACUGACUUCAUAGGCUACCUACAGAAUUUAACAAAGAAAAGAAAGUCGGGAGAGAAAUCUGAUGUUGAAUUCAAUGGCAAGUCCAAAGGAAUUCAGUGGCUGUUUAAGAUGACUUUUAUGGAUGAGUUCAGUAGAGAAUUGAAAAGAAUUCAAGUGGUUGCAUAUGUGGGUGAGACUCAAUUGCGUUAACGGGUACUCUUGAUGGCAGAAAUUCGAAGGGAAUGGGGAAAGCUCAUUAACACAUUGGGGAUCUGCACAUGUUCUGGCUGCUUAACUUGAUGAUCAGUUUUAUGGUGACAUUAUGAAGAAUCUAAUUGAAACAGUGGAGGAUCUUGUCAGAUGGGGGAUUUAUACAGGGCGUUUUGGACAUCAUAACAACAGGGGUUGCAGAUUAUGUAGUUAGAAGUGUCAUGGCCUGUGACAGUUCUGUUUUAACGCCAUGAUAGAGAAGAAGAUCCUUUUAGUUGUGAAUGUGGGAGCAUUGGAUAUGGUGAAUUCUGAAGCCAAGAUUACCAUACUUUCUCAUUUACUGAACAGAAAUAUUCAUGUACACAAUGAGCAAGUAUCUCUUAUUCGAACAUAUAUGUAAAAAGUCCAAAAGCUUCAAUGUUUUGACCAAAUCAAAUGCUUUUGUUUCUCCAUCAUCAGAGGCGUUGACUCUUAGAAGAAGGCGCACUCAUGAACAGCAGCUUGAAUUCCAUGUCACAGAGGUUUUGGAAGAGGCUCGAAUCAUUGAGGCUAAGCACAAAAGAUUGUUGGAUUAUCUGCUGGUGCAUUACUUUUGGAGUAUCACAUAAAAUCUCACUGGGAUUUUGUCCUAUGGAAAUCAUUAAACGGCGAUAACAAGUCAAGCUGGAGUUUAUCUGCGAGUUGAUGAACUCAUUGAAAUUGCCAAACUCCUUGGAUUGAAUUCUCAGGGUGAUGUAUCAGCUGCUGAAGUUGUUGUUGCUGGUGAUCUGCAAUUGGCAUUUGAUCUCUGCCUUAGUUUGGCAAAGAAAGGACAUGGUCCCAUUUGGGACUUAUGUGUUGUUAUGGCAAGGGGUCCUGCUCUUGAAAACAUGGGUAUAAACUCUCAAAAGCAGCUACUGGGUUUUGCCUUGAAUCAUUGUGACGAGGAAUCCAUUGAUGAACUGCUACACGCAUGUGAAAUCUAUGUUGUUGCACUGCUGGUGAUGUUGAACCGAGGGAAUAAAGAGUACAGGUUUAGGGAUUACUCCAACUGACUCCAUAAUCAUUUGGUGAAUGACAAGAACCAGGGCUGGAUCAAGAAUUGUUUGAUAGAUAUCAACAUUUGUAGUUGCCUCGGGAAAGAGAUAAAUGACGAUGUUGCUACAUUCCAUAGGAAGAAUUUGUUUCCAAUCCAGUCGAGUCACAACAAACCAACAGCCUAAUGUUCCUAACGUUGUGUAGAUCCCAUGGAAGAGGCACAUCCUGAAGAGCAUGAUGAGUUUACUGAGAAUGGUAAUGGUAAGGAAAAAGAUUCCAACAAUCCGGCAGAUGAAAGUUUUGAAGAGAUAGAAUCUGGACAAGUGGAUGGAAAAUUUGAGAGGGAUGAUCUGGGAAGGGUAAUGAAGACAAAGCUGACAUGGAUUUAGAGGCACCAAGGAAAGGUGUCUUGGGAUCUGAAAAUUCUAACUUCAUUAGUGAUCAUAUGUUCAAUGCAAAAUCUGUGACGCAAUCAAAGGAUGACAUGCAGGCUGCAAAUUCAAGAAACGUGACACCAGAAACCCUUUUUGCCUUCUCAAUUCUCAUGUUGGGUGCAAUUUCAAAGAGUAUUGCUACUUCUUUGACAUAUCUAGCAAUUAGGUGUAAGAUCAUGGUUCAAGCAGCAGAUCCAAAUGACGGUGAAGCCUAGAAAGCUCCACAGAAAUCCCACAAAAUAGUACAUGAUGUUCUCUAUGUUAUUUGGAAGAGAGAAGGUGGACCGGGGUUCUUUAAGAAAUUGCAAGCUUAGAUCCUGAAAACCGUACUAAACUCAGCAUUGCUUUUGAUGAUCAAGGAGAAAAUUGUAGCAGGCAUUUGAGUACUAAUACUUGCAGCCAUCCCCAACUAAGCAAGAGCCGGAAUUGUUAUUUCUUGUUAAUUUCUACUGUCACCCAUGAUCAAAUGAAGCCUUUAAGCUCUCUUCUAGCAAUGUCUUUGAUAUUAAAUACCCACCAGAAUCCCCAUUCAGUAACUGCUUCAAUUUGAGCUCAUGGAUCCGAGGAAAACAUGGAUAGGGAAAAUUGGUUAUGCCAGGGUCCGUAUUUCUCAAGAGCAAUCCAAGUUUGCUGGGAUUCUUCAUCCCUCAUUGGAAGUCACCAAAACUUUGAACNNNNNNNNNNNNNNNNNNNNNNNNNNNNNNNNNNNNNNNNNNNNNNNNNNNNNNNNNNNNNNNNNNNNNNNNNNNNNNNNNNNNNNNNNNNNNNNNNNNNNNNNNNNNNNNNNNNNNNNNNNNNNNNNNNNNNNNNNNNNNNNNNNNNNNNNNNNNNNNNNNNNNNNNNNNNNNNNNNNNNNNNNNNNNNNNNNNNNNNNNNNNNNNNNNNNNNNNNNNNNNNNNNNNNNNNNNNNNNNNNNNNNNNNNNNNNNNNNNNNNNNNNNNNNNNNNNNNNNNNNNNNNNNNNNNNNNNNNNNNNNNNNNNNNNNNNNNNNNNNNNNNNNNNNNNNNNNNNNNNNNNNNNNNNNNNNNNNNNNNNNNNNNNNNNNNNNNNNNNNNNNNNNNNNNNNNNNNNNNNNNNNNNNNNNNNNNNNNNNNNNNNNNNNNNNNNNNNNNNNNNNNNNNNNNNNNNNNNNNNNNNNNNNNNNNNNNNNNNNNNNNNNNNNNNNNNNNNNNNNNNNNNNNNNNNNNNNNNNNNNNNNNNNNNNNNNNNNNNNNNNNNNNNNNNNNNNNNNNNNNNNNNNNNNNNNNNNNNNNNNNNNNNNNNNNNNNNNNNNNNNNNNNNNNNNNNNNNNNNNNNNNNNNNNNNNNNNNNNNNNNNNNNNNNNNNNNNNNNNNNNNNNNNNNNNNNNNNNNNNNNNNNNNNNNNNNNNNNNNNNNNNNNNNNNNNNNNNNNNNNNNNNNNNNNNNNNNNNNNNNNNNNNNNNNNNNNNNNNNNNNNNNNNNNNNNNNNNNNNNNNNNNNNNNNNNNNNNNNNNNNNNNNNNNNNNNNNNNNNNNNNNNNNNNNNNNNNNNNNNNNNNNNNNNNNNNNNNNNNNNNNNNNNNNNNNNNNNNNNNNNNNNNNNNNNNNNNNNNNNNNNNNNNNNNNNNNNNNNNNNNNNNNNNNNNNNNNNNNNNNNNNNNNNNNNNNNNNNNNNNNNNNNNNNNNNNNNNNNNNNNNNNNNNNNNNNNNNNNNNNNNNNNNNNNNNNNNNNNNNNNNNNNNNNNNNNNNNNNNNNNNNNNNNNNNNNNNNNNNNNNNNNNNNNNNNNNNNNNNNNNNNNNNNNNNNNNNNNNNNNNNNNNNNNNNNNNNNNNNNNNNNNNNNNNNNNNNNNNNNNNNNNNNNNNNNNNNNNNNNNNNNNNNNNNNNNNNNNNNNNNNNNNNNNNNNNNNNNNNNNNNNNNNNNNNNNNNNNNNNNNNNNNNNNNNNNNNNNNNNNNNNNNNNNNNNNNNNNNNNNNNNNNNNNNNNNNNNNNNNNNNNNNNNNNNNNNNNNNNNNNNNNNNNNNNNNNNNNNNNNNNNNNNNNNNNNNNNNNNNNNNNNNNNNNNNNNNNNNNNNNNNNNNNNNNNNNNNNNNNNNNNNNNNNNNNNNNNNNNNNNNNNNNNNNNNNNNNNNNNNNNNNNNNNNNNNNNNNNNNNNNNNNNNNNNNNNNNNNNNNNNNNNNNNNNNNNNNNNNNNNNNNNNNNNNNNNNNNNNNNNNNNNNNNNNNNNNNNNNNNNNNNNNNNNNNNNNNNNNNNNNNNNNNNNNNNNNNNNNNNNNNNNNNNNNNNNNNNNNNNNNNNNNNNNNNNNNNNNNNNNNNNNNNNNNNNNNNNNNNNNNNNNNNNNNNNNNNNNNNNNNNNNNNNNNNNNNNNNNNNNNNNNNNNNNNNNNNNNNNNNNNNNNNNNNNNNNNNNNNNNNNNNNNNNNNNNNNNNNNNNNNNNNNNNNNNNNNNNNNNNNNNNNNNNNNNNNNNNNNNNNNNNNNNNNNNNNNNNNNNNNNNNNNNNNNNNNNNNNNNNNNNNNNNNNNNNNNNNNNNNNNNNNNNNNNNNNNNNNNNNNNNNNNNNNNNNNNNNNNNNNNNNNNNNNNNNNNNNNNNNNNNNNNNNNNNNNNNNNNNNNNNNNNNNNNNNNNNNNNNNNNNNNNNNNNNNNNNNNNNNNNNNNNNNNNNNNNNNNNNNNNNNNNNNNNNNNNNNNNNNNNNNNNNNNNNNNNNNNNNNNNNNNNNNNNNNNNNNNNNNNNNNNNNNNNNNNNNNNNNNNNNNNNNNNNNNNNNNNNNNNNNNNNNNNNNNNNNNNNNNNNNNNNNNNNNNNNNNNNNNNNNNNNNNNNNNNNNNNNNNNNNNNNNNNNNNNNNNNNNNNNNNNNNNNNNNNNNNNNNNNNNNNNNNNNNNNNNNNNNNNNNNNNNNNNNNNNNNNNNNNNNNNNNNNNNNNNNNNNNNNNNNNNNNNNNNNNNNNNNNNNNNNNNNNNNNNNNNNNNNNNNNNNNNNNNNNNNNNNNNNNNNNNNNNNNNNNNNNNNNNNNNNNNNNNNNNNNNNNNNNNNNNNNNNNNNNNNNNNNNNNNNNNNNNNNNNNNNNNNNNNNNNNNNNNNNNNNNNNNNNNNNNNNNNNNNNNNNNNNNNNNNNNNNNNNNNNNNNNNNNNNNNNNNNNNNNNNNNNNNNNNNNNNNNNNNNNNNNNNNNNNNNNNNNNNNNNNNNNNNNNNNNNNNNNNNNNNNNNNNNNNNNNNNNNNNNNNNNNNNNNNNNNNNNNNNNNNNNNNNNNNNNNNNNNNNNNNNNNNNNNNNNNNNNNNNNNNNNNNNNNNNNNNNNNNNNNNNNNNNNNNNNNNNNNNNNNNNNNNNNNNNNNNNNNNNNNNNNNNNNNNNNNNNNNNNNNNNNNNNNNNNNNNNNNNNNNNNNNNNNNNNNNNNNNNNNNNNNNNNNNNNNNNNNNNNNNNNNNNNNNNNNNNNNNNNNNNNNNNNNNNNNNNNNNNNNNNNNNNNNNNNNNNNNNNNNNNNNNNNNNNNNNNNNNNNNNNNNNNNNNNNNNNNNNNNNNNNNNNNNNNNNNNNNNNNNNNNNNNNNNNNNNNNNNNNNNNNNNNNNNNNNNNNNNNNNNNNNNNNNNNNNNNNNNNNNNNNNNNNNNNNNNNNNNNNNNNNNNNNNNNNNNNNNNNNNNNNNNNNNNNNNNNNNNNNNNNNNNNNNNNNNNNNNNNNNNNNNNNNNNNNNNNNNNNNNNNNNNNNNNNNNNNNNNNNNNNNNNNNNNNNNNNNNNNNNNNNNNNNNNNNNNNNNNNNNNNNNNNNNNNNNNNNNNNNNNNNNNNNNNNNNNNNNNNNNNNNNNNNNNNNNNNNNNNNNNNNNNNNNNNNNNNNNNNNNNNNNNNNNNNNNNNNNNNNNNNNNNNNNNNNNNNNNNNNNNNNNNNNNNNNNNNNNNNNNNNNNNNNNNNNNNNNNNNNNNNNNNNNNNNNNNNNNNNNNNNNNNNNNNNNNNNNNNNNNNNNNNNNNNNNNNNNNNNNNNNNNNNNNNNNNNNNNNNNNNNNNNNNNNNNNNNNNNNNNNNNNNNNNNNNNNNNNNNNNNNNNNNNNNNNNNNNNNNNNNNNNNNNNNNNNNNNNNNNNNNNNNNNNNNNNNNNNNNNNNNNNNNNNNNNNNNNNNNNNNNNNNNNNNNNNNNNNNNNNNNNNNNNNNNNNNNNNNNNNNNNNNNNNNNNNNNNNNNNNNNNNNNNNNNNNNNNNNNNNNNNNNNNNNNNNNNNNNNNNNNNNNNNNNNNNNNNNNNNNNNNNNNNNNNNNNNNNNNNNNNNNNNNNNNNNNNNNNNNNNNNNNNNNNNNNNNNNNNNNNNNNNNNNNNNNNNNNNNNNNNNNNNNNNNNNNNNNNNNNNNNNNNNNNNNNNNNNNNNNNNNNNNNNNNNNNNNNNNNNNNNNNNNNNNNNNNNNNNNNNNNNNNNNNNNNNNNNNNNNNNNNNNNNNNNNNNNNNNNNNNNNNNNNNNNNNNNNNNNNNNNNNNNNNNNNNNNNNNNNNNNNNNNNNNNNNNNNNNNNNNNNNNNNNNNNNNNNNNNNNNNNNNNNNNNNNNNNNNNNNNNNNNNNNNNNNNNNNNNNNNNNNNNNNNNNNNNNNNNNNNNNNNNNNNNNNNNNNNNNNNNNNNNNNNNNNNNNNNNNNNNNNNNNNNNNNNNNNNNNNNNNNNNNNNNNNNNNNNNNNNNNNNNNNNNNNNNNNNNNNNNNNNNNNNNNNNNNNNNNNNNNNNNNNNNNNNNNNNUUAUGGAAUCAAGUCAUGCGAAAUUGAUUAGGGCUUUGGUGGGGGCCCAACAUUCAUAACACUCACUUCAAUACUGUUUGCUUGAUAUGAUGAUUUUUUAUUCUUCUUGAUGAAAUACAUGAAUUCACUUUAUAUCUAUUGUUGAGAUACCCCUGUUCCCAUAGACGUGUGGAUGCCCACUAAUCAGGUACGCUCUCUUUACCUCCCAACUCUAAAAUUCUAUGAAUAUGUAUGUUAUCAUGAACCAUGACCAUGUUUGAUGUCAUAAUUGAUUGUCUUGAUGCUUGUUUGAUCAUCUUUGAUAAAAUACAUAUAAUGUGUGUUAUACUUCUAUACUAACUCUGAUGUUUUAUGAUAGCGCUUGAAGAGCGGUUCAGGUACGCACCCUAACUCUCUGUUUUUGUGAUUUGAUCUUGUUUAGCAUGCAAAUCUUUUGAAAUCACCUAGCCUACUUAGGUAUCCAUAACUAACCGAUUAAUUGCCAUAUUCCCCUUAACUUAGUCAAUAGAGACCUCUUUAGGGCUUAGAGGGGUGCUACCUCCUAGAGGUACCUUCCCAAUAAGUAACCUGAUCCCCGGACCAAGACUUGGGUUUUCAAAGACACGCUUUUCCAAAAAUUAUGGAGUCAUUUUUUUUAGGGUUUUAUUUCUUGUUUUAUUUUCCCUUCAAAAAUAAAAAAUAAAAUAAGUGGCGACUCCAACUUUUUUUAAAAUUAAUUUUUCACAAAUAAAAAGCGAGUCUCGCCGAUCGAGUGGGGACGCACGUGAAAAAUGCGGGUCCACAUGUACCUAAAUGAGCUAUCCUAAAAAAGAAAGGAAAAUCCUAGGUUUAACUCGGGGCUGCUAGAGUCACAAUGAGGGGCCAGAUAAAUUUUUCGACCAGAGUCUCCAAGGUGGCUCGAAAGCUAAGUUGUACAAGUAGUAUGGGGUAUCAGAGGACUAUUGUGAAGUACUAAAAGAGCAUCUAAUAGGGCAUGUACUAAAGGGACAAAAUGGAGGGUUUACAAUAUUACUCUAAGAAAUAACAUGUUUAGAAGAAAGUGAUUUGUUGUCCAGGUGUUGAUCAAGUUCAUGUUUAGGUAGUUUUUGAGGAAUAAAAGAGUUUCUCCUUUUAGGCAUGCAGCUUAUGGAUUUAUACAAUACCUUUCAUAUUAGUCUGUGAAACUUUUUAUGACAACUAGUUAGUUGACUAUGAUUGUGAAUCUUUGGAAUGGAAAACUCUUCCUUUUACUAGAGGAAUGGAGCUUGGUGAUGUUGUCUACAUAACCACUGACACUCAAAGGGGUUUUGAAGUGCAAAUCUUUGAAAAAAUGAAAGGAUUGGGAUUAUAGGCACUUUAAAAAAAUUCAGAAAGUAUAUUCAGUUCGCCCCACACUAAUAGCUUGGUAUUGCCUAGAAGCUCUUCAGAUAUGGCAAGCUUGAAGAAUAAAGCAUUUUUGGGUAUUGGAUAUAGUAAAAGGCAAAGAUCCAAAGUGUUUGUUUCAACGCCAAUAAGGAAAGGCCACCUUCGAUGCACAGUCCUAGACAACCCUACGGUUGUCCCUCUUCUGGUCAAGUUCAAGAUUACCUUGCUACUAGUUUUCUUUUCCAUAGGCAUGGCCACCUUCUGCCCUUCAGUGGUGCACUGCUUUACAUACAGUGCUCCUAUUCUCCGACAAAUCCGAUCCACCUUGGGGCAUACAUAUGGAAUUUUGAUAAAUGGGGCUCAGAUUAUUGCCUGAAAUGGCACAAUGAGAUGAGUUGUGGGAGUUCCUUCUACUAAGGUGAUAUUCAUUCGCUCAAAAUGGGUCAAAUCUCAUCCUUAGACUUGGUAUCUAGCACCUAUCAGUCUCUAUUCCUUCUACUCCUAUACCAACACUAAGCAAAUAUUCAAUAUACAAAAGACAAUCCUCUUCCUAGGGUCGCAAUUCUGGGAUAGAAAUACAUGUUUCCAAAAAUGAGAAACUACUGGUAGAGUUAGGCAAGAACGAGGCUUUAGUUGCAGUACUACAAGUGGAAAUUGAUGACUUGGAUAGAAGUUCCUUUAUUAUCUAGACAUGAGAGAUUGAAGUUCGAGAUACAAAAGGAGUCUUAUGAAGUUCUUAGACAAAUAGGCUGACAAUAAUUCUAUAAUUUCAGUUUUGCAAGUUAAAAGUGCCAACUUGGGUAUGAAUCAUGCAUUGUAAAGUUCAAAAUUUCCUUUUAUUUGGUGGACCAUAUCCUAUCUCAUCAGAUAUCCUUUCUUCUUAGAUGAAGUAAGAGCUUGAAUAAUCAGUAUCCAUUUGAUCUUCACGUCUUUGCUCCCCAUCCAAAUCACUGUAACAUUUUGCAUCUAUAACCAUACAACAGAAAUGCCCAUAAGAAUAGUGGAUCUUGUUGGUUCAGAUGCAAUGGGCACAUCAUGCUUAUUUAUGAGAAGAUGCUUGAAUCUGCUAGAAAAAACCUCAUCAGAAAAUAGGUCCAUCUAAUUUAGAUGGUCAUGGCUCUUAGACCAUUAAACCGGAGACAAUUCAAUGAGCAUUUAAAAUAGUUUCUACAAAGUCUAUCUAGCCUAAGGAAGCUCACCUUCAUCAGUUCAUGGACAUGAAAAUGGCAUCUAAAGACAUGAUGUGUUUCUUUUUUCACCUAAUUAAUAGUUCAGGUAAGAUUUGACAGGACUUCAAGAAUAACAAGUGUGAAAUGGGGGCUUUAGACUUGGAAUUCUGGGCAGAUAAAGAAAUCAUUGACGAGCAAGGAAACUUUUCAUUCACCAGCAUGAAAUAUCUUUCGCAUGGUUCUACUUAUGAACACCAUAUAGACCUGCAUUUUUCACGUGCAUUCCUACUCGUACGGCGAGACACGCUUUUGAUUAAGGUGAUUUUGUAUUUUUGUAUAAACUUGGAGUCGCUACUUAUUUUUAUUUAUUUUUUAAAGGGGAAUAUAAAGUAAGAAUAAAACCCCCAAAAGGACUUGAUUUUUGGAAAAGCUGUCUACAAAAAACCCAAGUCUGGGUCUAGAAAUCUGGUUAAUUGGGAAGGUACCUCCAAAGAAGUAAUAACCCUCUAAGCCCUAAUGAGGUCUUUACUAGCUGAGUUGAGGAAAAUAUGACAAUGAAUUAGUUGAUUAUGGAUACUUAAAUGGACUAAGGUGAUUUCAAAACUCUAUUAACACUAGCAUGUCAAACAAGAAUUCACAACACAAUCAUAAAGAAAAGAUUGUAUUGCAUACCUUAACCACAACUUAAGCACUAUCGCAAGACAUCAAUGGUUAGUUUGGAAAAUAAAACACACAUCAUGCAUUUUACCCUAGUCUCCUAAUCAAACAUGGUAAGUCAAACAAAUAAUAAAAAAGAUAUGCUAAAUAUGUUAAUGAUCACAUACAAAGCAAUACAUAAUAAUCACAUACAAAGCAAUACAUAAUUUAUGAAAUUAAGAUGUGAAGGUAAGAUGAGUACCUAAAUAGCAUAGAUAACUCAUAAUGUGCUUCAACAAGAUAUGGAGGGUUAAAUCAAAAUUAUAGUAAUAAAUAAUAAAAGAAAGAAAUCCUAGCAUGCUUGGUAUCUAAAUAGCAUAAAAAAAACGAUUGGAGUAUACAAAAUCAUCAAUUAUGACAUAUAUCUUGCACAUAAUUCCUAAAAAAAUUGAUGGUUAUGAUUACAACAAGUAGCAAAAGUGGACGCAAAGAUAAGUUUUGAAAACAAUCUUUUAUGUAGGGGUUCCAUCAAAUCCUCAUUCAAUAUCCAUAAGUUUAACUUGUGUAUUGCCAUUAGCUUAGGAGCACAAGUUCAAAUCUAUGUGAAUAAAAACAAAAUUUUGAGAACCAAUAAAGGUGAAUGCAACUUAGAUUGAAAUAAGUUGCAUAAUGUCCAAAGAAAAUGUGUUCUUUGCCUAAAUCUAGAAUGAAUGUUUUUCUAAAGCUUUUUAUUGAUUUAAAUACUUUUGAAAACAAUUUAGAGAGAACAAAAGAAACCAAGUGAUUUGAUAAAUCCCAAUCUACACAAAAUAGGUAUUUUUGAUUUCUUUCUUAAAAGAAAUUGAAAACAGCAAAGGUCAACUUGGAUAACUUUUUUGUCUACCUUUCAUUUGGGUUCAAGGAACCAAAUUCAUGUUGGAGAAAAAUUCAUUUUAAAACUUUUUUCAAAUAUGCAUACCAAAUAAAAUUGGUUGCAUGAAUUUUGGAAAAUUGACAUUUCUUUAAUUAAUUGAUCUAGGAUUAAUUUUAAAAUGAAGUUAGAAGAUUAAUUUGGCAAAAUAAAAAAAAAAGUUGAAAACAAUUUUUAAAAAAUAUUAAAACACAAAAUCUCAAACAUGAACUAUUAAGAAAGAGUGUAAGUGUGUAUUUGUGAAUUUUCUAGUGUGCCAAUGUGAAACUCAAGUGUCCUAAAUAUGAACCUAAGGUGCAACUGUAUUUAAAACUAUUGUGUCUUAAUUUAAGUGUUAAAUUAUGAUCCAAAACUGUCCUAAGUAUAAACAAUUAAUCGACCUCGAUAAUCAUCCACUAAUAUGCCAGUAACCAUUAAUAUUAUUCCAUUUCCUAUAUUAUCAUCCAUUGAUUUAAGAAAACACCAAGCAUCAUAAUACAUCUGUAGACAUAAAAAAAUUAGUGGAUUAAAUUACCACUAAUUUGGUCUUCUAAAAAAAAAAAAAAAAAUCUUAUGGAUAAGUCUCUCUCAUCUCCAACUAUAAAAAAAAGAUAAUAAUAAUAAUAAAAAUUAUUAUUAUUAUUAUUAUCUUCUUGGUAAAACCUCCCGGAUAAGAAAAUUUGCUAAAAUUAAGGAACUAAAUCCCUUGAAUUAAGCAACUAAAAUUGGGGAUUCUGAAAUUCAAAUUCCCUAUCUUCACCUAUAAAUAGAGGUGUCUUCCAUCAAGAUGGGGGAGAAAAAAUUCUAGAGGGAAAAAAAAGGAGAAAAAUCUAGAUAGGAAAAUCCUAAGGAGAAAAUCCAAAGGUAACUACUCCGUAUAGGGGAAGGGGCUUCACAACAAUAGGGAGCUUCAUCAAAUAUCCUUGCAAGUUCAAUAAACGGCAAAAGAACUAAUACAAUCGUUCUUUGUCAUUCAACAAGGUCAUUCGAGAAUAAGCCAUUUGUGGCCCUCGAUUGAUCUCUGAAAUAAAAAAAACGUCAUCGUCGUCUUCCGAAGUGUGAUCAAGUCAAAAGAAUCAGAGAGAAAAAUAUUCUUUUGGAAAGAAUAUUAUUUAUUUCUGAGAUUGUACCCGCACUACAUUUUUAAAUUUAAUAAAUCGUUUGUUCGCAUUAAUUUUCCUAUUUUAUUUUGUUAAUUUUUACAGGAUAAAAUUUUACGAAAUUUGUGCGUACAAAUUUCUGGCACGCCCGGUGGGACCUUUCUGUCUCUCAUCUCUUUUGUUAGAAGAUUGAUCUCUACUACGUCGAUGGCACCCAAAAGAACUCAAGUCGUGCAUGACAACAAGGGCAAUGAUAAGAUCGUCAUUGCACAAUCAACACAUGACACCGCUACGGGCCCUAUGACUCGUAGCAAAGGAAAAUCAACAUCUUCACUCUCAACAAAACAAACAAGUGAGUCUGCUUGUUUGCUAAAAGCGGUAAGGACCCAUGAUGAGCAUCAACCGCUCAUCACCUUGGCCUCUUUGGGGGCAAAGAGCCAUAGUCCUCGUAGCAGGGGAAAACUCUCUUCAACACUAAAGGACUUUGGGGAUAAAUCUCUUUGCUCUGUUACUAAAGCCAACUCCAGCACUGGCUCAUACUCCGGAUCGCCAACCAGAAUGUCAAAAGAGGAAAACUACUCCAAUCAUUUUGACUCUUUUACUUCUCCCUUCUCGAUGACCAUGCCGGUAAUGGCAACCGACACUACAUCCGUAGAGGAACAAUUAGCAGAGAUGGCUCGCGCCAUCACCAAACUCACCAAGUCGGUUGAGGAGAAUGAUAUGCAGAUAGCCUCUCUCAUAAACAAGGUUGAGACACAAGUACAAAAUGCGGGUGAGUCAAGUCACAAACUCAACCACCCUCCGAUUGUUGCAUCUCCUCUCGAUGAUGCACCACAUACGUAUAAGACAAUGCAAAGUGAAAAACAAAUGACAGAAUCUGCCUCAGUGGUGUCAUUAUCUGCCCAACAACUUCAGGACAUGAUAACUAACACCAUUAGGGCGCAGUACGGUGGACCCUCACAGAGUACGCUCAUGUACUCUAAACCUUACACUAAGAGGAUUGAUAACCUACGUAUUCCUAUGGGUUAUCAACCUCCAAAAUUUCAAUCAUUUGACGGAAAAGGCAAUCCAAAACAACAUGUUGCCCAUUUCGUUGAAACUUGUAACAAUGCAGGUACAGAUGGUGACUUAUUAGUUAAACAAUUCGUCCAUUCUCUUCAAGUGAAUGCUUUCGAUUGGUACAUAGACCUUGCACCAGAGUGUAUUGAUAGUUGGGACCAAAUGGAAUGUGAAUUCCUCAACCGUUUCUAUAGCACCAGACGAACUGUAAGUAUGAUGGAACUUACUAACACUAAGCAAUGGAAAGAUGAACCGGUUGUAGACUUUAUCAACCGUUGGCGUUCCUUAAGCCUCGACUGCAAAGAUAGAUUAUCGGAGGUAUCAGCUAUGGAGAUGUGCAUACAAGGAAUGCAUUGGGGUCUCCUAUACAUUCUCCAAGGGAUACGACCCCGUACCUUUGAAGAAUUAGCUACCCGAGCACAUGACAUGGAGCUCAGCAUUGCCAACCAUGAUGCUAAAAAUGACCUUAUCAUUGACCAGCAAAGAGAAAGACACAAUGGGAAAGCAAGUGAUAAGAUUUCAAUAAAACCCAUCUAGGAGUCAAUGAUGGUAAAUGUGACUCUUGCGCGAGAUAAAAAGAAAGAAGUAAAAGAGGUUAGACCAACCCAAGAAAUGAGAGGUGUCGGUUCACCUUUAAGGAAUUAAAGGAGAAGAGGUAUCCUUUUCCUGACUCUGAUGUGCCUAGCAUGUUGGAAGACCUGCUCCAGAAAAAAGUUAUUGAGCUACCUGAGUGCAAGCGUCUAGAAGAAAUGGGUCGUCUUAAUGAUCCGAACUAUUGUCAUUACCAUCGAAUUGUCAGUCACCCGGUGGAGAAAUGUUUCAUCUUAAAAGAUCUUAUAAUGAAACUUGCAAAACAAAGAAGAAUUCAUCUGGAUCUAGAUGAAGUAGUAGAUUGAAAUCAUGCUACAGUCACAUUUGGGUCCAUCGAUCUUGUUUUGUUACAUGUUCCACCUAAGACACUGGAGGCAUGCGCCGAUACUAUCCAAUGCGAUUCACCAAAACCAAAGCAAACGUAAGUGUCAUGUCAAGACACCAUUCGUCACUUCUAUUUUGAUAAUGAAUCAAUGUUGUAUAACGAAGAAGGUUGGACAUUGGUGACACGAAGAAGACCUCACAAGAAGCAAGAAUCUCAUCCCUACCCAAAUCUUCCUAGGAAGGAACAAUGUAUGCAAAAUAUUCAUCGAUAUGCGAAGAGGAAAGAAGAAAAGAAGCCUAAAAGAAAACAAGCGAUUGUACAGGUUGAUGAUUUCUUGGUACAAAAGCUCAUCACCCCUUUCACCUUAGGAGAAUACUUCCCUCAGGAGUUCUUUAAUAAAGGAAUGGUGACAUCAACUCAUAUGGUCUCUUAUCAUGAGAUUUCGAAAGAAGAUGAGUCAGGUAAAGAUGAAGAAAACGUUUUCGGUGCAGAGCCAAGAAAAACCAAGAAAGAUGAUGAGAUACAUAGGAAUCCAUCAUUUUAUGCCACAAAAAUAAAGGGGGCAAAACGAUUUGAAGACAAAGGCCACGAUUGUGCGACAUGUUGUGCAAACAUCACCUACACCAGUGGCGAUGAAAAUGACGUGACAUCAAAUUUUACCACAAUUGUUUUCAAACCUCAACAUUCUAGUGAUGCUCCUUAAAGCAUGAGCCUAAACUGCAUAUUGCUCCUAUCCUACAAGAGCUUAAACUGUAGUAAAAAAAAAAAUCAUUCUUGGCAAACUUCUUAAACCGAGGAACAAACCCUUUGUAUUAAAGAAGUCAAAUUCGGAGAUUCCAAACUAAAAUCUCUAAUUUCUCUACAUACAAGUGUUCUUUUCUUUCAGCAUGACGCGUUCUCAAAAGGGCGAUGCAACCUAGAACCUAAAUCCAAAAAAUGAAGCUUUAAAAGUCAAAAUCAAACUCCAAACAUUUUUCAACAAGCUCGUGGAAGAAUAUCAAACUCAAACAAAAGUGUCAUUCAUCCACCUUCAAAGCUAAAGAAGACAAGGAUGGGUUCUUCAAAACACUUGAGGAAAUUGUUGAUAAGUUUACUUGAGAGCAAGUCAUCAUUGACCCUCAAUUAAAUUUUGCUCCAAGAAUACGUGGUUACCACCCUUGGAUUAAAAUCAAGUCCAAGCUUGACACAUUCUUCAACAAGCUCGUGGAAGAAUAUCAAACACAAUACAAAAGUGUCAUUCAUCCACUUUUAAGACUAAAGAAAAUCAAGACAAAGAACUUCUUUUGUUCUCCAAAAUGCUUAAGAAAGGUCUUCAUAAGUUUGGUUGAGAAUAAGUCAUCUUUGACCCUCAAUUAAACUUUAUUCCAAGGACAUGAAUUUAUCAUCCUUCAAUCAAACUCAAGACAAGUGAUACUCUUGGCCCGCAUGAGCAUAAAUUGCGUACGGCGUAAAAAAAAUAAAAAUAAAAAUUUGCUAAGUCGAAAACCUGAAAAGGCGACUUAGGCAAAAGUUAGGACAUAUGCUCGCAAGAUUAAAUCUUUCUUUUAGUCUUGGAAAAAGUUAGAGCGUAAAAAAAAAAUGGAACUACGUUUGACUUGAUCCCCUCUCUUUGAAGGGUACGUAGGCAACUCGGGGAAACAACUCGAAUUUAGUCGCUACCACAAAAAAAAAAAAAAAAAAUUAUUACUUCAAGACUCACCCCAUCUACAUGACAAAGCAUGUACGUGAUGAGUCUUGAAGUGGGGCCAUUUGUAGACAUAAAAAAAUUAGUGGAUUAAAUUACCACUAAUUUGGUCUUCUAAAAAAAAAAAAAAAAUCAUCUUAUGGAUAAGUUUCUCAUCUUAUGGAUAAGUCUUUCUCAUCUCCAACUAUAAAAAAAGAUAAUAAUAAUAAUAAUAAAAAAUAUUAUUAUUAUUAUUAUCUUGUUGGUAAAACCUCCCGGAUAAGAAAAUUUGCUAAAAUUAAAGAACAAAAUCCCUUGAAUUAAGCAACUAAAAUUGGGGAUUCUGAAAUUCAAAUUCCCUAUCUUCACCUAUAAAUAGAGGUGUUUUCCAUCAAGAUGGGAGAGAAAAAAUUCUAGAGGGAAAAAAAAUGAGAAAAAUCUAGAGAGGAAAAUCCUAAGAAAAAAAUCCAAAGGUAACACCGUAUAGGGGAAGGGGUUUCACAACAAUAGGGAGCUUCAUCAAAUCUCCUUGCAAGUUCGGUAAACGGCAAAAGAACUAAUACAAUCGUUCUUUGUCAUUCAACAAGGUCAUUCGAGAAUAAGCCAUUUGUGGCCCUCGAUUGAUCUCUGAAAUAAAAAAAACGUCAUCGUCGUCUUCCGAAGUGUGAUCAAGUCAAAAGAAUCAGAGGGAAAAAUAUUCUUUUGGAAAGAAUAUUAUUUAUUUAUGAGAUUGUACCCGCACUAUAUUUUAAAAUUUAAUAAAUCGUUUGGUCGCAUUAAUUUUCCUAUUUUAUUUUGUUAAUUUUUAUAGGAUAAAAUUUUACGAAAUUUGUGCGUACAACAUCUCCAUUGAUUUUUUAUUUUAUGUAAACAUCAACAAUACUAACAUUGUUUCCAUUAAUUUUUUAAAAUUGAAACAAAGCCAUUAAAAUCUUUCCAUGCCGACAACAUUAUUUCAUCUAUAUAUAUUUCAUAAAAAAUAAUCAACUCAAAGGCCACUUAAUUUUUAAGCCACUAAAAUAUAUUAGAUUCCAAACAUGAGACACCUUCAAUUCAACCACUAAAAGACCUUCCAGUUUUAGUCAUGAAAUUCACUUCAGUUAUUCAUCGAAAUGCAUGAAUUAGCUCCCAAUAAUAGCCACAAAUUCAGCCUUGGGAUUCAACACUCCUAUGCCACCUUAUAUCCUCAUUUAUCCACCCAAAACUCACUCCAUUGACAUUUGAGCCACAAACUUUACACAUGUUGCCACUUUCUUUACAUUCUCUCAUUUUUCUAAUGCAUUCAACAACAUAACAUCACCCUUCAAUGAGUCUCCAAAGCUAGCUCCCACCAUCUCCAUGUUCUCUCAUUAUUAAAUUCAAGCACUAAGGCUCCUUAAGACCAUGAAUUCUCAUUGAAAAAUAAUCAUUCAUAAAAGCUCUAGACAUAACCACUUUCCACCAUUAAAAAUUAAAGCACCAAAUAUAUUUAAAUAACCAUGAACUCCAUAAAAAAAAAAAAAAAAAUCAGCAUUACUUUCUCAUUGCAUGGCCACUUAUUUGCAUUAACUUCCAUCAACAAAUCUACACUAACAGUAUCAAAUUCAGCUUUGAAUUUCAACCUUGUGACUCACAUGUAUACAUCCACAAUUCAACUCAUGCAAACCUCCAUUCAUGCAGCCACAAUUCAAUCACAUUUCUACCAAUAUUUCAGCCAUCAACACAUGCAUAUGUAGCCACAAAUCUUCAACCAUUAGCCUAUAUUACGUGGCCACAACUUUCAAUCCUUGAACUCCACUAUGUUACCAUAACUUUCAGCUAUUAAAUUCCACUAUACAAUCAUAACUUUCACAUAAGCUUUCAAGCCUUCGUACAACCAUGAAAUUCGCCUAUUUUCCAUUGCAUUUUUAGCCUUCAAAAUCACCCUAUGAAACCACCAAAAUUCGUGCUAGUUUAGCCAUGUUUCUACUUUCAAAAUUCAGCCUCCAAAUUUGAAGAAUUGACCACAAAGAUACAUGGCUGUUCCAUUAAAAAAAUUAUCCAUAUAAUUAUUGUACCUUUCAACUUUUUCAUUGAAAUAUAAAAGAGAAUCUCCCCCUAAAUCAUGUUUUCAAUCUCCGCCCAAACAUGUUUUACAAUCUCAAAUAUAAUGAAUCAAAAUUAGCACUAGACGAAAUUCAAAUUCCCAAUCUAAUAUAAUAAAUAAAACUUAAAUUUAACAAAGUUCAAACCUUCAAAACCAAAAUAAUGGAUUGAAACUAAACCUAACAUGAUUUCCAACUUUUCAAACUAAUAAUUAAAAACAAACAAAAGCUAAAGCAGAAUAAAAUUCCAACAUUUUAGACUAACGUAAUGAAUCCAAACUAUAUUAAACAAAAUUAUGAUUUUUCAAGUUAAAACAAAGAAAAGGUUUUACUUACCUUCUUCCAUGUGGUGCGCGACGUGGAGACUCAAUGGGUUGUGCAUGUUCUCCAUGUCUGUGCGAAUUGUUUUCGUAGUUCCAUAUAUUCCUAGUGAGAUGCAGGCUGGUGGGCAUUCCCUAACUGUGGUGUGGCUUGUGGAGAGAUCCUCUUUGGUGCAUGCUGUAAAAGGAUUUUUAAUGGUCGUACUACUGAAUCUCUUGUAGGAAGACCUCUCUUGGAUGCAUGGUGGAGACUCAAUCCUCUCUCCUAAAAAAUGGCAAUCUACAUAAACAACUCCUAUGCGUUUUGUCUUUUAAAAGUGGUAGUCUCUAAUGUCUCUGUGCAUGCCAAAUGAAUCCACUAUUUCUUAAAAAUAAUGGUGCGUGGUGGCCCCUUAAACCCUCUUAAUAUGUGUGUGUUGGAAGUCUCAUUAAUGAAGAAAAGAAUGCCACUACAUGGUGUCUUCUACUCUCGAUGCAUGUUUCUUCUCUGUUUUUCUACUCAAAAUCCUUUCUACCAAAACCUCUCGACCUCUCUAAAAAUCCCUAAUAUUAUCUAUUUUUUUUUUGGCUUUUUAAUCAUUCUUAUAUGAGAAUAUUUAGUCCUAAAAAUAACCCUUUUGGUUUUUUUAUUUUUCCAAAAUCCUAUAUUUUUCCCAUGCAAAAAUGCUUUGGAAAUCUAGUCUUACCCCCUUUCUUAUGCAACAACCCUUCAGAAAUCCUCCAUUUCUUCUUUUCCAAUCCUCUAUUUUCUUUUCUCUUCCCUUACCUUUCAAAUUCUGGUGGAUCAUGCCUAGUUGACUCCAUGCACAUGGAGAGGAUGACAUGUACUUAAAUGACCAUGCAAAGGUGGGACCCAAAAAAACAAACAAACUUAAGUGAUUGGUGAGGCGUAGCUGAGAUGUAGUUCCAAUAUUGACAAUGUUGCACUUUGACCUUUGCGAUACUAGUAGCUUGCCAUGGACGUUUUAUGGAAGUGGUAGUCCUCAAUUUCCAAUUUAUAGUAUUCAAGUCCCAUGCAAAAUAAAAUGAGGAUGUAAGUAGGAAUAAUGCAAUUUGAAAAUUAAACAUAAAAAUUAUGCAAUAAAAAAAAUUAAUAUGUCAAUUGCAUGUAUAUUUAAAAUCAAUGAUUAAUCACUCAUGUGCAAAAGAAAUCAAAGUGCGAAUCUCAUGCAAUAAUAAUAAUAAUAAUAAUAAUAAUAAUAAUAAUAAUAAUAAUAAUAAUAAUAAUAAUAAUAAUAAUGAAAAUAAAAUAAAUAAAUAAAAAGAUAUAAGAAAUAAAUAAAUAAAUAAAUAAAACACAGACAUAAAUAUCACGUUUGCAAUCCAAUGAAUUAAGAUGUUAAACGAACUUAAUAAACAAUAAUAAAAAAAUAAAAAUAAAAAUAAAUGAAUAGAUAAAAAUAAAAAUAUCAAACUUGUACAAAUCGAAGAUCGAAAAUUCAUCUCAUGCAAUCAAAGAUCUAAAAUCAAACCCAAGCUCACUUACACUUAAAAUCAAGUAAUCAAACUCAAAAACUAACCCAAGUAAAUUAAGCCUACAAAAGCAUCCAAGUGGAACCUAUCCUCAAAAAGAACUGAGUGAGGCCUAAACUUAGCUUGAUAGGCAACCAAGGGAUGGCUUCGAAUCAAUAGAGAAGUACAAGCAUACACCUAGUGUCAUAAGUGCUAAGUGGACAAAAUGAAGGGCUUACACACCAUUAAAGCUUUCUGGCAUUGGCAUCUAUAGCUAUCCGUGUUCACCUAUAGAAGUUUAGGCUGAUAGUUGAUAUUUAAUAUCAUAGAUCCUAACUAGACAAAUCAAUGAGACAUCAACUUCUAGUCAUAUCACCAGUUCCCUUCACAACUUGGGUCUGCAAUAUUCAAGUAAUGAGGAUUUAGCAACAACUACAACCACCAGCAGUACAGUCUCAAGUACACUCCUAGGCUUUAUUCUUACAUAGGCAUUUUGGUACACAUUACCUUUCUCCUAAUCAUUUUUGUUUUCCCUGUGAUCUUACACCUUUAAAAUUUGGAUUUCAACGAACCUUUUUCAUUAAAUAAUUCCAAUUUUCUUUAAAAAUUCCAUAAUUAGGAAUUUCUAAGCAUAAAAUCCAUAUUUCAACAAAUCUUUUGUUGCCACUUUCCUUUGUGGGUGCAUUUUCACUAUUUUAUUUUGUUUUCAACUAUUUUCAUGGUUUUGUUGAUUUUUAACAAGCAUGAAUAAACUUCUUGAUUCCAAACAAUGGAAUUCAUAGAAUUAACUCAUGCAAAAUUAAUUUGGGCUUUGGUGGGGCUUGACAUUCUUAACAUCUUCUUUGAUAAUGGUUCAAAUGAGGUAUUUGUUUGAUAUUUGAUUGAUUUUGAUUUAUUUCUGUGAUACAUGUGAUUGUUUUGCACAUGUUAUUGAGCUAACCCUGUUUCUAUAGAAGUGUUGAUGCUUGCUACCCAAGUACACUCUCUAUCACCUAUGUUCAGAAUUCUAUGAACAUAUAUGUUAUUAUGCGUUAUGUCCAUGUUUUAUAUUAUCUUUAGAUGUCUUGAUGUUUAUUUGAUUUGCUCGGAUAAAAAGCAUGUCGUGUAUCAUAUUUCUAAACUAACUUUGAUGUCUUGUGAUAGCGCUUGAGAAGCAGUCCAGGUACACAUCCUAACUCUUCUUUAUGUUUGUGAUUGACUUCCUUCUUUGGCAUGCUAACUUUGAAAUCAUCUUAGUCUAACUAGGUACCUUUAAUUAAAUGAUUAAUAGUCAUAUUCCCCUUAACUUAGCCAGUAGAGGCCUUUUUAGGGCUUAAAAGGGUACUACAUCAUUGAGGUACCUUCCCAAUAGGUAACCUGAUCCCUAAACCUCAUCACGGGUUUUUCAAAAACAUAUUUUUUCAAAACUAUGGAGUCACUUUUUUUAGCUGCAUGGAAAUUUAGAACUCAAAAAUCUGAUGACAUUAUAUACUCUGACUUUGAGGACAAAUUUGGAGCACUUUCUGGAGUCUAUUAUAUACAUACUAUAUAUCGUUUCGAAGCUCGGGAAGUCAGGAGUCCAACGCUUCAAACGGUUUGCAAAUCGAAGCUAAAAUGAAGAAGUUAUGGCCAUUUGAAGACAACUGCACCAAGCUGGAGGGUCAUUUCGAAAUGAUUUCGAAAUUCAACUUAUGAUUUCGAAAUUCAACUUAUGAAUUCGAAAUCCACUUCGAAAUGACACCAAUUUCGAAUUCACCCACUGCCACUUUGAUGUUCCGCCUCCUCUACCUCGGGAAUUGCAUCUAAAGCACUCCAUCCGCCCUAGGUGGACCCCACACGACUAGAAAUCACCAUUUCAUUAUUUUUUAAUCAUUUUUAGGAAAUUAUUUUGUAAUAAGUGGCCAAUGAGAGUGUGCCACAUGUUAGGUAAUUGAGGAUAUUAUAUAAACUCUCUCAAUUCUAGGUUUUGGGGAUCUUGGAUUUUUUCUGGAGAGUUUGACAUUGAAGGUGGAAGAAGACGAGAACUUUGGUUUGUUUUCUUUUUCUUCUUUAUUAAAUAUAUUGUUUUUAGUUUCUUUUGAUUCAAAUUAUGGAUUUUUACCCUAUUAUGGAUUGUGAAUGUGACAUCACCCCCAUGAGAGGCUAAGAGCCGACUUGGGGCUUGAAGCAUGAAAACCUAAGGGCUAGGAAACCUAUAGGGACAAUGGGUAAAUUAUUAUAACAAUGAGAUUAAUUAUUGGUUGAGUGACAAUUUAUCAAUUUUUUUUAUCCUAUCCUUGUGAGUUCGUUUAGGGAAUGAUACGGUAGGUUAUUACUUGAUACUAGUGAUUCUUGGUAAAUCUUGAUCAUUAGUUAUCCUCAUCUUACCUACCGUUAUUUACCCCUAAACAAAGCUAUAAGGAGUGGGAAUAGUUAAAAAUCCAAAUCUUAAAUUGAUAAUCAAUCUCAUUCAUUUGAUGGUUUUAGGAAUCUGUUUUAAAAAUGAAAAAUUAGGUUUCGGAUGCAAUUUUGAGUUAUAGAACUCAACUUGAUCGCGAGUGGUCAAGGAUCCCAAAACCCUAAGAUCAUAUUACUUAAAAUACCCUUGUUUUCUAUAAUUUCUACACCUUAGGUUGGAUUGUGGAAAACCCCAAACUUGAAUCAAUUGAAUUUAAAAUCAAUAUUCAUUUUCUCUUAUUAAUUUAAUUUCUUUUACUUAGUUUCACAUUAUUCACAUAUUGUUUUUCACUUAAGGAUUUAAACAAAAACAAUUCAUUUAUUCUAGUAUUGACAAUUUUCAUAAGCCAGUCCUUGAGAACGAUACCCGGAAUACUACAAAAGCCGUAGUGACUCUUUCUCUAGUUUUUCUUGACCAGAGUUACUACGUAAAAAGGCUAAGUAUUUUGGUACAAUAGAGAAAUUUCGGUCACCCGCCCCAAUUAGGAUGGGUAUGAGAGCAUAGUAAUCGGGGAUGGGACAGGUUUGGACUUAAUUUUUAAAACUCAAAUCGAGUUCAGGGCGGGUUCGGGUUUUGUAAUAAUCUGCCCUGCCCCGGAUAUAAAAUUACAAGUUUACCCUUUAUAUCUUACAAAAUACUAAAAAAACUCCACCUAUAAAUAUUUGUUUCUUGUCUCUUCCUUAGGGUUACUCACCUUUAACACAAAAAUCUCUCAUUCUCAUUGUUUUCAAACGUCUAGCUCUCAGAUUGAUUUUCCCAACUCAAAAAAUUUCUAUCUCACAUUUUGAGCCGUUAGGGGAGAAAAGAGAUAGGGCUCACAGCUUGUGGAGAAGACAAUCCCUCUAGCUUCAUUUUAUGCCUUCUUGAAACACGAAGAAAAUGAAGUCGAAGCUCACCUAGAGUACCAAAAUCCGAGGUCUAAAGGCUUUGGUUUUUGUUUGGAUUUCUUGUUUUUAGGUUAAAAAAAACCCUUAAAUUUCUAGGUUUUAUUUGCUCGAAUUCCUUUUUCUUGUUCUUGCCUAAAAUAUCCAUGUAAUUUGUUAUUGUCAAAGCCAAACCGAUUUGAUUUAGUGGCUUCACAUGCAUGAAAACAAUGAAUGAUUUUAAGAUUUUUAUCUCCCUUUUAUCAACUCAUUAAUUGUAAAAAAAAAAAAAAAUUCUUUGCUUUAACCCUAGUUUGAAAUUUGUAAUCAAUAUUUCUGAUAAUUUUUAUUUUUGUAUUUAUUUUCAAAUUUUCCAUUUCACAUAGAUUUCGUUUAAGUGCUAUUUAGAAUUUAACAACUCCAUAAUCCGUAAUCAUUUUUUUUUUCAUUUUUUUCUCUAUGUUCUGUUUGAUUUCCAAGAAAGUGUGGGAAAAGAAUAGAAAUGAAUUGAAAAUUAGAAUCAUAGAUUUUUAUUUUAUAUUUUUAUGGUCUAUUUUUGUGGUAAUAGAGGCUUAUUUAUAUAGGGUUUACUUGGGUUGGUUUGAAUGUAAAUAGGAUCCUCUUAUUUGUUUGAAUGUUUUAAUUAUAGGAUUUAUUUCAUUAUAAGAAAAAUGACAUCAGAAAAAUGGGAAAACUUUUCCAUACCAAGUGCGGGUUCAAAUCCAAUUACGGUUAGUACUUCAACUACUGAUAGAACAUUGGGAUCUAAAAGAAGAAAACUGACUUUGGUUGUUUGUAAUGAUUUUGAUAAAGUCAUAGAAGAUGGACAAGAUUAUGCUAUUUGUAAGCAUUGUAAAGGAAAACUCAAGGCCAAUAGCAAGAAUGGAACAAAACAUUUACAUGUACACAUAGAUAGGUGCAUGAAAUGAAGAAAUGUUGAUAUUAGGCAACAAUUAUUAGCAGUAGAGAGAAAAGGUCAUGGAAAAGUUCAAAUUGGUGGUUUUACUUUUGAUCAAGAUAUUUCAAGAGAGAAGCUUGCACGUGUAAUUAUAUUGCAUGAGUACCCGCUUUCAAUAGUUGACCAUGUGGGGUUUAGAGAUUUUGCUACUAGUCUCCAACCUUUGUUUAAGAUGGUUUCCUGUAAUACAAUUAAGGAUGACAUAAUGAAGAUUUAUGAGGUUGAGAAAGAGAAAAUGAUUAGCUACUUGGAGAUACUUAAAAGUAGAAUUGCAAUCACAACUGAUAUGUGGACAUCAAAUAAAAACAAAGGCUACAUGGCUAUCACCGUACAUUACACGUAUGAGUCUUGCUUAUUGCAACAUCAUAUUGUAAGGUUAGCUAUGUUUUUUUUUCUUUUUUUAACUUCCUAAGUUUUUUUUAUUUGAUCAUUUAGUGAUAUCACUUUGUAUUAAUUAUAUGUUUUUUUAUAUAUAUUUUUAAUGUAGGUUUGUUUAUAUGCCUCCUCCACACACAAAAAAAGUUCUUUUAGAUGUGUUAAUGGAUUUCUUGUUAGAUUGGAAUAUGGAUAGAAAAAUAUCUACAAUUACUGUGGAUAAUUGCUCAAGUAAUGACAUAAUGAUUGAUAUUCUUAUAGAGAAAUUGUCUUUGAGGGGUUCAUUUUUGCUGAAUGGAAAAAAUUUUCAUAUGCGAUGUGCGACACAUGUCUUGAACUUAAUUGUGAAGGAAGGUUUGGACGUCAUCGAAAAAAAAUUGAAAAUAUUCGUGAUAGUGUUGCAUAUUGGUCGACAACACCAUCAAGAGUUGAAAAGUUUGAAGAUGCAGAUCACCAAUUACCUAUUCCAUGUAAUAAGAAGUUAACUCUUGAUUGUAGAACAAGAUGGAAUUCUACAUACUUGAUGUUAUCAAUAACUAUAACAUAUACAUAUGUGUUCCCACGUUUGAAGCAACAUGAAAAACACUAUAUGGUUGUGCCAUUAGAAGAAAGAAUGGAAUAUGGCAAAAGAAAUAUGUGGAAGAUUGAAAUUGUUUUACAACAUAACGGAGUUUUCUCAAGGCAAAAUUAUCCUAUUGCAAAUAUUUUCUUCAUCAAAGUUUGUGAGAUUAAAAAGGCAUUGUAUUAUUGGUUGAUCUGCGUAAAUGAUGUUGUGAAAACGAUGACAUCAAGUAUGUUGCAAAAGUUUGGCAAGUAUUAGAGUGGGUGUCAUAUUGUGAUGGCAAUAGCAACUAUAUUUGACCUAAGCUACAAAAUGAAGAUUUUAGAGUUUUACUUCCCAAUAAUGUACAGGUGCUUCAAAUGAGAUAGAAAAAAAUUCGUGGAAUGUGUUAUGAGUUGCUUUCUGAGUACCAAUCAAAGUCUAAGUUGGGGUAAGAAACUGCAUCCUAUGGUACUUCAUGAGGUUCAACUCUUUCAGUGUUCAACUAUGAUGAACAAGAUCCUCUUUCAAAGUUUGACUUAUUUGUUCAUAGUACUAUAGAGAAAGUCAUGCAAAGUCGGAGUUGGAUUAUUACUUAAAAGAGUCUAUUCUGCUAAGGACUUUAGAUUUUGAUGUUUUAAGUUGGUGGAAGAAAAAUGAUAUAAAGUAUCCAACUUUGUAAAUGAUUGUUCGAGAUAUCUAUGCUAUUCCGGUAUCUACAGUUGCAUCAGAGUCGACCUUUAGCACUUGUGGUAGGAUGGUAUCAAAACAUCGCAGUAGGCUUCAUCCAGAUACUUUGGAGGCCUUAAUGUGUGCUCAAAGUUGGUUAUGGAAAGAAAUGGAAGGUAACCAAUUUACAAAAUUAUUAAUUUUAUGAAUGGUUUUGUAUUAAAAUAUUUAGUAAAGUGACUUGUAUGUUUUUGGGUGUUUAUUUUUUUUUAUUAGGUGAUUCUUCGAUUCAUAGUCACAGCUCCAACUCACAAUUAUAGAUGAAGAUGAUGAUUCACUCGUGCUUUAGGUUUUUUACUUGAGAUUAUGUUAGAGACAUAUUUUGGGAUGUUAACAUUAUCUUUGUAAUGUCUUUUUUUUUUUCUUCAUUUUCAAUGUUGUUAAGUUUAUGGAUAUCUUUUAAUUUUGGAUGUUGUAUUUUAGGAUGUCCUAUAUGUUGAAUUGUUAAUCACUACCAAUAUUAAUUAGACUAGUUUUAUAAGUGCAAUGGUUGCAAAUGUUGCUUUUACCUACAAAAGUUUAUAUUUAAAAAGCAAUGGUAAGAUAUUUCUUGAAGAAUGCAAUGAUAAGAAUGUAUACAAUCUUUUUAAACUGAAUUCUUUCUAAGAAUGUAGCCUUAAUUUAGUCUUGUUUAUGCAAUAGGUACCAUGGAAUCUGGCACUGGUUUAGCUCCAUGAAGUACCUUGAUGUUUCAUUUAUGGCUCUUUCUACUGCUGGUCAAUCUUAUUCACGUUAAUCCUAUACCAUACUGGUAAGUUUUUUCUCUACUUUUUGUUCGCUUUAUUGGGAUGAUUAUGGAAAUGCAUAUCAUGUCAUGAGAUAUUGGGGAGUAUAUUCUGACUGUUGGUUAACUACAUGUCACUGCAGAUUUUUAAGAAGAACCCAACCAUAGUAAAGAAUUAUGGGAUUUGACACUACUUUGAAUGGUGUUGUUGAGCAAAUGCACACUGAGAUGACUUCAUUUUUCAUGCUUAUAAUCUGCACAUCAGCAUUGUUUAGGUCCAGUUCAAUCUUUGUUGUCCUGUUUAGGCCACAUAUAUUACAAUGAUAAUAAGAAGAACAAAAUGACAUGGGGUUGUGAAAAAACUCAUGAGUUUUAUGAACUUUUCUUUUCUUUUCCAAAUUUAUAAGUAUUUAAAUUUUGCAAGUAUGACAAGUCUAUGAAGCCAAAGGCGUGAAAUCCAAAUGUGAAGCCAAAGGUGUGGAAUUGGACACCGGUAAAAAUGUUGGAUUGCAAUGUUGGAUAUUAUAUGAUACUGCCCAUAUUCUGAUGUUGGAUUGCAAUGUUGAUGUUUUUGUUUUUGUUUGAGCUAAAGAAAAGAAAAAGAUGGCUACUAAUAGAGCUAUUAGCUUAGAAGAAACCAAGAAUGAGACAAUUGAUUUUAUAAGUGCUUUCUUUUAUUUUCUUCUUUUGUUUUCUUUUAUUCUUUUAUAAUUUUUUUUCCUGGGUUCUGAAAUAAAAAAUGUUGGUUUAGUUGAAAAUUGCUUCAUUGAAUUGAUCACAUAAUUCUUAUAUUUUUUCUAUUUGAAAUGUGUUUUUUUUUUUAUAAAUAAACACAUGAUUUUCUUUAUAUUUUCUAAAUUGUGGUAGUUUCAAAGUUGGUGGUGAAUGACCACAUUUGUUCAUGAACACUAAAACUGUUUCUCAAUUUUAUUUUACUUUGUUUGGCUCAUGCUGGUCAUGGUUUUGUGACUUAUAGCUUGCUGGUAUAUGGUCUAGUUAUUGAUAUUUGUAGAGUGAAAAUGAUUCUUUGUGGCCAUUUCUAUAAUUCAAAACUGUUGCAAGCUAAUGGGUACAUAAAACUUUUUAGAAAAUUCCAUGUCAUUCCAUUUCCCCCAUUUUCAUUUCCUGCUGUUAACCAUUUGCAUAAUUAUUUCCCUUACCUUUUAACAAGUUAGAUAUGCUUGUUUCCAGCUUGAAGAUGAUGUCAUACCAAAGAGCUUUCCAGUAAGUUUCUAAUAGUUAAGCUAGAAGCAGCACUAGUACUAUCCGCUUAUUCAAAUAGAAACAUUUUGACUUGUUUAAUUUUGCUUCUUAUAUUCAAUUUUCUUUUAUUAAUGGUGUCAUGUUUUCUGCUUUUGAUUUUGAAGGUUUGUGAUGAUCGCCAUUUUGAAUUAAUUCCCUGUCUAGAUAGCAAUCACUUUGAUGACUGGUUGUCAACUUAUGAGUUGGAAAGUGUCGAUGAUUACCCUUUCAAUUGACAUUUGGUUCUGCAAACUUAAGUUUGAUUUUGGAAAUCUUGGUUUUGUACAAGAGUUCCUUUUUAUGAACCUGGGAUCUAUGGAAUUUAUAUUUGAUUCCAAACCCAUUGGUACCUUAUGGCAACUAACAAUGAAAUAGGAAUUACAACUCCAAAGGUCUUGUUCUAUUAAUCAAACACGGGUUAAUUGUCACAGACUUAUUAUGAUGGCCCCUUGUCUUUAGUCCCUACAGAGUCAUUUGAGACAAACUCAAAACUCUAUUUCAAUAAUGUCAUACAACACUUUAUGUAGGAUCGUUAGCUUUGUAUAGAUGCUUACUUACAGAAGCAAUUAGGCAUUAGACUGGAAUAUAUUUGUCAUGUUAAUUAGAAAUUGUUUUUUAUUUCUUUUAUUUGAUAGAAAAAUUGGGUAAAAAUAUUAAUAUUUGUUAAAGAUUUUUCGUAUGUAUACUAUAUUUUUGCUAUUCCUUUGUGGCCUGGUUAGAUUGGAAUUGACUAUAUUUUUCCUCUUAUUAUAUUUCCUGUGUGGUUGGAAGAAUACAAUAUUUCCCUUAAUUUUGUGGUUAUGAUGCAACAACAAUUGAUUGCAAGACACUAUAUGAUUUCUUUGUGGAAGGAUUUUAAUUUGGUUAGAUUUCAUGGGUUACCCAACAUGCAUAAAAAAAUCAUUUGGAUGUUUUGCUGAAAAUGCAUAUUCAAGAGCUUGUUUUACUAUUGCUUAUAAUGCUUGUAUGCUUUGCAAAUUUCUUUGAUAGUUUUUGGGUUGAAUUUUUUUAGGGUUUGGUUUUGAUACAUCUUAAAGGUAUUCAUACUUUUAUCUAUUGGAACUGAUACCUUGUAAAAGCAUGAUAUACAGGCUUAUUUUGGAUUGUGAAUUUGACAUUAAAAAAAAAAAAAAAAAAUCUUAUUGGUUUUUACUAUUGGCAAUUUCAGCUAUGGGACCCUCAUUCUAAUCCCCAUUUGUUGACUUGAAAGUGAGAAGUUUUAUUUGGGAAGUUUUUAAACUGAACAAUGAGAGAAAGAUCAGAUGGAUCACAAAGAAGACUGUGUGCAUGGUGGCAAUUUUUCUUGUGUUCCUAUAUGUGUAUCAUGGAUCCAUUUCUGGCUCUUAAAAGACUUUAGAGUAUGACAACAUAUCUUUGAGAAAACUUAGUCUAACUGGGGAUGAAGAUGCUGAUCUUGGCAACAAUCUAGUAGGGGAUAAAAUGCCAUUUCUUAAUGUUAUCUGAAAUAUGUAUUAUAAUAAAUAUGUGAAAAAUGAAUUUAAUAGAAUUGUCAGAAUUUGAGUUUCUUUUAGAGCAACCCAACCCAACAUUUCUCUGGACAUCAUUUUCUUAUACAACAACCCAGCCCAACCUCGCCUCAUUUCGGCCCAGCCUAGGCUGGCCUACCCCAAAAACACAUACACGGGUCAGGACGGGCUGGGGAUAGGAUUUCAAUGGUUAUUUGAAAACGGGAACGGAACCACGAACCCCAUCCCGUCCUAGGUUUGGGACGAGGAUGGAAAAUAGUUAUAUAUUUUGGGACGAGAAUGGGAUAGAGGGAGCCCAUCCCAAACCCGCCCUAUCACCAUCUCUAGGUGAUGACCACCUUGCAUGGAAGCACCCCGUUUUCCCGGAGGCUUGUAGACAGUUGCGUAUCGCCGAAGGGUAUGAUCACUUCUGUUAGGGAUUCUUUAACCCACCUGAUUUGUCUUAUAGAGCCACUUUGGUCUUGUAGGCUACCUUAGACCCAAUUAAGAUUUCACUCCUACACGUGGGUGCAUCUAUGGACCUUCAAAGCUGCCUUAGUCACAAUUGGGUUUAGCUACCCUUUCCAUAAUCUCUUUUUGUUGUGCUCAAAGAUUGCUACAUGUUUGAGUUUCAUUUGGGCCACCUAUUUGCAUCGUGAUUAGUGCAUUUCCAUAUCUUCGGAGCUCCCUUCAUGUUAUUUCUCUUGUACCUUAUAGGAGUGUUAUUUGUUUUGGUGUGGGUUUGAUUUUUUAGAUUAGAGUUAGAGAUAGAUUGAUCAAGGUUUUAGAGUAAUCAGAUAUGAUUCCUCAGCAUGUUACAGUUGCCAUGAUUUCUAUUCAGGAUGUACUGUUAGGUUUAAGCCAGAGGAUUGAUGGAUAGCAAGAUAGAUAGCCAGAGUUCAGGAUAAGAUGUUGUAUGAUUCAUUGGCGCCCACCCUCACCACGUAGCCAAUCAAUGAUAUUGUUGAAGAUGACAUUGUACGUAUGAUGAGAUUAGUGGAUAUUGAGCCAAAGCCUGUUAUAUCAAAUGAGAGUUCUUGUGGAGGAUGUUAGUUUUCUCUCUAAGAUGGCAGAUUUGAUUGACAUGGUUUUCUUCAUCAUGAGCCUGAGAUGGAUGUAUGGGAUGACAUUUAAAUGGUCAACAAAAAUUAGCCAGAGAUAGUUCAUUCUCUUGAUAUGUUUGAGGUCAUUGUUAUCGAGAGUUUAGAGAAGUUUAGUUUGUUUCUGCUUUAGAGUUGCUAGGGCAUCCUGCCUAUGUUGAUGAUAUGUUUAAGGGCGAUGUGAGCCCAAUUAUGGUCAUGGAGAUUCAUCUAUUCUAGGAGGUCUUAGAGGCCUACUUGCAAUACAACACAUGUCAUUAGAGAGUUGAUCCUAGAAAGGAAUUAUGAUUGACAUAUCUAGAUGGAGACCAGUUCAUAGACCCAACUAGCGUAGGUCAGUUGAAGAAGUAUUACAUUUGAGAAUACGUUCGUAGGAUGGGUGGCCAUCAUUUUAGUUAGCCUUAUAUUUUAUUAUCCUUAUUGAUAUUUAGACCAUUGUUAGCCCAUUGAGCCUCGUCUGGUACAUUAUGACCUUUUAUUUCUUAUAGCCUUGCUUACCUUCUCUAUACCAGGGUUAGGGCCCUUUGAUGUAUAUGUAUGCUUUGCUAGGAAAGUCUCAUAAGCUUUGGACUUAUAGGCCUAUUUUCUCAUCCUUAUUACCAUCUCUUUGUCACCUCAUUUGUUGUAUUGUACUAUUAUCGUGUUUUCAUUUUCUUCCUCACUCUUAUCAUUAUUUGCUUCAUUUUAUCUCUUAUCUUUCUUGGAUUGAUGAUUCUUCACAUCUUGGUAUAAAAAGGGUAGUCAUAUCACUCCCUUUAUCGCAUCAUUUGGCAUUGAUUAAGAGAUGUUAACUAGAGAGGUUAUCUCAUAGGUGGGGGUUCACAUUCUCAUUAGUGAUUGGGGAGAGUUUGCCCAUUCCUUGUAUAUUUUAUCAUUAGGGUAUGAUUCAUUGAUGGUUAGAGUAUGCACAUUCAUUCACUCAUUCAAAAAAAAAAAAAAACAAAAGACAAAAAAGAAAGAAAGAAAGAAAGAAAGUGCAUUGAUAUGUUUAUAUAUGAUCUCUUAUUCAUUUGGGCACUUAUAUCACUUUUUGAGGACCGUUUAUUGGGUAUAUUUAUCAUUGAGGGUUCUUAUGAGAUUUCUAUGAGAGUUGUUGCUUCUUGCUUCUUGAGAUUUCUAUGCAUUUGGAGUGUUCGGAUAUCAUGUGAGAGUUCUUUGAGAUCCUUCUCUUUUUGGAUCAUGGUUGAGAUGUAUUAUGGGUGGGAGAGAUGAGUGACUUCUUACUAAGGUCUCUAGAUCAUUGUUUUCUCUACCAUUAGUGAUAUGACUCUUCCUUCAUUGCAUUGAUAUGGGUUGAUCAUCAUUCAUUUUUAUUUCUCUAUGGCUUUCUAUGUUUUUCCAUGACUUUUUUUCUUGAUAUUGAUCCUGCCUUUUAUUCAUUUCUUAUAUCGAUACACAUUUUUGAUUCGAUACCUUGUUCACAUUAUUCUCAUACUUUAUUGAUAGUUUAACCACCUCUCAUUUUUCUUUUUUUACCAUCGACAUUUCCUUUGGUUACUUUUAGGUUUAUGGCUCAUGAGAUUUUUUCCACACAUUACAUCUUAUACACGAGGGUAUAAGUUUGAUUAUUGGGUAUUUGAGCCUAGUUUCCCUUUAUUUCUUUACCUUAUCACCCUGGCCUACGUUAUGUCUUGUGUCUUAAGACCACCCUAAGGCCAUGAGAUCAGGCGUUAUAUUUGGCAGCCUUUACUUAAGCUGGUGUUUGGGAUUUGGUUGAUAUGUAGACGUCGUCUUGUUUCUUCUUCUGGGAUAUGCUUCUUUGAUGCUUGGAGGUGAUUUAGUGAUGGAUGUAGACGAUCGCUUCAUGUUAUGGAGGAUAUUUGAUGUUUUCUGAUUUCCCUCUACUAUGCAUUAGCUAUCAUACUGGGGCAUAUCCCUCAUUUGAUGAGAUUGACAGAUUGUUAUUGGUUCACAUGGUCACUUUGUUUAUGAUGAUAGAUGUAGAUUUGAUAGUGUGGUUUCGUUAUGAUUCUCUAGUGGAGUUUCUCCCGAGUCAUUGAUCACACUCAUACUUUUCGAUAUCCUCAUUAUUCUUAAUGGAUCUAACUUAGUGAGACAUGUUUUCAUCCAUAUUCUUAAUGGAGUAGAUUAGUAUGAUGAUUUUUUAUUCUUGGCGGGCUUUGCUUUUGAGCUAGCAUGGUGGGUCAUUUCACAUAUACCUUUUGAGUUGGUUGUCUCAUCCUCGAAUAUAGAGAUGAUGGGUUAGUGUCAUUUGAGGUACCUUAUGACCUUGCAUCAUUUGCUAUACUAGGACAUAUUCCUCUUUCAUUUGGUUGAGAUGAGCCCCUAGUGGAGCACUUUCUUUGAGCUUGGGCAUUUUCACCGAUUAGAGAUUCCUAUUGGAGUAUGUUGAGAUGAUAUUAGUUAUAAUGGAGCAUUGCUGAGCUCAUUGAUAGUUUUCAUGAUUCUGGGUUCCAUUUAUGAAGUACUUCUGAGAUAGACUAGUGGAUUAUUACUGAGUUGGAGAAAGUUUUUAGUGCAGUGUAUAUAUCCUGUAUAUUGGGGCAUAUUUCCCCAUUUCGAGGUUACCGGAUUCUUGUUAGAUUCAGUUAGGGAUUCAUUACAGAAGUGUUUCUACUCUUGAGAUUAUCACAUCCCUCAUCAUUUUGGUUAUUCAUUUGAGAUUAGAUUUAGAGUGUCUCCCUUGAGACAUUGGCAGAUACUUCAUUCUGACUUCAUAGUGGAUUAUUAUUGAGUUGGAGAUAGUUGAUUGAUGAUGUUGGAUUCAUCAUUUUGUUGUGCAUCAAAUAUCCACACUAGGGCAUAUUUUCCCCUUUCUCUGAGAUUCCUAGUUACUGAUUGGGUUGUAUGGCUAUCCUUACUCAUGGUUACAGAGAUGUUUGAUUGAUGUUGACAGGUUCUUUAUCGUGCAUCAGAUAUCCAUAUCGAGGCAUAUUCCCCUCUCCUUGAUGAGUUUUGUUUGGGAAGUGGUACGAGGAUGGAUGAUUAGUGUUAGUUGUUUACCUCAUGACUUUGACAUCAGAUCUUAUACUGGGACAUAUUUCCCCAUUUUCUUUUAGUAUCUUUGAGAUUGAGAUAGUGGCUUGUUUGGUUUCAGAUUGAGUGCUAGCUUUGGACUUUCGAUGAUUUAUGAUAUCAGGGCUUUCUCACAUGGUUUUAUUGAGAUAGAGAUAGAUUGCAUCGGGUUUUAUCCACUGGACUGAUGGAUUCUUCUGUGGAGUGUUUAUGAGAUAGAUUGUUAUUGCUAUAAUUGUUCCACAGAUUGGGUUAUCCAAAUGAGCAGUAUUUUGUGCACUUUGAGCUUCCUUUUUAGAUGAGUUGUGGUGUACACACUUCGAGAUUUAUCUUUUGAGAUUCGUCGAUAGAGUAGCUUUUGAGACACAAAGAGUUCUUUUAGUUCAGAUUUUUCAGAGGUUUUUGUCAUGAUGCAUCGAUUUUUGACCCAUUAAUUUCAGUAGAUGAUUGAUUUACUGGUUGUUUCAGCAAUGUGAGUACCUCGGAUACUAGGGCAUAUUCCUCCUCUCAAGCCCAAUAGUGAAAUCCUUGGCAUUUAGAGUCUACAACUUUGACCCCUUUUAUUCCCUAUUAAUUUUUGAGUUAGCCUUCUUUAUCAGUUUCUUUUAAGUCUUAAGCCUUGUCGCUUUGAGCCAUCAUUUCCUUCUAGGCCUUGAGCCUCGUAGCCCUAAGCUAUCUUCUUCUCUUAGGCCUUAAGCCACGCUGCCUUGAGCCAUCAUUUCGUUUUAAGCCCUAAGCCUCGUAGCUUUCAGAUAUCUUUCUUCUCUUAGACCCCAAGUCUCGUAACCCUAAGCUAUCCAUUCUUUCUAAGCCCUGAGCUUGGUAGCCCUAAGUUAUUCUCCUUCCCUUAAGCCUUGAGCCUUGUCGCCUCGAGCUAUCAUUUCUUUAGGCCCAAAGCCUUUCCAACCUGAGUUGAGCCUUUAUCAUUUGGUUGUCCAUGAGUGGUUUGACCUAGAGUUUACGUAUCACACUCUCCUUCUAGUUGAUUAGUCAUAAAGCUCGGAACUCAUAGCCCCAAGUUGUUCACAGAGCCCUAAGUAAUUCAUGGCAUUUUGGAGUCCUGAGCUCACAACCCGAAGUUGUUCAUAUCCUUUACAUUCCUAAGAUGUUUUGUUUUCAUCAUUCUAGCCACUCAUGAGUGGUCUUGACUCAACACAUGAGUCGGAAAGCAUCUUGAUCAACUAUCUAUUUAAAGCCUCGAGCUUGCAACCUAGUAUCGUUCUUCUCAUUCGUGACCUUGAGUUAUUCAUAGCAUUUAGAGCCUUGAGCUCAUGACCUAGUGUCAUUCACCUAUUUCAUGACUCGGAGUCAUUCAUCUUGUCUUUGACCCAGAGUCAUUCAUCUCGUCCUUAACCCAAAGUAAUUCAUCUCGUCCUUAACCCAGAGUCUUUCAUCUCGUCCUUGACCUAGAGUCAUUCAUAGCAUUUAAAGCCCUGAGUUCCCGACCUAGAGUCAUUUAUCUCACCUUUGACCCAAAGUCAUUCAUAACAUUUAGAGUUUAGAGCUUCUGAACUGAAGUCAUUUGUAGCAUGUCAACCCAGAGUUGUUUAUCCUAUUUCUGACCCAAAGUUGUACAUCUUAUCCGUGACCCAGAGUUGUCCGUUUUCAUUUAUGACUUAGAGUUGUUCUUUCCACCUUUUUCUAUCCUGUGCUACUCAUCACGUACUUUUCCCCUUUUAUUGUCAUUUUUUCCCAUAGAGUUGUUCCAUCUUUGUUGUUGCAACCUCGUGGUCCGAGCUUACCCUUGUCAUGUGUUAGGAUAAAAUUUUUGGUCAUUUUUAGUUCUUCGCUAUAGUUCACUUCGUUCCACUUAUUACUCAUAUUUCUACUCAUAUUCCUUACACUUGUGAUUUCUACUGAGUAGGGGCAUAUUUGUAGACCCUCCAUUUUGUCUCUUUAACACAUGUCUUUAAGUGCUCUUUUAGUACUUACAGUAGUUCCUUGGUGGCCUGUUGCUACUCAUACAACUUACCUUUUUUGAGCCACCUUGGAGACUUUGGUUAAAGGAUUUAUUUAGGCCCCCAUUGUGACCUUGGUAGCCCUUCGAGUUUAAGUUAGGCUUCACUUGAGUGCACUUUAGGUUAGAUUCCACUUAGUUCACCCUAGGACACUUAGACACACCUUAGGUCACCUUUAGGCGUUUUUACAUGGUUGCAUGGCUCGUAUUUUUGCAUGGCUCUUAUGGUUUGAAUGUGGUUGAUUUUUAUUUUUUUAGUUGCAUGAUUUUAAUUUCUUUUGAUUUUCAAUUUCAUGAUAUUUAUUGAUUUUAAUCUUUAUUUUAUUUCUUGCAUGAGGAAAAAAACUACUAGUUAUUUGGAAAGAGGAUCACCAAAAUUUUUGACAAAGAAAAGUCCACAACUGCAAAUGGAGUGCAAUAUUGAGGAUAUUCACGCACUAAAGGGAUCCUGGUUUUAGAAGGAAAAAGAUUUGGAUGGGAAGGUGGAAUUCUCCAGACCUGUGGCUGCCAUGUGAAGUAUUCUCUUUAAGAAAGAAAGGCAUGACUGAAGCACAAGAAGAAGAGAUUCUUGAAAGAUACAAUAGACUUAUCAUAUGGGAUUCAUGCACCUUUAAAAGAAGGAUAGCAGGCUGGCAAGGGUUCUUUCUUCAACAGAGAGGGUCAAUAACAAGUGAAAAAGGAAUGGAUUCUCUUUAUCCGAAUAAAAAAGAGAUUCAGAUUUUUUUUUAGGGCAAAGCAGACGACAUACAUCCUUGGGGGAGAAGAUAGAAUUGAAGAGCAGAGGUUUUGGAAGAGAACAAGGGAGAGGAGCAGAAGGUUUUGGUUUUCGUGAGAAGAAGGCUAGGGUAGGGAAAAAAACGAGAAAAGAGGAAUAAAAGGCAUGAAAUUUUGAAGAUGAGUAAAUCUUGCUCGAGAGGAAAGACCCCAGGUAUGACCAUUGUGAUAUGCAUAUUAUUAUUUAUUAUUUAUUAUUAUUAUUAUUAUUUCUUCACACUAUUUCGCUUGAUUUCUAGGAUUGGUUUUCAUAUGCCUAUGCUGUCAGUUCUACUCUUGUCUUACUUAGUUUGACUUGAGAGGGGCGAGACUAUAUCAUAUUCAUUGUAGGUGUGUCUAGAGAUAUUGACUACAUUUUCUUUGCUUUGUUUAUGUCUGGUUUUUUUUCACUAGGCCAAGCCCAUUGAUCUCAGCAUGAGAUGGGACUUGGUUGAUAGUUCUUAGUUGGUUUUAUCCUCUGUUUCUAUUUUACUCUUCUCUGUUUAUUGCUUAGUUUUUGGCGGGCAGUGGUGAUAUUGUUAAUGUCCAAAUUUCCAGGACUGAAUAAGUGAGGUUGUGGAGGAAAAUGAACUCGAUGUGAGGUUCCUAUUUUUGCAUCUAUGCUCCAAUCUAUUAGUUCAAAACAUGGGUCACAAAAUUGCGUUGGAGUCUUGCAUUUGGGAUUGCUUUGUAUCUGGGUUUAAUAAGCUAUAUAUUGUAGAAAAGAUGAGACUCUGAGCAUUUAGGUUGGUCAAUCUGGUCAAUACAUUGGUAUGAUUAAUCUUGGUGGAAGAAGUUGGCUUUGAGAUAGAGCUAGAAAAAGAAACCAGAAUAGAGAAGAAGCAGAGGAAGUUGAGGUAUUUUCUUGAUGGUCUUUAUCGGAUAAGAAUCUCGCAGGUUGAUGAUAUGAUCAGAGAAUAAAAACCGCUGUUGGAAUGGAGUUAAUUUCGUUUGAAGGCGAUACACUUCAGGAACCAUGUGAAGGUAGGCUAUUUGCACAGAAUGAGCAAGUCUUUCUUCUUGAUGAGUGCUUUUUCGAGAUCUUUAGACGGUUGGCCUGAAAGCUAAGAUGAUAUACUUUGUUUUCCUGACACUUGAAGACAUUUUACCUUUAAUAUGCCUGAAUCUGGGGUUAUGAGUAAUCGAUGAUCAUUAGAAGGAGCAUUAGUGCUUGUUACGGGAAUUUCUAGAACUGACCCCGAUAGUUGUUGGAUUUUUUGCUUAUGAGUUGGCUCUGAACAAAAUCUCAUUCCAAUAGUUUGGAUAACAGAUUCUAAAGCACUAAUUUUUCUAGUUCUCGAAAACCAUUGAAAUGUUCAUAGUAAGAACCGUGAUUUUGGAGAGAAAAUGUAGAGAAGACCAUGAAAGCGUCUAACUUCACUUAUGAUGAACCAAAGAAGAAGAUUGUCGAUUGAUCUUGUUUUCUCCAAAACCCAUUACCCAGUUUGAGGUUGUUGCAAUUAAGCUUUGGAAAGUUUGCAAAAGAUUUGGAACUAGAAGUAACCUUGCAGAUUAUGCAAUUGUAGUUGAAAAAGCUCUUGGAUAGAUUGGGAAUUCCUACUACAGAUGCACCUGUGGAACAUUCCAUUCUCCAAGAUAGCAUGUUUUGCAAGGUCUCAACACAGAUGGGUCACUGUAUGGGGGAUUUCUAGAACAGAAAAGUUAGAAGCACCAUAAUCACUUGCAAUGGACGCUGUAAUUAAGGUAUUCAAGCGUGUUGCUAGGUUAUCCGAAUGCAAAAGAGGAAGAUAAAGACUCAAAGUUGCUUCCAAAGAUUGGUUUUGCUCAUUCUGAUCGAUCAAAUAGGAAAUUCGGUUCUCCAGAUUUUGCUUCAUGUUUAGAUUGAAAGCCAUUUAUGUUUUGAAGCUCCAUGGUCAACCUAUUGCUCGACGAAGCUUUCUCUCACGUUCAAUUAUAUAAUUGAUUUGAAAUUAUGGCCCUGAAUUUGCUUUGGAGAUUGGUACCUCACAACUCUAAAAUAAGGUUGGGGAUGUGGGACCCACUCUUAACAUGAUACCUAUGAUUUGUAGCUUGUAGUGCACCGAGAAAGCAACUCGUUGAAGGUUCAUGUGUGGUCAUUCAAAAGGGAAGUUGGUGCUUCCAUGUGCAUAUUCAUUGGUCAUAAUGGUGAAUGUUACACAAUUGCAUACAGACCCAGAUGGAUAGUAGGGUGUAUGCAAAUGAUUUCAUGUACCCGAUUCUUUUAAACGAUGUGUUCGAUGAAUGCUUGGGUAUAUGUAGUGGAAUUGAUCCAUGCUCAAGUGGAAAAACUAGGGCUUUGUUGAGGUACUUUCAAGGUUCAUAUCAAAUCAUAAUUGGCUAUGAUGAAGGAAGUGUUAUGGAAAUGACAAUAGUGGAAAAAUAAUAUGGGCCAAUUAUAACUAAAUUCAGAUUCUGAAUAUAAGGAGUGUGGGAGCAAAUUUUGAGUUUGAAGAGGAUUCUUUUGCUAAUUCAAUUUAUGAAGCUUUUAUUCUUGAAGGAGCCACAAAGCUUAGAACUAGUUCCAACCAGGAGGAUCGAGUGAGAUUCAUCAAGAAAAAAAUACGAGUUUCAAGAUUUUUUGAAGCCUAGCUUGUGAAUUACUAUAAUUUCUUUUGGAAAGAGCUCUCUCUCCAAUAAGCUUUUCCUAGAAAGUCCAUUGAGAUUUUUUGGAAUUCUAACUCAUAGAAAUUGGAAACUAUGGUAGAUGACAAAGACGAGAGGUGAUAGUAAAGUUCACAAAAUUAUUGAAGAAACCUAUGUGGAUCAAUAUCUUGGUAUCAUUGGUUAGCAUGCUGAUAUCUUAUGUACGUGAUUGUCCACUUAAGAGCCAUUCUGCCUACUAUGUGUUUCCUUCUAGGCAUUACAAGGUUUUUAAUGACUGGCUUCCACCUACUUCUCCAUAAGAAUACACAGAUGAAGAAAUUGCACCCCAUGUUGUAUUAAAGAAAUCCUAAGUGUGCCUUCAACUCAAUCAAGGGACCCGACAACUCUGCUAAGAAGGGUAAGCUGUAGAGGAUUCCAGUAAAUCAGUUCUUGAUUUACGGCAUCCUCCUUGAUUGUAGGACUGUAGAGGAUUCCAGUAAAUCAGUUCUUGAUUUACGGCAUCCUCUUUGAUUGUAGGAGAUACAUUUUCCAUUUGUAAUUAUCUUUUCUAAUUUAUCUCUGUAUUCAAACUUCUUGUAUACGUAUAUAUAAAUGGAAAACUCAACCCCAUAGAAGUGUGGUGGUUUUAUAAACAUUGUUAUGGUAUCAGAGCAUUUUUGGAUUAACCUCCUCGAUCCUCCCAUGGCCGAUUCUUCCUUCUCCUUCAACACCAUGAUCCACAUGAUCACUAUUAAACUCUCCUCCACAAAUUAUCUUCUCUGGCGAAAUCAACUUCUCCCUCUUCUUCAAUGUCAGAAUCUCCUUAGCCAUGUCGAUGGUUCCGUUGCGCCGUCUCCAAUCACUAUAGCUGUUGAUUCUUCUUCUUCUCAACCGAAUCCUCAAUAUGUGGCAUGGCAACUCCAAGACCAACGUCUUCUCAGUCUCCUCUUCUCCUCCUUGACUGAAGAAGCCAUGGCCGAAGUUCUUGGUCUCACCAUCGCUCGUGAUGUUUGGCUUGCCUUGGAAAAUUCCUUCAGCCAUAUUUCCAAGACUCGUGAGCUUCGCAUCAAAGAUGAUUUGCAGCUCAUCAAACGUGGCACCCGAAGUGUCACUGAAUAUUCUCGUUCAUUCAAGGCUUUAUGCGAUCAGCUCACUGCAAUGGGCCGCUCAGUUGAUGACACCGACAAAGUCCACUGGUAUCUCAGAGGAUUGGGCGCUGAUUUUGCUAAUUUUUCCACUGCCCAAAUGUCUCUCACCCCAUUACCGGUUUUCAAAGACUUGGUUCCUAAAGCUAAAAGCUUUGAGAUUUUCCAGAAGUCACUCGGGUCCUCCUUCCCUGUUUCCUUUGUUUCCUUUGCUGCUUUUACUGCCACCAAUGGAUCGUUUUCUUCAUCUCGGGGUGGUAGUUCCUCCAAGUCCCGUCGUUCUCGCGGUGGCUACCAUGGAGGCCAUGGACGUGGUAAAUGUGGUUCCUAUAUUCCUCGGUGUCAAAUCUGCAAGACUGAAGGUCACACUGCUAAUCGAUGCAGGAGCUGUUACGAUCGUGCUGAACCUACAACACAACUUGCUGAAGCCUUCACCACAGCCUGUUCUCUCUCUAAUGGCUUGGAAUCUGAUUGGUUCACCGAUACCGGAGCAUCCGCUCACAUGACCCCUGAUCCUUCUCAGUUGGACAAGGUUGAGCCUUAUCAUGGUAAGGACUGUGUAAUAGUAGGAAAUGGUGCUUCUCUUCCUAUUACACACACUGGCACGCUCUCUUCCUCUUCCAAUUUUCAACUUUUAGAUGUUCUUGUUGUUCCCCGUCUUACCAAAAACUUGUUGUCCAUAAGCAAACUGACGUCUGAUUUUCCUCUCUUUGUCACAUUUUCUCAUGAUAAUUUUGUUGUCCUGAAUCGAAUAACAGGAAUGGCAGUGGCAAAAGGUAAACACGCAGGUGGUUUGUAUGUGAUGGAACGUGGUCACUCUGCAUUUGUUUCUGUCCUUAGAAAUAAGAAUUUACAUGCGUCCUUUGAAUUAUGGCAUGCUUGUCUUGGUCAUGUAAAUCACUCUAUUUUAUCUUUUUUGAAUAAAAAAGGACAAUUAUUUCUCACUUCUUUAUUGCCUACUCCCUCUCUUUGCUCCACUUGUCAACUCGCUAAGAGCCAUCGCUUGCCUUUUUCCUCGAAUACUACUCGAUCUAAUGUUGUUUUAGGUCUCGUCCAUUGCGAUAUUUGGGGUCCCGCUCCCGUCAAAUCUAAUUUGGGAUUUAACUAUUAUGUGUUAUUUAUCGAUGAUUAUUCUCAAUUUACUUGGCUUUAUCCACUAAAAUUAAAAUCCGAUUUCUUUGAUAUUUUCCUCCAAUUUCAAAAAUUGGUUGAAAAUCAAUACUCCACCAAAAUCAAGAUUUUUCAAAGCGAUGGCGGUGCCGAAUUUACAAGCAACCGUUUUCAAUCUCAUCUUCAACAAUUUGGCAUCCACCACCAAAUGUCUUGCCCAUACACUCCUUCCCAAAAUGGUCGAGCUGAGCGCAAACAUCGUCAUGUCACGGAAACUGGCCUUGCUCUCCUUUUUCAUUCCCACGUUCCUCCUCGGUAUUGGGUUGACGCUUUCAGCACAGCAACCUACAUUAUCAACCGGCUGCCUCUGCCUGUUCUUGGUGGUCUUUCACCUUUUGAAGUUUUAUUUGGUAAGUCUCCUAAUUAUGAGAAUUUCCAUCCUUUUGGUUGUCGUGUUUACCCAUGCUUACGGGAUUACGCACCUCACAAAUUUUCUCCCCGUAGCUUACCGUGUAUUUUUCUUGGUUAUAGUUCCUCACAUAAAGGUUUUCGUUGUUUUGACACCACAACUUCUCGCACAUAUAUUACACGGCAUGCUCGCUUUGAUGAACAUUUUUUCCCUUUUUCAAAUACUUCCAGUGCCACUUCUAUUGCUGACAUCAGUCUCUCAAAUUUUUUUGAACCCUGCGCCCUUGAACCAUCUCCUAGCACAUCAUCUCCUACUACUACACGGGUCCCUCCUUCUCCUCCUUGCCAAUUUUGUGCGGAUGAUUUUGCUGUUGAGCCCUUGCAGGUUUCCUCUUCUGCUACGGAGUCCACAUCUUCUUCAGCUGCGGUCUCGCCCGUAUCUGCCUCUACGACGACCUUGGUUCCUUUUGCUGCUGAAGUUUUAUGGCUCACUCAUCUCUUCCGUGACCUUCGGGUUACUUUAACUCACCGACCUCUCCUUCUUUGUGACAACAAGAGUGCACUUUUCUUGAGCUCUAAUCCCGUGUCCCAUAAGCGCGCCAAGCACAUCGACCUUGAUUAUCAUUUCCUACGUGAGCUCAUUGUUGCUGGCACUCUUCGUCUUCAACAUAUCCCGUCUCACUUACAAUUAGCGGACGUCUUCACCAAGAGUGUCUCACGGGAUCUUUAUGUCUUCUUUCGCUCCAAGCUCCGAGUUUGUGUUAAUCCCACUCUUCGCUUGCGGGGGGCUGUAGAGGAUUCCAGUAAAUCAGUUCUUGAUUUACGACAUCCUCCUUGAUUGUAGGAGAUACAUUUUCCAUUUGUAAUUAUCUUUUCUAAUUUAUCUCUGUAUUCAAACUUCUUGUAUACGUAUAUAUAAAUGGAAAACUCAACCCCAUAGAAGUGUGGUGGUUUUACAAACAUUGUUAUAAGCAAUAACCAAAUGAAACAGAUUCCACCCAAGAACUUAAUGGUGAAAUUUCUCCUACUUCUUCUACCCUAGAAAAAGCUUUUAGAGAGGCUAGACAAAGGAGCGCAUAAUAGAAAUCACCUGCAGCCAAUAGAAAAUCAGAUCCACAGUCCAAAGAAGCAAGAAUUUCAGUUCCAUUGGAACAAUGGAUAUUUUGGAAAAGACAAUAUGACAAACUUGAAUGGGAGUUCAUCUAGGCUACCCUAGAAUCAAAAUGGCCCACGUCUUAGCCUCUAUGCUAAUCCCACCAAUCACCAACCAUACCACAAUGUAUGGCUUGCUUACAACCCAUCACUAGAAGUCAUGACAAUGGAUGUUUGCAUGUACUAUCGACCAAUCUUGCAAAGUUCUAUGAUGAAAUCUGGAGCAUGUGACUGCUGAAAAUAUGGUUUUGUAGCAUUAAUCAUGAGUGAUUGAACCAUCCGUGGAUGAAACCAUGUGAAUUUUGAAAGAGCGUCAGGAGAGGAAUGAGAUCUAUCACAAUCCUGAUAAGGCAACUGACUUGAUUAUUGAAACUAGUUCUCAGGUUCGACUUCGUCACACAUAGUUUCCUGAGGAAGCAAGAGAGCUUAAGAAAGUGCUCAAAUAGAACACCAAAGAGAAGAACAAAGCAAUAUGAAGCCAAGAUUCUGAGAAGGCAGGUGAAUUACGUGAUAGAGAACUUGAUCUAAAGGCAUAGAUCUCAAGUCUCAUAGACAAAGGCAAGGAAAUGACCAAGGUAGAGUAUCCAAAUCUUUAAAGACUCUACAUAAGCUAUUAUUGAACAAAAAUAUUUACUUCCUGAACCUCCUCCAUUGGGUUUGGUCUAAGUAUCAGGAUUCAUGAGUUCAAAUGGGGAACCAAAAUUUCUCCUCAUCAAUGACUGAAAAAAAAAACAUGAAAAUGGUAGAGAUCAACAACUUUGAACUUCUGGGAUUGGAUAAGGUCAUUGACGAAGACUGAGGUAACCAGAUUGUUUGGUAAUGGGGGUGAAGUUGCAACCAUUGGAAGUGGGUGAUGGAACAUCCUCAAAGAAACUAUUGAAAGUAGAACUGAAGAACUGUUUGUGGUUUCUACAAGUUUACUCCCAAAGAAGAAAUCCAUUUUGGCACUACUGUCUUAGGAUCCCCAACAACUCAAAGUCAUAAGAUGUAGAAUUGUCAAACUGGAAUAUCAACAAUCAAGCCAGUUCCGAAAAGCAUUGCCGUCAUCUCUAAUGCCGAGAUGUAGGAGUUAAUGGCUCAACAUGGCAUUGGAAAUCAAUAAAACUUUGAACAACAGGGAGCCUUGGAAAGUGCCAAAAGAGAGCAUAAUGCAGUUAGGGAUUCAACACCAGCAAGGCAGUCUCAGUCAAGUCUCAGGCUCCACCCAUACAGUUGCCACCUUGGUGCACACCGUCCUCCUCUUAUUACUUCUUCUCUUUCUUGUGAACAUACACAUUUUAAAUCUGGAUUUCAAAAUCUUUUCCAUUAAAUAACUCCAGUUAUCUUUAAAAUUCCAUCCUUAGGAGUUCAUAGACAUUAAAAUCUAGAUUUCAACAAACUUUUAGCUGCCAAUUUUUCUUCUAGCAUGCAUUUUCACUAUUUUAUUUAAUUUUCAACUAUUCACUUGAUGUUCUCAAUUUUCAAUAGGCAUGAAUAAAUUUGAUAGUUCCAAACAAUGGAACUCAUGGCAUUAAUUCAUGCAAAAAUAAAUUGGGUCUUAGUGGGGGCCCAACAUCCAUGACGUUUUCUUUGAUAUUGAUUCAAGUGAGGUGUUUGUUUGAUGUUUGAUUGAUAUCGAUCCCCUUUGUGAUACAUGAGAUUAUUUUGCACCUGUUAUUGAGCUAACCUUGUUUCUAUAGAAGUGCUGACGUUUGCUACCCAGGUAUGCUCUCUAUCACCCACUCUUCAAAAUCCAUGAAUAUGCAGAAUAUUAUGAGCAAUACCCAUGUUCGAUGUCAUACUUGAUUAUCUUUGAUAAAAAUGCAUGUUGUGUGUCAUAUUUCUGAGCUAACUUUGAUGUCUUAUGAUAGCGUUUGAGAAGCAGUCUAAGUACACACCCUAACUCUUCUUUAUGAUUGUGAUUUGAUUUGAUUUGAUUUUUUUUCAUUUGGCAUGCUAGUGAUAAUAGAAAUUUGAAAUCACCUUAGUCUACCUAGAUAACUUCAAUCAAUCGAUUAAUUGCCACAUUUCCCUCGACUUAGGCAAUAGAGACCUCUUUAGGGCUUAGAGGGGUACUACCUCUUUGAGGUACCUUCCCAAUAAGUAACCUGAUCCUUGGACCUAGACUCGGGUUUUUCAAAGACACACUUUUUUCAAAACUAUGAAGUCAUUUUUUUAAGGUUUUCUUUCUUGUUUUAUUUUCCAUUUUAAAAUAAAAUAAAAUAAGUGGUGACUCUGACUUUUCCAAAACUAAUUUUUCACCAUUGGAAAGUGAGUCUUGUUGAUUGAGUUGGAACACACAUGAAGAUUGCGGGUCCACAAUUAUUUUUUUGUUAGGCUAGAGAAAUAACCUUUUCUCAGGGGCUUCAAGCAUGUCUAAAGAUUUAUAACGUGUUCUUUUUUAUUGGUCAAGAUUUAAAAAGGUUUAUAUACAUUUAUUCUACAUGACCAUGAACUUCAUGUCAAUCAACUUUCAAAGAUUUCAAACAUCAUCAAGUGUACCUUAAUAUAUGUUGGGAUGUAGCCUUAGAAAACAUGAUAUGAUGUAAUAGAUUGAAAUACAUUUAUAAAUUUUAUUUAUUCAUAUUUCUUGGAUUUCCUUUAUCCUGUUUGUAUUAAUUGCAUAUAUGAGCAUACACACCCAAAUCUUUUACAUUGUUCACGACUUGGGUGCAUUAGUUGUUGCAUAGAAAAUACAAGUCAUAGGAUCUUUAUAAGUAGAUAAGUUGUCCAUAGUCAGUUCAUAGAUCUGGGCAAUCUUGUAGAGAUUGUAAUGCACUAGCUCCUAAUUGGAGGGAUAACUUGUCUUGGCCGUCGGAAUGACUUUUUCAUGAUGAUUGCACUAAUGUGUAUGGUUACAUAUUGGACAGGAUCUAUGGUGAAUCAUGAUGUAAGCUAUCGAUUUUCAUGAUUCACUAAACUACUAUAUUACAUGGACUCUCAACCUUGAAAGGAUAUUGAGUUUGUGCCAAAGUUAACAGGAGGCUAUAACUUAUGGGGGAGACCCUUAGGUGGUCACAUAUCCUUGUAGAUUGAGUCAUUAUUGAUGAAGAUUGGUAACAAUAGGUAUUCUCAAUAGAGGCACCAUGAUAUCUCAUAGGAAUGAAAUAGUGUGUCCCAUUGGGUAAUCUAAAGACAUAUGAUCUAGAAGACUGACCGUAACAUUUCCUUUAAUAGAAAUUUGACAUAUGCUAUUUGAAGAGAUAAUCUUCAAAUAGAGUAUGCCAAUUGAUCACAUAAUAAGUGAGAUAUGUAAUUCAAGGAUUGAAGAGAUAAUCUUGAUAGAUGAUAACAUUACCCUGUUAGAUUACAAACACUAGUUCAUUGGAAGUAUGCAUGGAAUGUAUAGUAAGUCACGAACCCAAGUUUUGUCUUAUUGUUAUUUACAUAAUGUAUAUAGUGUUGUUGAUUCUCUGUAUCAAGAUGUUGAAUCAAUUUCAGAAUUGGAUUUUGAGGGAAUUGAUAAUCCUAUAGGUCUUAAUGGUCUCCACUUUAAGCUCGUAUAUCCUAAUGACACGAGUUAUGAAGGUUAGAUUGAUUCUAGGUUCACUCUUGUGUAUAAGGACAUUUUGGUAAUUACAUAAGAUUGCAUAGGGGAUAGCAAACAAGGAUUUGGGAUUAGGUUAAUUAAUUAAUUAAUUAAAUAACCCUAUAUGGUUAUUUAAUCAAUUAAAACCUAUUUUGGUUUAGAUUAAGUGAUCCAAACCCAUGUGGGCUUAAGUCACUUUAAGCCCGAUAGGGGAAUUCUAUAAAUACCCCUUUAGGGGUUAAGGUUUCCAAGGUUUUUGAUCAUCAUCUUCCAUUGACCGGCGUGUUGUUUGGGCUAUAGAAAAGUUGGCAAAGAAAGACGAAAUUAAUGGGAUGGAGACCGUUUGUUUCAUGAUCGUGGAACCCUCAAUAGAAUUCCAAAUUUCCAAGUGACAUGAAUUAUCUUGUUGAAACUUGAAUCCAAAUUAAUAAAUUCUAUCAUUAUACAUAUUUUGAUAUUUUUGUUAAUGGAAUGAAAUUGCGUGGAUACUAAAUUCAUCUAAUAUCAUUUUCUUUCUAUAGUUUAUUGCAUCAAUUAUCCAUGUUUCAAUAAUCGAAUACAAUCGAAUUUACUUAAAUGUUGAAUGCUACAGAAUUUGUAGUUUCAAAUUAUUUUAUCAAAAUAAUACAAAAAUUGUAGUUCACAUGUUUUUUAAGAAGAAAAGUUGGAAAAAAAAUUUUCCACACAACCUUCAGAAAAUAAUAAAUUGUUAUACGACUUAGAAUGGCAUGAAUAAGGAAAAAAACCAUCCAUAAAAGUAAUGUUUACGCAUGUUUAGGAUUAGCAGUAUCUCCAAGCUAUUUCCAAUGGGAAUUCUACUCUUUUCAUGGAUUUUCUUCAUGCCCUUAUGCUCAAGCUUUUUUCUUAUGCAUGUUGCUUUGGUGUCCGACGAGUGUCUGAGUAAUGAGAGGGUAUGCUUGGAAGAUGAGAGGAUGUUGUUGUUGCAACUGAAGAGUACCCUCAAAUUCAAUGUUGCUGCAUCUAAUAAACUAGUUUCCUAGAGUCAAAGUGCCGAUUGUUAUUCUUGGGGCGGUGUAACCUGGGAUGCCACUGGUCAUGUUGUGUCUCUUGAUCUCAGUAGCGAAUUCAUUUCUGGUGAAUUCAAUAGCUCCAGUAGAAUUUUCAGUCUACAGUAUUUGUAGAGCUUGGAUUUAGCUAGCAACACCUUCUACUAUUCUCAAAUUCCAUUUGGAUUCGAUAAGCUUGACCGUUUGAUAUACCUGAAUUUGUCUAGCGCUGGGUUUUUUAGGUAGAUUCCAAUUGAGAUCUCACACUUGAGGAAAUUGGUUACUAUUGAUUUCUCCAUGUCUUAAUUACCUAGAGUUCCUACGUUGAAACUUGAGAAGCCAAAUCUGAGAAUGCUAGUUCAAAACCUAACAGAGCUUAGAGAACUCUAUCUUAAUGGUGUAGACAUAUCAGCCCCGGGGAAUGAGUGGUGUCAGGCAUUAUCAUCAUCUGUACCUAAUCUUUGAGUUCUGAGCUUGUCCUGGUGUUUUCUUUCAGGCCCUAUUGAUUCUUCCAUGGUGAAGCUUCACUCCCUGUCAGUUAUUCAUCUUAAUUAUAAAAUUUUCACAACUCCAAUUUAUGAUUUUUUGGCAAAUUUCUCAAAUUUGACUUCUUUAAGCCUCAGUUGUUGAGGACUAUAUGGAGCAUUCCAAAAAAUAUCUUUUAGGUACCAACCUUGCAAAUUCUUGACUUGUCUAACAAUCAGUUACUCUGGGGUGCUUUGCUAGAGUUUCCUUAGGGUGGGUCUCUACGGACUCUAGUGCUUUCGGAUACAAAAUUUUUUGGGCAUAUGCCAGAUUCCAUAGGUAAACUUGAGAUGUUGUCCUGGAUAGAACUAGCACGUUGCAAUUUCAGUGGACUAAUCCCCAGCUUUAUAGAAAAUCUUACUCGAUUGUUUUACCUGGACUUAUCGUCAAAUGGCUUUGCUAGUUCAAUUCCAUCCUUUCGUUCUUCAAAGAAUCUGACCCAUAUAAACCUUUCUCGUAACUAAUUUACUGUUCAGAUUAUUUUCCACCACUGGGAAGGUCUUUUGAAUCUUGUGAAUCUGGACUUGCAUCACAAUUUGCUGCAUGGUGGUCUUCCACUGUCCAUAUUUUCUCACUUAUCACUGCAGAAUAUAUGGCUUAGCAAUAACCAAUUUUCUAGUCAACUCAAUGAAUUUUCAGCUGUGUCUUAUGUACUGGAGGCCCUUGAUUUGGGUAGCAACAAUCUACAAGGGCCAAUACCCAAGUUUGUCUUGUUAAUAAAACCAUUAUGAAUCCAAAUUCUACAUAGAAAUCUCAUGUAAAUCAUAUAAAGAAAUUUUGCUUGAACAUUUUACGGAAUGCAAACAUACAAAAUCCGAACUAACCUGAGUCCAUUGUGGGUGUUGAAGAAGUAUGGAUCUUCUAAGGCGAUAGAGAGGAAACCACCUUUUGCUUAAUCUCUCUGGUUAUGGGAUGCAGGAGAGCGAGCGUUCUUUCUUUUCAAAAAAUAUAUAUAUCUUGAACGAACACCAACCUGAUGAAUUCCUUAUAUCCUCUAUGCCUUAGGGACCAUACCCUUUGGAUAUUGGGCCAUAUGUGUCUUUGGCCCAUCAUUUGAGACACAUAUGGUAUUGGGCUCUACACAUAAGGUGGCCUAUACUUUAUAACAAAUAUAAAUUAAAUAUAUACAUGCGAAUAGCUUAAUCAUAAACUAUGCUUCAUAUCUGUGAGUCCAUAGUUAUUCUAACAAUCUCCCACUUGUACCACAUAUAUUACCGAACAAUGUUUAUGAUAGUACUUUAUUGAGCUCAUCUUUGCUAUCCCAUCUAAUUGGUCCUACUUUAUGACUAAAAAUAGUCAAAUUUCACUUUCAACACUUGAUGCUAAACUGCUUCUACAAGUCAUCAUUUCAAUUCAGAGUAUUCAAACAUAAUAAUCUUUAAAACCAAAGUCUAUACAGAUAACACAAACAUAACAAUACAUCAAGAAAACAAACAUAAAACCUAAAUACAAACUCCCACUAUACUAGCACAUCAUUAAUAUGUACAACAUCCAUAUGUGUGACAUACUCAUGAUAUACUUUGGGUGGCAAACCCUUAGUGAGUGGAUCCGCAAUCAUGGAGUUUGUGCUUAUGUGGUCAAUUGAUACUUGAAGACUCUGAACUCUUUCUUUCACAACCAAGAACUUGAUGUCAAUGUGUUCGAACUUUGACAAACUUUGAUUGUUCUUAGAAUACAAUUCUGCGACCUUAUUAUCACAAUUGAUUCUCAAUGGUUUCUCAAUCCCAUUAACAAUUUGCAAUUCUGUGAUAAAAUUCCGUAGCCAUAUCCCAUGGUUUGAUGCCUCAUAGCAGGCUAUGACAUCUGCCUCCAUAGUGGAAGAAGCAAUAAGUGUUUUUUUAACACUUUUCCAAGAAACUACUCCUCCAGCCAACAUGAAGAUGUAGCCUGAAGUGGAUCUCCUAUUGUUAAGACAUCCCGCGAAAUCGGAGUCCGAAUAUCCCACGAUCUCUAAAUGAUUGGAUCUUCGAUAUGUGAGCAUCUAAUCUUUAGUUCUUUGUAAAUACCGCAUAACUCGUUUUUCCUUUUUCCAGUGAUCCAUACCUGGGUUACUCAAAUAUCUGCCCAACAUUCCAACAAUGUACACAAUAUCCGGACGCAUACAAACUUGUGCAUACAUGAGACUUCCUAUUGUCGAGGCAUAGGGAAACCUCUCCAUAUUCUUCAUCUCAAGUUCAUUUUUCAAACAUUGGUGCAAGCUAAAUUUAUCGCCUUUUGCCACAAGCAUGUCUCUUGGUGCAUAAUUGCUCAUGCCAAACCUACUUAACACAUUAUCGAUGUAGGACUUUUAUGAUAGCCCAAGUAUACCUCUUGAACGAUCCCUAUAUAUUCUUAUACCCAGCACAAAAGAUGCAUUAUCAAGAUCCUUCAUGUAAAAUUUACGGAAUAGAAAUCGCUUGGUUUCAUGCAAAAGUUCCACAUCACUACUUGGAAGUAGAAUAUCAUCUACAUAUAGCACCAAGAUAAUGAAUUUGCUCCCACUGAACUUGAGAUAUAUGCAGUGAUCAACGAUGUUCUCCUUAAAAUUAAAUGAAGUAAUCACUUGAUCAAACUUUCGGUACCAUUGUCGAGAAGCUUGUUUUAAACCAUAUAUGGACCUUUUUAAUGUGCAUACAAGUUGCUUUGACUCAUUAGACUCAAAUUUCUCCGGUUGCACCAUGUAUAUUGUCUCAUCAAUGUUACCAUUAAGAAACGCAGUUUUAACGUCCAUUUGAUGCAACUCUAAAUCAUAAUGAGCCACAAAUGCCAUGAUGAUUCUAAAGGAGUCCUUUGACGAAACCGGUUAAAAGGUCUCCUUGUAAUCAAUACCUUCUUUUUGAGUAAAACCUUUUGCGACUAGGCGUGCCUUAUACCUAACAAUGUUGCCUUUUGAAUCCUUCUUGGUCUUAAAAAUCCAUUUACAACUAAUCGGUUUUACAUCUUUAGGCAACUCUACUAGGUCCCAAACACCAUUGUGUUUCAUUGAUUUCAUCUCAUCCUUCAUGGCUUCUAUCCACUUUUCAGAGUCAGAACAUUGUUUGACUUGACUAACUAAAAUUGGAUCAUCUUUUAAACCCAUGUCAAACUCAUGUUCCUGGAGAUAUACAACAUAAUCAUCUGAAAUUGUACUUCUCCUUUCUCUAGUGGAUCUUCUCAAUGGUACUUGUACUUGAGGUUGUUGAAGUUGUUGAGUUACCUUUUCAUGAACUUGAAUUGGUUCCACAACUUGAGUAGGAGGAAUUUCAGGUGUGUCUACAAUCUCUGUUAUUGGUUGUACAUUCUGGAUAGUGUCAUCAAACAUAAUAUGACCAUGUCUAGUUGCAAUAAUAGGAAUACUAACAGAUUCUUCUUCAAAGACCACCUUUCUUAAUGGCUCUCUCCCACUUAACUCAACAUUCUCAAUGAACUUAACAUUGCCCGUUUCAAAGAAAGACUUAGUUGAGGGGUUAUAAAACUUGAAACCUCUCGACCUUUCAGAAUACCCUACAAAGUAGCAGCUCACUAUUCUAGAGGCCAAUUUCUUUUCAUUUGGCUUAUAAGGCCUAGCCUCAGUUGGACAACCCCAAACAUGCAAAUGCCUAAUACUAGGUUUCUUGUUAGUCCAUAACUCAUAUGGGGUUUUGGCUACUGCUUUGCUUGGGACUCUGUUCAAAAUGUAAACUGCAGUUUUGAUAGCUUCACCCCAAAGUGAUUCUGGUAAGGUGGAAUGACUGAUCAUACUUCUUACCAUAUCCUUAAGAGUACGGUUUCGCCUCUAUGCUACACUAUUUUGGCUUGGAUUCCCCGACAUGGUGUACUGAGGAAUGAUACCACACUCCAUAAAAUAUUUAGCGAAUGGCCUUGGACGUUGUUCACCGGAUCCGUCAUAUCUACCAUAAUAUUCAUCUCCACGGUCAAAUCUAACAACCUUUAUUUUCUUGCUUAGUUGGUUCUCAACUUCAGCUUUAAAAUUCUUGAACACAUCCAAUGAUUGAGACUUCUCAUGAAUCAAAUAAAGAUAGCCAUAGCAUGAGUAAUCUUUAAUGAAAGUGAUAAAAUGUUGUUGCCCAUUCCAAGAAGGGGUAGGAAAUGGACCACAAAUGUUCGUAUGUAUCAAUUCCAAGAUGUCACCCUCACCUAUUGGCAUCCUUUUUCUUCACAUUUUUUUGUUUACCCUUAAUACACUCUAUACAAACUUGAAAGUUUGACAAAUUAAGUGGAUCAAGAAUUCCUUCUAACACAAGCCUUUGAAUACGUUGAUUUGAAAUAUGACCUAAACGCUUAUUCCAUAGCAUUGAUGAAUUCUCAUUUGUUAAUUUUUCACUUAAUGCCAUAAUUGCUUGAAUGCAAGGUUUCAUUACCAUUAGAGACCUUUAUGUUCAAUUUGUAUAACUUAUCUUUUAGACUACCGGUACCAAUAACACUUGAAUUUAAAUAAAAACUAACCAUUCCAUUUCUAAAUGAACAAUAAUAUCCACAUUUGUCCAAACAUGAUACAGCAAUUAAAUUUCGUCUAAACGAUUGUACCACAAAAGUCUCUUUUAAAUCCAAAGUAAAACCAGAAUUUAACUGUAAUCUAAAAAGACCAAUAGCCUUCACUGCAACCUUAUUUUCAUUUCCCACAUAGAUGUAUUUUUCAUCAUCAGUUGGAAUUCGGCUCCUUAGGCAACCCUGCAUCGUGACACUAAUGUGAGUAGUUGCACUGUAUCUAUCCACCAAGUGUCAAUAGGCACUAUAGCUAAAUUAAUUUUUGAACAAACAAAGUUGAGAAGUGUACCUUUCCUUUCACGCCAAGCGGCAUAUUUGGUACAUGUCUUCUUCAUAUGACCAGCCUUCUUGCAAAAGAAACAAGUGAUCUCCUUAUCUUGUUUUUUCUGCACCUUUUGCUUAGAUGUCCCAGAAAAUGCAGUUUGUUUUCCUUUAUUGUCCAUUUUUCUUGUCUUGUUGGUACCAAAUCCCUGAGAUGUGGAAGCCAAGUGAGCACUUUCUAUCUUUUCUUGUUUCAAUCUCUCCUCUUCUUGUACACAUUGAGCAAUAAGCUCAUUCAUAGUCCAUUUUUCCUUUAGUGUGUUGUAACUGAUCUUGAAUAGACUAAAUUGUGUAGGUAGAGAGAUCAAGACCAAGUGCACAAGUAUGUCUUCUAACAACUCUAACUUUAGUGCCUUGAGUCUAGUCAUAAGAUUGGACAUUUCCAUUAUGUACUCCCUUAUAUUCUCUUUCCCUUUGUACCGCAUGGAGACAAGCUUACUAAGAAUAACGCUUGUGUCAACCUUUUCGUUUGCAGCGAAUUGGUUUGCUAUCUGGUCCAAGAAUGUCUUGGCUCGGGUCUUCUCAGGUAUUGCACCCCUUAUAGCUUUUGGAAUUGAGUGCUUCAUUAUCAUUAGACUCAUGCGAUUGGAUCGCUUCCAUUUUUCCAUAGCAGCCCUUUGCUCAGCAGUACUGGCACUAGUGAGGUCUGUAGGGCGAUCCUCUCUUAAUGCAUAGUCCAAAUCCAUGCACCCGAGCACAAUUACAAUGUCGUCCUUCCAUUUCUUGAAGUUUGUGCCAUUAAGCAUAGGAAUGUUAUUAACAUUAGCAAAUAUAGAAGAUGCUGAAUCCAUAACAUUAAAUCUCACAAUCAGUCACAAAAAAUAUCAUAAUAAAUAAAAAAUUUAACAUAUAUAUAUAUAUAUAUAUAUAUUUAUAUAUAUAUGCAUGUGGGCUUAUUACAAGAUACCUAGCACAAACAUUAAUAUUCAGUCUUUGGACAAAAAUAUCAACUUGUAAUUGGUAUCCUUUUACAAAAUUAGUUCAUAAAUAUUGACAAUAAAACCAAAGCAAUAUGCCUAUCUUUGGACUGACAUACAGCAUGCAAGGUAAACUUUAUAUGUCACAUAUUUAUGACUACUUUAUUUAUUAUUAUAUUAAAAUAAUCUUCCUUUGGGCCAAUUAUUUUAUACAAUAAUAACAUGUUUACAUAUUUCAAAAUAAAUAAAAUUAUAUAAUAUAAGUCACUUUGGCAACAAAUAUACAUAACUCAUUUAUUUUAAAAAUAUUAAACACAAAUGCAACAAGAAAUGGUAAAUUCGUAUAUUUAAUGUGGUACAGAAAAGAGAAUACAGAAAUUUAUCAAAAUCAUAAUUUUUUAUGGUACAAAAUCAUAAACAAGCAUAAGGGUUCUGUAGCUCAAUUGGUAGAGUGCAAGACUCUCAACCUUGUGGUCGUGGGUUCAAACUUAAUUAGGCUUUAACAUGUUUUGUGCUCUGGAUAACUUUUCUCCUAUUUUUAUAUCCUUGUUUUUGUUAAUUGUUUUAGGAAUUCUGUACUUACAAAAUUGCACAAUUUAUUGAGCUUAUAUGUGUCGUGCAGUUAAUUUGGUUUUGGCAUGAACUUUGACUUUGCUUAUUUUGUGUGCCCAUUUUUUUUUAAAAAAUCGGCAGUAAGUACCUUUUGAAAAUAGAAUUGUUGUCAUGUUUAAACAUUUCAUGUUUAAAUGGGCAAUAAUUACUUUAUUGGGCUUGAAGUUGCUUUUCUAUUUGCAAUACUUAAAGGCUUACUAUAUGAUUGAUUGGGUGGUGUUUUGUAGAAAUGAAGCUCCAAACGAUGCCGACAUUGGCGCCUUAAAGCCAAAGGACACCAACAAAAGAAGGACCCAUGGCGACGCCGAAUACCCCAGUAGUGGGGCCAAAUGAGGCCACAACGUCUUUCCGAUCGCCUAAAACGGCGCCAACAACCCUCUCUAGGCGGCAUCGCGGGGAACGCCUACAACGGCACCAAAACGACACUAGAACAAUGCUUUUUCGAUCCCCUAACGACACCAAAAUGGUGUCAUUGACUGGCGGAAUGGCAUCCAGCGCUGCUCCGAUUGCCAAAACAGCGCUUGCAGUGCUCCUCAAGGCGGCGGGGUAGUGGAAGCAGUGUCACCACUAUCACCGGUAGAGGCACCAAACGACGCCACAACGCUUCUCUGAGCGCCAUUCUUUGCUCUCUAGAAACCCGAAUCACCACCCUCCCUAAUGGCCUCCGAAUCGCCACCGAAUCAAGUCUCCCAAGCUGUGUUGCGGUUGUUGGUGUCUGGAUCUACUUCGGGAGUCGCUUUGAGAGCAACGCCACCAACGGUGUGGCUCAUUUUCUAAAACGCAUGGUGUUCAGGGGCACGGAAAAGAGGCCUGUUGAGGGUUUUGGUGAAGGAAAUUGAGAGCAUGGCGAUCACUUGAUGAUUUAAAAAAUGGCAAUUUCUUAAUGAUUUAACAUGCUGCUCUAAUACCAAUUGUUAAUAAAACCAUUAUGAAUCCAAAUUCUACAUAGGAAUCUCAUGUAAAUCAUAUAAAUAAAUUGUGCCUGAACAUUUUACGGAAUGCGAACAUACAGAAUCCGAACUAACCUGAGUCCAUUGUGGGUGUUGAAGAAGUAUGGAUCUUCUAAGGCAAUAGAGAGGAAACCACCUUUUGCUUAAUCUCUCUAGUGAUGGGAUGCAGGAGAGCGAACGUUCUUUCUUUUCAAAAAAUAUAUAUAUCUUGAACAGACACCAACCUGAUGAAUUCCUUAUAUCCUCUAUGCCUUAGGAACCAUGCCCUUUGGAUAUUGGGCCAUAUGUGUCUUAGGCCCAUCAUUUGAGACACAUAUGGUAUUGGGUUCUACACAUAAAGUGGCCCAUACUUUAUAACAAAUAUAAAUUAAAUAUAUAUAUGCAAAUAGCUUAAUCAUAAACUAUGCUUCAUAUCUGUGAGUCCAUAGUUAUUCUAACAUGUCUUUGAUCUUUGGGGUCUUCACAUCCUUGAACUUUCUUUCAACAAACUCAAUGGCACCCUUGAACUAAGCAAAUUUCAAAAACUAGAGAACCUUACUAUUCUGAGUCUUUCACACUAUAGGUUGUCAAUCAAUGUGGAUGGUUUCAAUUCCACCUUUUCUAAACCCCCGCAUUUCACCACAUUAAAAUUGGCUUCUUGCAACCUGAGAAAAUUCCCUGAUCUAAGGAACCACUCAAAGUUUUUGACAUAUUUAGACCUUUCACAAAACCAAAUUCAAGGGGAAAUACCUAAUUGGGUUUGGAUGAUCAGCAGUAGCUUCCUUAUGCUUUUGAAUCUCUCACAAUUUGCUGGUGGGUCUGCAACAACUUUUCUCCAAUUUUGCUCCUUAUCUCUGUCUACACUUGACCUACAUUCCAACCUGCUCCAUGGACGAAUCCCCACCCCACCCCAAUUUUCCAACUAUGUGGAUUACUCAAACAACAACUUCUUCUCUUCCAUCCCAGAUGAUAUUGGUACUUACAUGUCCUUCACUGUUUUCUUCUCUGUUUCAAAGAAUAAAAUCUCGGGAAUCAUGCCUGCAUCCAUCUGCAGUGCAACUUACCUCCAAGUUCUUGACUUUUCUAACAAUGCUUUGAGUGGUGGAAUACCUUCAUGUUUGAUUGAGAAUGAGGCUCUUGCGGUUCUGAAUCUACGGAGAAACAUGUUUAGCGACACUUUAUCUGGGAAUUUUCCUGGAAACUGUAAUUUACAGACUCUAGAUCUCAAUGGCAAUCUUUUAGAAGGGACAAUUCCAGAAUCCGUAGCCAAUUGCAAAGAGCUAGAGGUUUUAAACCUUGGAAAUAAUCACAUAGAUGACAACUUCCCUUGCUGGUUGAAGAACAUGAGAAGUUUGCGUGUGCUUGUUCUGUGAGCCAACAGAUUCCAUGGACCCAUUGGAUGUCCAAAUAGCAAUUCCACCUGGGCAAAGCUUCAGAUUGUAGACCUAUCUUACAACAAUUUUAGUGGGAAAUUCCCGGCAAAAGGCUUUUUGACCUGGAAAGCAAUGAUGGCUAGUGAAGAUGGAGUCCAAUCAAAGCUAAAUCACAUGCAAUUUAAGGUCCUAGAAAUGAGUGAAUUGUAUUAUCAGGAUGCUGUAAGUCACCAGCAAAGGUCAAGAAAUGGAGCUUGUGAAGGUCCUGACUCUCUUCACUUCCAUCGACUUCUCCUUCAACAACUUUGAAGGCCAGAUACCAGAAGAGAUGGGAAACUUCACAUCACUAUAUGUCCUCAACUUAUCCGGUAAUGGUUUCACAGGCCAAAUCCCAUCAUCAAUAGGGCAGCUGAGACAGCUCGAGUCAUUAGACCUCUCACGCAACCACCUGAGAGGGAAGAUCCCCAGAGAGUUUGUGAGCCUAACUUUCCUUUCAGUCCUGGACCUCUCCUUCAAUCAGUUAGUGGGGGCAAUCCCAAGCGAUAAUCAAUUUCAAACAUUUUCAGAAGCUACUUUCCAAGGGAACAAAGGAUUGUGUGGCAACCUUUGAGUGUAAAUUGCGAAGAGGAAACACCAUCACCGACGUUUGAUGACAGGCACUCAGCUUCCCGAAUGGAGAUUAAGUGGGAAUACAUAGCUCCUGAAAUAGGAUUUGUGACAGGGUUGGGAAUCGUGAUUUGGCCUCUAGUGUUGUGCAGGAGAUGGGAGGAAAAGCUACUACAAACAUGUUGAUAGAAUUCUUUCAAGGAUUCUCCAUAACCAAGACCAAAGAAGAGCGAGUGAUGGAAGAAGAGCUCACAGGGAGGCGGAGAAUGUAGCAGUGGUGCAGAGGGAUGUAGUUGCUAGUCAUAGUCUAUUUCCAUUAAUGAAAAAAUUGUAUAUUUAGGUUUGAUUUCUAUAAAUUUCUGGUGAAUGCAUAACUUUAUAUUUGGACGGUAUAAUGGUGAAGAUUUUUGAGGAUCAUAAGAAUUUGAUUUUCCGAAUAACUUUACUCCCAGCUUUUAUUAAACAUAUAUUUUUUUAAUUUAUUAAAGAAUUUAAAUUCUGAAACCACCCCAUCAAAAGCUUUUCUACAAAAGUAUCAAAUCUUAAAUUCGGGGGAAAAAAAAAACAAAAAAUAACCUUGAAAGUUCUUUGGCUUCAUAAUAUUUUAGUCAUAAAAUCCUUUUCAAUCAUUGUAUAAAACUCUAUUUUUUUUUUUCAAAAAAAAAAAAUCAAAGCUAUGGAAAAGUUUGAACAUGAGAUCCAACUAUAUAUAUAUAUAUAUAUAUAAAUAAUAUUUAAUAAAAAAAUCUGUUCUACCCAUGUGCAGACAAGCUUCUUAUUCAAAGCCAAAACUAUAGUCUAUAACGUUGUUAAACGUGCCCAAAAUAAAAUUCUAAUUUUGGGCUGGAUGUGGGCUUGAGUUGGGUCAAACUUGGUUGGCUGGAUUUGGGUCAUUCAAAAAAUAUGGGCCUGAUUGGUACAUCAUAUGACCAACUGAGGUAGCUAGGCCCAUAUUCAGCCCAAUUAACACAUCUGAAGCCAUAAGGGAUUCAAGAUUCAAAAACACGUAAUUACCAGACUAGGUUGUAAUUUUGAGUCGCUACAGAUAAAAGAUCUUCCUAUGUUAUACUAUCCAAUUUUCAAGAAUAAACAAUUUGAUAGCUUAGAUAUUGUUAUUCGUGAUAUUGAUAUGAUUUAAUAUCAUCGAGAUGUAAUUCAUACCAUUGAAUUUACAUUAUAGUUGAAAGAUUUAUCAUCUUUAUGAGAUUAAAUCUCGAGUUAUUACCAAAAAUAAAAAUAAAAAUGAUAUUAUGGAAGUAAAUACUCUCGCAUUUGUUGCUAUUGCAAUCUCCAUUCUAGGUCCUAAUAUUUUACUUAUCAAUUAUGUAAAAUCAAUUAGCCAAAACAACUAAUUUGAAUGAAAUUGAACUUCUUAGUUCUUAUCAUUAAUUAAAGAAAUAAAAUGAAUAUCAAUAAUUGAAUAAAUAAAAUGAAAAGGGUUCCAAUUUAGUGUCUUAAAUGAAAUGUAAUAUAUUUAGGUAUUUUUAUUUCAUACCGAACUUUUGACAUAUGAGUUUGACUACUAAUCCAAGAAAAAAGGAUAUUUAAAAAAAAAAUCAAACAACAAUCCUGCCACUCUUACCAAGGUAAUGAAUAAUCCUUUUUAAGGGGUCCAUAAAAAAAGAACAAACUCUAAAAUAGUGAAUUAGUUUUAUGGAAUAUUAUAUUUUUAUAUUAUGACUUGGUUUUAUCACUUUGCUUUGUCUUUCAAUAAAAUUAGAUCAUUAAAAAAAUAGAAUUUAGAACUGAAACCCUAUUUCCUUUUUCCAUUUCACUUCUAUUAUUUUUUUGGGUUUAUAAUAAAUGGAUAAUACUUAACUUAAGGGGAAGAAAGUCUAACAUUACAAGUGGCUGCUAUAAAAAAUUCUAUAGAAUUUAUCAUUUAUCAUUUUUAAUUUUAAUAAUAUAUAAAUGAUAUAUUUAUGAUAUUAUUAGUUUGACCAUAGUAGUUUGAUCAUUGCAUCGUGAACUAAUAACUUUUCCAAUUCGAGGAUUGAUCAAAUUUUGAAUACAUGGAGCAUGACAAAUGGAAAAGCAAAUUAAUUUUUUUUUAAAAAAAACAAAAAACAAAAACAUGAUUUCUACAUCAAAAUCUUUAUAAUCGCUCAUUAUGGAUGGAUUUACAUGCUCCUUCUAAGAUAUCUAAUCUUGGUGGAAAGUAUUAUGCAUUUGUUAUUAUGAAUGACUUAGGUACAUAUGAGUUCUAUUUUUAAGUCACAAAAAUGAACAUUUUAUUUUUAUUUUUUCAAAAUUUUGUAAAAAGGUUAAAAAUGAAAAAUGUUUCACAAUCACAUACAUGAGAAAGUAAUCGCAAGGGAGAAAUUGAAAAUUUUGAUUUUGCAACCUUUCGUAGUGAUCAUGUAUUGAACAUAAUUUUUUAGCUCUUAAAAUACCUCAACAAAGAGUUGUUAAAGAGAGAAGUAGAACUUUAUAAGAAAUGACAAAAACUUAGCUUAAUGAAAAUAAUCCGCAAAAUUAUUUUGGGUGAAAGCAACUAAUAUUACUUGUUAUAUUUUAAAUAAAAUUUUAAUGUAAUCCAUUUUGAUUUCUAUGAGUUUUGAAAAAAUAAAAAAUUCAAUAUUAAUUAUUUUAAAAUUUUUUGGUGCAAAUGUUUUAUCUUAAACUAAAAAGAUAAGGGAUUCAAAAUUAGAUAUUAGGAUUUUCCUUGGUUAUUCUUGUGUAAGUAAAAGUUGUAUAGUUCUCAACAAAAAGACCUUUAAAGUAGAAAGUUUAUGCAUGUUGUAUUUGAUGAAUAUAUAAUCCUUUCUCUCAAGAUAGCAUCAAGCUUAAUGAUGAGAUAAGUCAUUAAGAAAGGCUAAGCAAACUCAACUUGGAUAAAACUCAACCUUGACAUGAAGUAGAAAAUCUAAAGCCUAUAAAAAGGAGCAACUUUCACUUGUGUUUCCACCAUAAGAAGGGACAAGUACUCUAGAGAUCUUCCAAAAGAGUGAAAGUUUGUCAUCCAUCAUCCUCAAGAAUGAAUUAUAGGUAAUCCAUUUAGAACGAAAAAAACUAAAUCAUCUCUUAAAAAUAUUUGCAACAUUCUUGUUUCCUUGUCUCAAAUUGAACAAAAGAAAAAAAAAAAUUCAUGAGAUUGAAAAUGAUGAAAUUGGAUAAAUGUUAUGCUAGAAGAGCUAAAUAAAUUUAAAAGGAAUGAACGACAAGAACUAGCUUAUGGACCUUCUAAUCAAUCUAUAAUAGGCACAAAUGGGCAUUUAUAAAUAAAAUAAAUGAAGAUGUUGUAAGGGUAAGAAACAAGGGUAGGUUAGUAAUUGGAGGUUUUCAUCAAGAAAAAGGUAUAAAUUAUGAGAACACGUCUACUUUCUUUCUAGAUUAAAGGCUAUUAUGAACAUGUUGAUUGCAUUUACAUGUUAUAAAAAAAUUAUUUGAUAUUAAAUGGAUGCCAAAUGUGCAUUUUCAAAUGGUUAAAUAAUAGGAGUGUAUGUAUGGCAAUCUCUUGGUUUUACAAAUUAGCUAGCAACAAUUUAUUCAUCUUUUGUUAUAUAUGUGGAUAAUGCAACUAAAUUUUACCUUUUGUUAAACCAAGAAACUAGUGAGGUCCCAAGGAGUGUUUCACUAGUGUGUUUCUUAUAUAUAUAAUUAAGUCAAAGUUAGUACUCUUACAAUGUCUUAAACCAAAAUAAAUAAUUAUUCUUUUUGAAUAUCUAAAAAGUCUAUUUAUAACAUUAGAAUGAGAUUUCUUAGGACAUGAUUAAAAUCUUGUACACAAGCAUACACAAAGCAUGAUAUCUGACUUAUUAAUGGUAAGGUAGUACAUUGAACCAAUCAUGUCACUAUAAGAGAGUAUGGUUAUCUAAAAAUUCUAUAUAUGACAUCAGAAUGAGAUUUCUUAGGACAUGAAUAAAAUCUUGCAUGUAAGCAAAUGCUAAGCAUGAUAUCCAACUUAUUAAUGGUAAGUAGUACAAUGAAUCAAUCAUGUUACUAUAAAAGAGUAUGGUUAAUAGAUUGUCCUUGUUCAUCUUUGUUAAGCUUGAUAAAUAAACUCAUUAAAGUUUCCAUAGUCUUUAUAUCUUCCAUCUUGGACUUUUUAAGAUCUUUAAUAUAUUUUAUUUUAUUAAUAAUGUAUUUUUUUGAUAGCUCAACUUGUAGAUCAAGAAAGUAAUUGAGCUCUUUUAUCAUAUACUCAUUUCAAAUUCAUUUUGUAUACACUUAUAGAAUCCUUGACGAAGAGAGAUGUUAGAAGCACUAAAUAUUAUGUUAUUAACAUGAAUUUGAACUAUGAGCAAAUCAUUACCUUUGGUGCUGAUAAAAAAUUUAAUGUUUAUUUUGCCCAUUUUAAAACUAUUAUCAAGUAGAAAUUUGUCCUAUAUUUUAUACCAUGCCUUAAAUUUAUAAACAUGUCUAUUUCAAAAAUAAAAAUAAAAAACUUAAAUACAUUAUCCAUACUUUCAUAUUAAACUUUUUUUAAAAAAUAAAAAUAAAUUACCUAAAUAAGUUCAAGAGAAUUCACCUUCUUAAAAAUAUGUUAAAAAAACAAAAAAAAAACAAAACUUAAAUAUAGAGGAAUAAUAGAUGGGAAAUUAUGACAUAUAAUUCUCAUUGAUGAUGAUGGAUAUUUAUAUACAAAUACAGUUGAGUUAUAUUAUAAUUGAAACUUUAUCUUCUAUUAUAAUUCAAACUAAUGGUAAACUUCUACUCUAAUUCAAAUUGUAUAUUCUACUCUAAUUCAAACUAAUAUAUAAUAAAUAGAUAAAUACUAAUAUUUAAAUUACAAAUAACAUUAACUUUCUUUGAUAUGCCCUUGCAAGAUGUAGCAUUGAUUGGAGAUUCAAAUCUUGGUCUUGAGAGAAAUAAAUAAAUAAAUAGACUGCGAUGUAUUCAAAUUUUUUUGGGGAGGGUGGUUUCCCCGAGUCUAGGCGAUGAGUGGAUUCAACUUCGUGGCUAAAAGAUUAGGCAAAAGUAGUGGGAUCUUCCUAAGUCGAAUUUCUAAAAUCUUUGAGGAACUUAUAGAAAAAAAAAAUGUUUGUUAAAGGAAGAGUAGGAUUAAGAGCUUUAUUUGGCAUUAAACUAGAUAAUGUUUUAGAAGUUAAUGCAAUAAAUGACAUAGGAGUUAAAAGGGAAGGAAUAGUAUAAGGCAAAUCUCAAGUAGAGGUAGAGGAACAUGACCAUGUUUGUUUUUCGAAGACAUGCUAGAAAACAAUCAAAUAUUUGAGGAAGCUUUUAGAGAAAGAGAGAGAGGCAAAGUUGAAGAUAAUAAAUAAGUAUAUGUUUAAUUAAGGGAACCAAUAUUGGUAGGAAGCAAAGAAGAAGAAAAUUGUGGAAGGUUUGAAACAAGAAAAUUUGAAGCUCUUGAUGUCAAGAGGUAUUGAAAUCAAGAUACUGCAUUAGAGAUUGUAGGGAAAGAGACAUUGAAACCAAGAUAUUACAUAGGAGUCUAUAAGGAAUGAGGCAUUGACAAUAAAUAGACAUAGUAAGGUCUCUAACAUUUGUGGUAGGGGUUGAGGAAGGUGAUGUAGGGCCUAAGCCUACACCCUAAAUUUACUCCAAGUUGAGACUAGGGUUUAGGAUUCAAAGGCUUUGAUACCAUAUAGAGGAAUAUUUUUAUAGAAAUACAUUUGAGUUCUACUAUAAUUCAAACUAAUAGUAGACUUCUCAUCUAAUUCAAAUUCUAUAUUCUACUCUAAUUCAAACUAAUAUAUAAUAAAUAGAUAAAUACUAAUAUUUAAAUUAAGAAUAACAUUAACUUUCUUUUAUAUUAAAUACAUUAUCCAUGUAACUCAAAAAGAAAAAAGAAAAAGAAAUCUUAAAUGCAUUAUCCAUGCUUUCAUAUUAAUUUUUUUUAAUGAAAUUAACAAAAUAAUUUCAAUAGUAUUUGCCUUCUAAGGAACCAAAAAAUAAAAAAUUUGUUCAUGCUUUUAGAUUUAUAUAGCGGAAAAUACUCUUAUCAAUAUAUUGACUUGCAAGAUUCUUUUGAUUCAACUUGAAGAAUAAGGUAGCCUUACUGCAAAGCUAACCUAUGAAUUAUAUUUUGACCCACAAUUUUAUAGCCCCUUCUAUAUCUUUUUCUCAAAUUUCAACAAACCAAAAAAUUGUUUCAUUGAAAGAGCAAUGUCUGUUUUUUUUUUAAUAUGGUUAAUUUGAAUGUAUAGAAAAUAAAAAUUUUUAAACUAAAUUCUUUAUAUAACCACAUAUAAAUAAUUUUCAAUUAUUUCAUCAAAUUUAAUCAAUUUGCAUGUUAUAUACAUAAAAAUAAUCAUGAUAUUCCUAUCAAUAAAUUUUUUAAAUCUCUUUCAUGUAGUAAUUGAGUUCAAGUUAAGUAUAACAUGAAAACAAAAGUACAAAAUUUUUGAAAAUGUAUUAAAAAAACAUAAAAAUGAUAGCCAUAGAAUAGUAUUUAUAUAUUAAAUAUAUUUUAAUGUGUUUUCAUGUAUUGGAAUUCAAUGAAAUACAAAUUUUAUUUCCACAUUAAUAUUUAUUAUUAAUUUUUGAAGUCUUGUUUGUUAUUGAUAGACAUUUUAUUUUGAACUAAUGACACACAAUUUACUAUAGAUAUAUUAUUUUUGUAAAAAAAUAAUUUAAUAUGUGCAUUAUUAAUUGUUUUAUUAUUUUCAUAAUUUCAUUUAAAGUUUAUAUUGUCAAAUUUCAAGAUUUUUUAAUCAAAGUUUUCAUUGUUAUUAAUAUUUUCAUUGAUGUAAACUACCAACAUUUUCAUGGAUAUUAAUUUUUUUUAUUAUGUAGGUUGUAUCAUAUGGUGUAUCACUCAUUUAUGUCUUAAAUAUAAUUUUCAAAAUUUAUUCAUUUAUCCUAAUUUGAAACUUUAUUAUUAUUAUUGUUGUUAUUAUUAUUCUAAUAAUAUUUUGCUUUUAUUUAUCCAUAACAAAAUAAAAAAUAAUUUAAUACAAAUUUGAUUUUUUUUUUCAAAUUUUUCUCACAUUCUUUUAUAAAAAAUUAAGAAGAAAAUCUUUAACCACUUUUUUUUUCUUUUUUUAAAAUUUUUUAUUUAUCAAGAACUAUCUUUCUUCAUAAGUAUUUUUUUUUUCCUUUUUCUUAAUAAUUUCCAAAAGUUUUUUGAGCCAUUAAGACUAUGUUUGAUUCCUAAAAUAUUUGAGGGAAAAUGCAAGAGAGCUAAAAAAAAAAAAAGUGGAAAAGUAGAAGGAAAUAAAAAAUGAAGAAAAAUAAAAAAUAGAUUUGAAGUUAAUAAAUUGUUUUUAUAUACAACUUCAAACUCAUUUUAUUGAUUUUAACUCUUUCAUAUGAAGAUUAAAUAAUUUGAAAUUGUAUCAUUUUCUAACUAGUUUUAAUAUAUAUUUGAUUUUCUUUAGUAUUUUUCACAUGACAAUCAAAUAUGAUAAAAUCAAUUUUUUUUAAUAUUUUUUUCUUUCAUUAUUGCUUUCCGGGAAUCAAACAUAAUCUAAAUUUCUUGUUCUUUUUUCCACAAUAGAUCAACCAAGAGAAUAGAUAAGGGUCGUUGAACUUGACUUGAUGUAGAGAACCUUGAAUUUCUCUCUUUUCUUCCUCCAAUUACCUUGCCAAUUCAAAACGCCUUUAGUAGCAAGACUUUGAGGUCUACAACUAUGUACAAGUCAUGCACUCAAUUAUGCCAAAAACAUCACAUUCACAAGUCUUUUUCUUUCACUCUCCCAACUAACUUAAAUACUUCCUAUUAGAGAAACUACUAUAUAAAUAGUUAUAAAAUGUAUACUUAUUUAUAUUUAUUCAUGAUAAUAGGUAACAAUUAUAAUUAAAACAUGGAUUUUUGAGAUGAUAGCUACAAUAAAUUGAAACCUCAUCCAAUUAUUUUAGGAGAGGCAAAAUAAUGUUUGAUUGACAUAUAAACUAAACUGAGUAAAUUACAAGAAAAAUGUUAUGCUUGUUAAAGAAUUUGAGCAUUGACUAGUGUGUUGUUUGUGAUUCGUCCCUAGCAGCGGCAGUGGCAAUGGCACCAUUUGAUUCGAGGUUCAAUCCCCGGCAACGGCACCAUUUGGUUCGUGCCCAAUUGGUGUCUCAACUGAUUCGUGUCCAGCUGGUGCUCCUUGAUUGAGGGAGUAAUCAACAAAAUUUAUAACCUAUUAUACCAUGAACUAGGGUAGCAAAGACAAAGCUACUAUAGCAUAGUGGCUCUAGGAUCGUUCACUGGGAUGGGUUUUCACUUUGUAAAUGAUAUUAAUUCAAAGCUGAAUUGGUGCCUUUUCAUUUCAAGGUUAGCUUUAAAAGAAAACAUAAAGAUGUUUAAAUGAAAAAGGUUUGAUUUUAAACUAACAAAGAAUAGUAACUGAUUUUACUUACAAAGAAAAGUGUUUCUUGGAGUUCGGAUCACUAGGCUCAGAUUCCUCAUACAAAAAGGGAGUUCCGGUCACUUGUUUCUUUCCCUCGCAUUAGAGAAUUAACAUAUAGUUCCUUCUCCAACCGGUGUUGUACAGAUGCUUCCCAUUAAUGGGUUCAAACACUAAAUCCCUCUCACUGAUGCACCUUGCAAUGACUCAUACCUCUCACCUAGCACUUGCCAUUCAAGAUGAUCUUUAAUCUUGGACUUCCCUUCAAAAGCUCGCAAGAGAUAACUAAUGGAUGUCUCCUUGGAGUCCAAAAGCUUACCAAGUGUUGGCUAUUCUAGAAAAUCCUACCUUCAAGUCACCUCCCAAAGGCUCGCAAGGGGUAAACUAGUGCAUCUCCAUGGACGGAGAUCACUUGCCUUACCAAGUGUUGGCCCAAGUGAUUUAAAGGCGUUUUAAGUUAACUAAAAAGAUAAAAACCAUUAACGGGUCACACUUUCUCUUCAUUAAAAACUAAAACAACAAAACUUCCAAUUUAUGCAUGUGGAAACUUACCCGACUUUCCUUACUCCAAGAGACAAAGAGCCUAGCCUCUCAUCUUCUGAGGAAAAAUCCUCAGAGUUUGAUUAGCUAGAAAGAAAACUAAAGAGAAAACAAGAAUAUAUAAGAAAAACAGAGCAAGUGCUUUGUUCGUUGAUUCUAUAUAUGAUAUAUCUAUAUAUUGAUCGAUUACAUCCUUUUUCUUACAGUGGAUGCAAGGGAAUAUAUAUAGAGACGUUUUUCCAACCUUCCUAACUAAGAAAUCUUAUGGUUGGUGGAUUACAAGGAGAAGAAUGGAAAUUCAUACAAAAAUAUCUGAAGAAAAAUAUCCCAAAGUGUCGGUCGCAAAUAUCGGGAAGCACUAAGGACCAUUUCGCAAGUGAAAACGAGGUCUGCGAGAUUUCGCAGACAUCCAAAAAGGGCUGCGAAAUCACUUCGCAGCAAAAGGUUAUUCUCGUAGGGCUGCGAAGUUGGCUUUCAUCUUGAGGUGCUCAGCUUCCAACUUGCGGCUUAUAUCGGGCAACUUCAGGAGGAAUUUCACAGCACUGUACAAAAAGGCUGCGAAAUCAUUUCGCAAGAAAAGGGUGAUUCCGCAACACUUUGCAAAAUGCUUUCUUCAGCUUAGAGUGAUUGACUUGCAGUGGCUGUAACUUCUUCGUUUCAAAUCCAAAUUGAACCCGUUUGAAGCAUUGGAUUCUUGACUUCCUGAGCUUUGAAAUGGUAUAUAGUAUGUAGAAAAUGGACUUCGGGAAGUGCUCCAAAAGUGGCUGACAUGACUGUCAUCAAGAAUGCUUCAUGGCAGAUUUCUCUUUACUUUCCCUCCUUGCAUUCCGGAUUUGCUUAUGGCAAAGGACUUCAAAGCUUUGGUUCUUCAUGAAUUUGAGCUUCUAAAAGCUUUGCCAUAACUUGUUCAAGUAGCUCCUCCAUCAUUUGGCAUGCUUGAAUUGAUUCAUAAGCUGAUAAAAACAUGUAAACUUGCCACAAAAUGGUUAAAACCAAUUACUAAGGACCUUAAUGAAUUAAUUGGGUUAAAUGAAUAUGAUUACUACUCAAAUUAAGGUGCUUAAAACCAUUAUAAUUAGGUCUACAAAAUAGCACUUUUUGGUAGUAAUCAGUUUGGGCUAGAGAAAAGGUGGCAAAGAAAAAAAAAUAUGGAAGGGAGACUUCCAUUUUCACAUUGGUGGGAAUAUUGAGUUGAAUCUAAUUUCUCAAGUGACAAUGAUUUAUCCCAUUGAAUUCAAAUUAAUAAAUUUUAUCAUUAUAGAUAUUUUGAUAUUUUUAGUAAUGGAAUGAAAUAAUGUGGAUAUUGGAUUCAUUUAGUAUCACUUUCUAAAGUUAAUUCAAUAUGUAUGCGUGCAAAACUCUAUAAAAUUGAAUUUAUUAUUUAUGUUGUAUGCCACAAAAUUUGUAUAGACUCCAUUUUUUAUUUAUUAAAAUGAUAUAAAAGUUAUAGUAAACAUGUUUUUUUUUAUAAAAAAAAAAAGAAGAAGAAAAGUACGUACAAAAAAAAUUCUCAUAAAAUCUUGAAAAACUAAUAAAUUGUUAUGUGACUUGAAAUGACAUGAAUAGGGGUUUGAGUUUAUGUCUUGAUAUAUGAAACUAUCUUAAAAGGGGCAAAUAGGUAAUCUAAGCUUGUAGUUCCUAAUUUUAAAAUUAAUUUAAUUUGUGGAAAUCAAUAGCAUUCAAUCACAAGACAAUUACAAGUGUAGCAAUUCUAAAGUUAUAUUCCAAAAUCAAAGAUAUUACCUCAUACUUGAAAUCUUCAAUUUAUCAACCUUCAUUACUUCAAUAAGUUAAUCCAAGUUCACUCAAACUAAAUAUUUAUAAUUAAUGUAUUAAAGCCUAAAUACAUGGUAACCCAUAUGAAGAAAAACUAAAGAUGAGAUCACCAUGACUUGUAGUAUCUGGGUUGUCAUCCCUAGGAUCCAUNNNNNNNNNNNNNNNNNNNNNNNNNNNNNNNNNNNNNNNNNNNNNNNNNNNNNNNNNNNNNNNNNNNNNNNNNNNNNNNNNNNNNNNNNNNNNNNNNNNNUCAUCCCUAGGAUCCAUAUGCUAGACUNUCAACAAAAAGCAAAUCGUCUAUCUACAUUGAAAAGGUCUAAAAGCAAAGUUUUUUUUAUGAAACUAAUUUUUUAUCACAUUGCUAUGGUGAAAAUAAUAAAAUCUAUAGUAAAAACUUUUGAAGAGUUCAAAAAUCUAAUUUUAGAUUCAUAGAUAGAGAUAGUAACUUUUAACCCUAAGACAAAGAUCAAAGUUCACCAGGAUUGAAUUAGAUCUUAAGAUCAAUCUACAUCUAGCAUUGAUAUUUAAAUUUAAGGCACUAUUCUCUUAAACAAAUUUAACAUGUCAUUAUUUCAAUUUUGAGUUUAUAUGCUUUCAUUACUGACAUCCAUCAUGUAUGUUUGAUUGCUAGAGUUUCUCUCAGUGGAUCAAAUCAAGUUGAGUAGUGAUCAAUGUAUCCCUAAACAUCACUAGCAUCAUAGUAAGAAUCCCUUAUACUUAACCUAUGCCAAAGCACGUAGAGGAUUAUUCUAAUUAAUUUAAACACAAAAUAUUUAUAAACAAACCAAAUGAAAUUUAACGUUCUAUUGCACAUCAUUCCUAUGAAUCAUCUAUCUUUAUGUUACUAUUAGAAAAACAACCCCUAGAUCUAGAUUAAAGAGUGCAUGCAACUAAAAUCCCAAGUGUAGUGGAAGAUGCCUAAUUUUUCAAAAACUUAUUUUAAGGUGUUCUUAAUAAACAUACUGUAGACCCUCCAUUUUGUCAUCAUAGCACAUAUCCUAUUACGUGUUCGUUUGGUACUUUACAAUAAUUCCUUGGUGGCCCAUUAGACACCACUUUGAAGACUUUGGUUGAGGGACUCAUCUGACCCCAUUGUGAUUCUAGGCCACCUUAGGCCCACUUAACCACUUUAGGCCCACUUAGACACCCUAGGCUCAUUUAGAUGCAUUCAGCCCAUUAGGAACAGCCUUAGGCCCACUUAGGCACCCUAGGCCCAUUUACUAUACUUGGCCCAUUAGGCACCACCUUAGGCCCACUUAGGCAUCCUAGGCCCAUUUAGAUACACUUGCCCCAUUAGGCACCGCCUUAGAUCCACUUAAGCACCCUAGGCCCAUUUAGACGCACUUGGCCCAUUAGGCACCCCUUUAGGCCCACUUAGGCACCCUAGGCCCAUUUAGACGCAUUUGGCCCAUUAGGCACCGCAUUAGUCCCACUUAGGCAUCCUAGGCCCAUUUAGAUACACUUGCCCCAUUAGGCACCGUCUUAGGCCCACUUAAGCACCCUAGGCCCAUUUAGAUGCACUUGGCCCAUUAGGCACCCCUUUAGGCCCACUUAGGCACCCUAGGCCCAUUAAGGCACCGCAUUAGUCCCACUUAGGCCCACUUAGGCAUCCUAGGCCCAUUUAGAUACACUUGCCCCAUUAGGCACUGCCUUAAGCCCACUUAGGCACCCUAGGCCCAUUUAGAUGCACUUGACCCAUUAGGCACCACUUUAGGCCCACUUAGGCACCCUAGGCCCAUUUAGAUGCACUCGGCCCAUUAAGCACCACCUUAGGCCCACUUAGGCACCCUAGGCCCAUUUAGAUACACUUGACCCAUUAGGCACCGCCUUAGGCCCACUUAGGUCACCUUUCAGGGAAUUUUUGCAUGUUUGCAUGGCUAGUAUGGAUUGCAUUUUUUGUAUGGCUUGCAUGACUUGCAUGACUCGUUUAUUAUAAAGUUGCAUGACUUGACUUUUUGUUAUUUUAUUUUUAUUUAUUUUAUUUACCGUCUUGUUUAUUUCUUCUUUUAUUUUAUUUUCCUAUUAUUUUGUCACUUUUUCGUAAUAUUUGUCCUUAUAUAUUUUAAUUUAAUAAGUUUGUUUAAAUGUUUUAUUAUUAUUAUUAUUGUUAUUAUUAUCAUUAUCAUUAUUAUUAUUAUUAUUAUUGUUCUUACUAUUAUUAUUACUUUUACUCAUUUUUUUUAUCAUGAUUAUUAUUAUUACUUUAUUUUAUCUAUUGCCUUUAAAAUUUUCCAAGGAAGUACACCAAUGGAAAGAUUUAAGAGAGUAGCAGUUGUUGGAAUUUUUAUGUGUGGGCUUAUAUAAUCAAUUUGAUAAUGUCAUAAAUUAGUGUUAAUUUAAUUUUUGCAUUGUGGUCCAUAAUAAGGCUGGAUACAUUGUUGUUUGAUUUUUUAUGGGCUCACCCUAAUUCACUUGACUGGCCCAUUAAGUCAAGUAGUCCAAAUAAUGUGUAAUAUAUAUAUAUAUAUAUAUAUAUAUAUAUAUAUGUGCAUUUGGAAGGGGUCUCAUUUCUUCUUCUUGGAGAGCACGCACUGCACGCACACACACACUUGGACUGAAUUUUAGGAGAAAAGGGAAAAGCUCAUUGAACCCUAAUUCUCGUACCAUCACGCACCUGGAGCAACUUCUUGGAUACCAGUGGAGGAAGAAAUGGCUUUUCAUGGCAUAAACCAAGGUAACCAGCUCAUUUUUUGUCGUUCAAUGCAUGCUUAAAUGUUAACAUGUGAUCCUAUGCUAUUUCAAUUCUCUUCAAUUGGUAUCAGAGCUAGCAUGGAUGACAUUUGAGCUACAAUUUUGGGUUUUUUUUUUUUUUUUUUGGUUUCUCGUUUUCUGGUUAUGGAAGCCAUUUUUUUUUGGGCUUCUUUUCGUUUGGUGUUUAUUCUUGGUUUUCAAGCCCGAUUAAGGUUGGAGACUUGUAUAGAAUAUUGUUUGGAUCAAAACCCAUCAUUUUUGUGGUUUUUGGAGCUCAUUUGAUGAGAUUUCGAAAAUCAGGGCUUAUUUUGGUUCUUCCUAUUAUGCGUUUUUUUGUGCAUUUUUGGGUUUAGAUUGAAGGAUUGAUAUUUGAGGAUGGAAAUCUAUGUGUUUUUGUCAAAAAAAAAUGCGCAAAAUUUUGGGCAAUUUUUUUUUUCUUUCUUCUCCAAAACUAGGGCAUGUUCAGUUGGAGAAAAAAAUGAACAGGCCCCUACUGAUGUCAUGAUGACGUCAUUAAAAAAAAAACAAAAUCUUUUUUGGUUGCCUUGGUAUUCUUGGAUUGAUUAUGCAUAUGUUAGAAUUAUUAUGCAUUUGUUAAAUUUGACUUUAUUGGAACAAUUAUUGUUAUUAUUGUUUUUUUUGGUAUAAUUUUUAUCUUUAUAUCUUAUACCAAUAAUGUUGUCCAAGGUCAUUUUUGCUAAAUAUUUAAAUUUAUUAUGGCAAUAAAUAACACUUGUGUGAUUGCCUAUCACAAUUCCAAGUGUGUCAAGUUGCGCAAAUCAAAUAUUUGAGUUUAUAAUGACAAUAGUGAACAUAUAUGUGGUUGCCUAUCGUGAUCCUAUAUGUGUCAAAUUGUCUUUGUUGAGAUAUUUUAACUCCCACUUUUAGUUUCUUUAUUAUUGUGAUUACUAAGAUCCAUAUGGGUAUUGUAAUUGUCCUAUCGAUGAUAAUAAUACUUAGUAGGAUGCUUAGAUUGGUGAAGGAAAUUAAUUGUAUAUUAUGAACCGUACUAAUUUUAUUUGCCCUUUCGGUAAUAAAAUUAGUACAUCUUGGUUGUGAUAUUUAAUUAAUUAUUCUUACUGCCGUGGAAUUUUAAAAAUUCCAAGCUAUUGCUAAAUUAAGAAAUUCUGGAAACUAGCAAAUGCAUGAUAUUGUAAUAACAUGCAUAUUGCUGAAUUUUGCUACUUUCUAGCUACUAGCAAUCCUGGUAUUACUCUUUAAUUGUCUGCCAUCAAACUUCUUACUGGAAAUAAUUUUGAAGAACGCUUUGAGUCUUUCAAUGUGCAUAUGACUCUACAUAAUCUUGACUUGACUUUGAGGGUUGAUGAGCCAAGUAGGCCCACUGAUGUGAGCUCUGUAGAUGAAAGAUCAUUUUAUGAAAGAUGGGAGCACUCCAAUAGGAGUUGUUUGAUGGUGAUGAAAUACACUAUGGAUAAAUCUAUCAAAGAAUGCGUGCUAAAGACGAAAAGGGCCAAAGACUUCUUGGAAUAUGUGAAGGCCAAUUAUACGAAAAUUGAUAAGGCAUAAAUGACAACUUAUUUGAAGCUUCUCACAACCACUGUGUAUGAUGGAGUAGGUGGGGUUAGAGAUCACAUCAUCAAGUUAAAGCACUACUUCAACAAGGCAAAUGAUAUGAAAGUGGAGUUGGGUGAAAAAUUCUUGAAAUGGUUGAUACUUGAGUCUUUUCCUGUUUCCUUUGAUGCAGUGAAGUUGACUUACAAUGCCUUGAAGGAAGAAUGGACUCUAGAGGAGUUGAUGUCCCAUUGUGGUGCAACAUGAAGUAUCACUGAAGAAAAAUGAGACUCACUCCCUUGCUCCUGUUAUUGAGCAAGUCAGUAAUAUGAAGAAAAAACCUUCACACAAGAAUUUUGGAGGCUUUAAGCAGUUCAAGAGGGAAGGGAAUUCAAAUCAAGGAACCUCUAAUGCAUCUGUUUCUUCUAAUACUGCAAAGAGUGAUUAAUUCAAGGGGAAGUGCAACUUUUGCCACAAGAUUGGCCACAAGCAGGCUGAUUGCUUCAAGUUUAAAAAUUGGCUAGAGAAGAAAAAGAAAUAUGAAAUUUCAGUUAUGGUUAAUUUGAAUGCAAACAUGAUUGAGACUGAUAUUGUUGAUGUUCAUACCAAUUCUUGGUGGUUAGAUACCGGUGCCACUAUUCAUGUCACUAAUUCUUUGCAGGAGAUGACAAACAAAAGGAGGUCAUCAAAGCAUGAAGAAAGUGUGUAUAUGGGUGAUGGAAGCAAAGUGAAAGUGGAAUUUUUUGACAUGAUAAAGCUAAGGUUGAUCACAUAAAGUUUUUUGUUGUUACACAAUGUGACUUUCAUACCCUCACUUCGAAGGAAUCUGAUUUCUUUAUCUAUUUUGGAUAGACAUGGUUAUUUUUUUCACUUUGGAGGUGGAAAAGUGGAUAUUUUUAGCAACUCAGUCUUAAUUGACAAUGAUGUUUUGUUUGGAAAUCUUUAUAGUCUCAGUUUUCAUCAUGGUUCUUUAUGUGAUUCAUCUUCUGUUAAUUAUGAUGUUGGCUGCAAGCAUGCUAUAAUGAAUUUGAGUUCUUCCAUGUUGUGGCACAAACGCCUGGGUCAUAUUUCUAGGCAAAGAUUAGAGAGAUUGGUUAAAGAUGGUGUGCUUUCUAAUCUUGAUUUCUCAGACUUCGAGACUUGUGUUGUUUGCUUAAAAGGGAAGAUGACAACAAAGACUAGAAAUGAGAAGAUUGAUAGGUGUGGAGGCACUUUAGAUUUGAUCCACACAGAUAUAUGUGGUCCUUUGACACCAAUUGCUUUAGGGGGUUAUAAAUAUUUCAUCACUUUUAUUGAUGAUUUCUCUAGAUAUGGUUAUGUUGAACUAAUCCAUGAGAAAUCUGACUCCCUAAAUGUGUUUAAAGCCUUUAAGUCUAAGGUGGAGUUGCAGUUGGGAAAGCCCAUUAAAGCUGUGAAGUUUGAUAGAAGUGGUGAGUAUUAUGGGAGAUAUGAUGAGACUGGACGGAAUCAUGAACCAUUCGCUAAGUUUUUGUUGGAAUGCGACAUUGAUGCUAGAUAUACAAUGCCAGGCACUCCUCAACAAAAUGGAGUUGCAGAAAGGAGGAAUCACACAUUAUUAGAUAUGGUGAGGUGCAUGUUGUCUAAUUCCUCAUUGCCAUAAUUUUUGUGGGGUGAAGCCUUAAAUAUUGCGGCAUAUAUUUUGAAUCAAGUGCCCAGUAAGUCUGUGCCUAAGACACCUUAUGAGCUAUGGUCAGGGAAGAACCCAAGUCUUCAUUAUUUCCAUGUUUGGGGAUGUAAGGCUGAGGUUAGGCCCUAUAACCCACAAUCAAAGAAACUUGAUCUAAAACCAUUAGUGGUUUCUUUGUUGGCUAUUACAUUGGAUCAAGGGGUUUCAGAUUUUAUUGUCCAUCUCAUACCACCAGGAUCAUUAAGUCAGAUAGGGUUGUAUACUUUGAGGAUGAAGUUAAUGCUGAUCCAAAUUUUAUGCCUCGUGAGAUACCUUUUGGAGAAGAGCAUGUUGUGAUUCCUUUUCCUACGUCUCAUGUUCCAAAUGUGGAUGUUCCUAUUGUCCAAUAGCCAGCCACUAAUCAAGGAGAGCAUGGUGAUCAAGUGGAACCUGACAUUCCUGUUGAUGAUAAUGUUGUUGAUGGGGUUCCUUUGAGAAGAUCAUAAAGGGUUCGUAGGCUGGCUAUUUCAAAUGAUUACAUGAUUUAUUUGCAGGAGCAUGAGUAUGAUGGUUAUGAUGCUUCUGAUCCAGUCACUUAUCAAGAAACAAUUCAUUGUCCUCAAUUCACUUCUUGGAAAAAAGUCAUGGAUGAUGAAAUGAACUCUAUGUAUAUGAAUGGUGUUUGGGAUUUGGUGGAAUUGCCACAUGGUUGUAAACUAGUUGGAUGCAGUGGGUAUUUAAGACCAAACGUGAUUCUAGCAGGCAAAUAGAGAGAUAUAAAGCUAGACUUAUGGUUAAAGGUUAUAGUCAAAGAGAAAGAAUUGAUUUCAAAGAAACCUUCUCACCUGUGUCGACCAAGGACUCUUUUAGAGUGAUUAUGGCCAUAGUACCUCAUUUUGAUUUGGAGGUACAUCAGAUGGAUGUCAAGACACCUUUCUUGAAUGGUGAUUUGGAUGAGGACGUGUAUAUGGAGCAACCUACUGGUUUUGCAGAAGUUGGAAAGAAAGAUUUAGUUUGCAAGCUUAAUAAGUCCAUUUAUGGUCUUAAACAGGCUUCGAGGCAGUGGUAUCUGAAGUUUGAUAGGAUUAUCACCCAAAAUAGUUUUAAAGAGAAUACUAUUGAUAGAUGCAUAUGUUUGAGGGUCAGUGGGAGUAGUUGCAUAUUUCUUGUUUUAUAUGUUGAUGAUAUACUACUCGCAUCAAAUGAUUCUGACUUGUUGAUUGAGACAAAGCACAUGUUGUCAACCCAUUUUGACAUGAAGGAUCUUGGUGAGGCUUCUUAUGUUUUGGGCAUAAAGAUUCUUUGUGAUAGGGCUAAUGGAGUGCUUAAAUUGUCUCAAAGAACCUAUAUUGAGAAGAUAUUGAAGAGGUUCAAUAUGCACAACUGUAGAUCUUCUAAAGUGCCAAUUGUGAAGGGUGAUAAGUUUUCAAAGGCUCAGUGUCCUCAAAAUGAUGAUGAGCGAGAGGAAAUGAGAACCAUUCCUUAUUCAUCUAUGGUUGGUAGCCUUAUGUAUGAUCAAGUAUGUACACGCCCUGAUAUUGCUUUUGUUAUGGGCAUGUUGGGAAGGUACUUGAGCAAUCCUGGGUGUCAACAUUGGAAAGCCGCUAAGAAGGUCCUUAGGUAUUUGCAAGGAACUAAGGACUUAAUGUUGACAUAUCGGCACACCAGUUUACUUGAUGUAGUUGGGUUUUGUGAUGCUGGUUUUGCUGGCUGCAUAGAUGAUAAGAAAUCCACUAUGAGCUAUAUUUUUAUGAUGGCAGGAGGAGAUGUAUCUUGGAAAAGUGUCAAGAAAACACUUACAACAUCCUCAACUAUGGAGGCGGAGUGUGUGGCAUGUUAUGAGGCUUGUUGUCAUGUUAUAUGGAUGCGGAAUUUUAUUUCAACUUUGGGAGUUGUUGACUCCAUUUCUAAACCGUUGAAAUUAUUUGUGAUAAUUUCACAGAUGUUGCUUUCUCUAAGAACACUCUAAGUAUUUCUUGUUCCAAACAAAUUGAUGUAAAGUUAUAUUUUGUUAAGGAGAAAGUGCCAAAGUUUCUUAUUGAUAUUGAACACAUGUUCAUAAAAAGUAUAUUGGCGGAUCCAUUAACAAAACGCUUACCCAUAAUUGUGUUUCAGGAACAUGUAUCUCAAAUGGGGUUGUUGGAAGCCUAGGUUGUAUUAAGUUAGUGGGAGCCACUUUUGGUAUUGUAAUAUUAUGCUAUUGUUGGAAGGAUUGCUAUUAUUGUAUAUUUCCCUAUGAAUCAAGUAAUGAAGCAUAUAUGAUUGCUUUUGAUUAUUUGUUUUUGAUGAGAUUCUAUGGGACAUUGAUUUAUGAUUAUGUAUAUGUUGUGAUGUUUGAUUAUGUAGUCCAAGUGGGAGAAUUGUUGGAAUUUUUAUGUGUGGACUUACAUAAUCAAUUUGAUAAUAUCAUAAAUCAAUGUUAAUUUAAUUUUUGCAUUGUGGUCCAUAAUGGGAUUUGACACAUUAUUGCUUGAUUUUUUAUGGGCUCACCCUAAUUCACUUUACUAGCCAUUAAGUCAAGUAGUCCAAAUAAUGUGUGUAAUGUGUAAUAUAUAUAUGAAUUUAUUUACAUAUAUAUAUAUAUAUAUAUAUAUAUAUAUAUAUAUAUAGAUAUAUGUGCAUUUGGAAGGGGUCUCCUUUCUUCUUCUUGGAGAGCACACACUGCACGCACACACACACUUGGACUAAAUUUUGGGAGAAAAAGGAAGAGCUCAUUGAACCCUAAUUCUCGUAUCAUCACGCACCUAGAGCAGCUUCUUGGAUACCAGUGGAGGAAGAAAUGGCUUUUCAUGGCAUAAACCAAGGUAACCAGCUCAUUUUUUGCCGUUCAAUGCAUACUUAAAUGUUAACAUGUGAUCCUAUGCUAUUUCAAUUCUCUUCGGCAGCUGCACCACCAUAGAGGAAUUUUAGAGAGGUUUUUUAUAAUUAUGAUUUUCGGUGGAGAAUAUGCAUGUGAAGACUUUUUCACAUGAUGGAUGCAUAGAUGGACUUUGCCAGUGGGGCUUCAUGAUAUAUGGAAAUUCUGGCACACCACGACUGCAUAUGGAAAUUAAAAAAAAAAAAAAAAAACACUACUGCAAAUGAGAAAAGGCAUUACGCAUCUUGAGAAGAGGUUUAGAUUCAUCCAUGGUGAGGUGUCAUUUCCAAGCUGGUGGAGUCAAUAGAACGUUUAUGGGAAGUAAGGUUGUGAUUUUUUAGAAAAUGGAGAAUCAGUCCGGUGAGCAUAGCGAGAUUCCCUUCUGAAAGAAAAAUUUCCAUAGUUGGUUUUGGCAAGUGAAAAGAGCAGGAUGCAGCGUGUAUGUAGACAGAGAGUGAGGUCGUGUUCAAGGAAAAGAGGGAGAUGCAGCCGCAUGAUUGAGAGGAAAGAAAAAUGAUUUUCGGCACGUGGAGGAGAAGAAUAACAGGCUGGUGGAGGAAUUAAUAUGACUUUUGGGGAAGAUACAGAGAACGUUUUGAAAGACAUGACACUAAUUUUGGGUGAGAUAUUCAUCGCUCUAUUCAAAAAGGAAGAGAGAAAGGUGCAGCCGCAGGAUUAAGGGGAAAAAAGAGAUCAGUCGAGCACCAUUCUGGAGGGUGAAAAGGUACAGUUGCACCAUUGGAAGGGAGAAAGAAACGACCGCACCAAAGAAAGAAGAGAAGGACACACUUUGAAAGAUUUGUGAAAGAAGAUAUUGAGAGAUGUUCUAGGGAGGACAAAGGCUGGUCUUGAGAGAUAUUUUGGCCCCAAGUUUGAUGAUAUUGAGAUCGUGAGAUUAUGAGGAAUUCAAGCCAUGUUUGGAACCUUGUUUUGGAAGAGACUCAGGUAGUUUUUAGAAGGGUUUUACUGUUUUAGGCUACAAUCUGGAAAGUUUUUGGCCAUAAUCUGGAGGUGCACUCCAGGUCGUGUUUGGGAGAGUAUUCAGGCCACUUUCUAAGGCAGUUCAAGACGCAUUUUAGGAAAGGAUAUCGUUGAAAGAUGAUGGAGAGGGGAGCAUGACGAUUAGGAGCGUGAGUGAGAUCGAUUGGGAGAGAAGAGAGAGUUGGGUCAUACCAUAAAAGGCUUCGAGAAGCACUACUGCAUCAGGGAGCCACACCAUCAAAGGGGAUAGAAAAGGAGAACCAACUUCACUACUCAAGGGUUGGCUUGGCUCGAUCAUUCACCGAUCACCAUAACAAGAAAACACCAGUAAGGCCGUAUUGAUCAUCAUCAAAUCGAAAAUUCCAGAUUUAUGUCCAUACUUUCAACAUCAAUUCCUUGCUGCAACCUACAGCUACAUGACCUCCACAGACUGCACCCACCGCCAGUCCAUUCACAAAGCAUAAACCCAUCGAUUCCGACAAGUAGAGAGGUGCAGUCACACCGUUGAGAUAAGGAAAGAGUGCAGUCGCACCAUUGAACUUCCGCGGGAGGCACGACUGUCCGAAGAGCAAGCACCAGUCAACAAGAAAUGAAGUAGCCGCACCAUUACAUGUGAGAGACGUAGCCGGCUAGGGUGAGCAAGGAACAGACGGUGGGUUGCAUAUUGGAUUCCAAAAGAAGUGUAGCUGCACCAUUGUGAGAGAGGAGUGUUUUUUGAUGAACUAAAGUUGGAUGAUGCAAGCCUCGGGAAUGAACUUUGUGAAGUAGAUGGAUGGCAGCUUUUCUGUUAAUGGGGAUGCAUCUGGGUUUUGUUAAUGGAGUGGGGAACACACGUGCUAGAUUAUUGAGAGGGUGGUCUUUGAAUAUAACAAGAGAAUACACGCUGUCAAGGGGAAUUUCUCUCCAUUAACGUGCAGUGCUUUGGGAACUAUGCAGUGCAUUGGCAGUCAUCACACCAUGCAUCCUUGGAAUUGAUUUUAAAAAUCCUACUUGCACUUUGGUGGAAGGUGGCCCAUACGUUUAUGAAAAGGUAAGUUAAUUCUUUUUAUUUUAGUCUUGAUUCAUGAAUAUCCAAUUCAAUUCAUAGUUGUUUUAUAAUUUUAGCUAUUUAGUUUAAUUAUUUCCAAUAUCAAUAUAUUCAUGCUAUCAAUUUAUUAAAUUUAGUUUUAAAUUAUUCCCAUUUAGCCUAUGUAUUUUAAAUUUUUUAUUUAUUUAUUUUUCUAGUUUAAUUAAUCUUAUGUGGUUAUAUUCAUGUUUUCAAGUUAUUAAAUUUAGUUUUGAUUGAUUAUGUUCAGCUUCAAAGUUUCGAGGUUUUUUUAGUUGUUAAUUUUGAAUAGCUAGGUCAGUGUGUGCAUUUCAUAAAAUCAUUUGCUAUUAACUUUAAGUAUCCCUAUUAAUUUAUACUGCUCCUUAAAUUAUUAGUUUUUAGUUUUGAUUGACUCAUAAAUUUGUGUUGUCCUUAAAAUUAUUAAAUUUUUUUUAUCGAUCUAUGUUGAUUUUCAUUUUUUCUCAGAAUCCUUAGUCGUUGAUUUUAAAGAUCCAUGUUAAUUUAUAUUCGUCUCUAAGCAAUAAUUAAUUCUUGAAGAUCUAUGCCUUUAUAUGUUGUUCUUUAAAUUAUUAUAUGUUGUUUUGGCGAUCUAAAUUUUGGUAUCCAUCUAAUUGUGUAACGACACGAUAUAUUUAAGAAUUCUUGAUUGAUUAUUUUUUGUUUUGAGUUUUGAUUUUUAUUGAGAACUUUAACUAAAUAAGUUAAUUAUUAUCGACUCGAUUCUAAGUUUCUGUUUUUAAUUUAUUGAGUUUAAAUUUAAAAAUUUAUUUAAUUGCAUGGAUUACCAUUGUAUGGAUUCCAAGUUUUGAUUUUUCUAGGUUACGUUUUUAGGAUUAUAGGUUAUUAUUCUUAUUAGACCAUUUGAUUAAAUCCAUGUUUUAAAUUUUUUUAGCUUUAGUAUUGAUUGACCCAUAAAUUUGAGUUGCCUUUAAAAUUAUUAAUUUUUAUCGAUCCAUGUUGAUUUUUAUUUUUCCCAGAAUCCUUAGUAGUUAAUUUUAAAAAUCCAUGUUAAUUUAUAUUCGUCUCUAAGCAAUAAGUUAUUGAUUUUUUAUGAUUUAUGCCAUUAUAUGUUGUUGUUUUGGUGAUCUCGAUGACGUUUAUUAUUUCUUUGAAACUAAGUUGAUAAUUUGUGAUAAUCUCGUAUUAUUAGUUUCAUUCUAAAACUCAUUUAUAAGCUAUUGAUUGAUUUAUCUUAAGUUUAAAUGCAUUUAAAGUUCCAACGGUUAGUUCUUGAUCGAUAUCUGGUGAUCUUGCUUAAGGCCAUUGGAAAAUCAUGAAGAUUGGCCUCUACUCUCACCUUUAUCAUUUUUGUUGAUUAUUAAAAAAGUUUACUUUGUGAUUUCGUUUUCUUUUGUUUUGCUUGAUAUUUUGUUUCCUACAUUCUGUUGUUUUUCAAAUUAAUUUCUUUUAUUUUAAAGUAAAAAUACUUUUUCUCAUAAGAUCCCUUUGAAAAUCUAUUUUAAAAAUUCAUUUAGAGUGUUUAGAAUUAAAAUCACAUUUUCUUUUCAAAUAAUAUGCAACCAUGUUUUGAUUGGUUCGCAUCUUUCUCGGUUUUCAAUAAAAAUUAUGGUUUCGAGUAAGACAUAAAUCCAAGCUAGUGGUCCUAAAUAAAUGGGAUAAUUCUAGGCUAGAUUUAUGUAUAUCAAUCGGGGAAUUGGUGAAACCCCUACAUAAAAUUAUUUUUUUAAAACUCAUCUUUGCUGCCACCUUUGCUAUUGAUUGCAAUCAUAUCUAUUUUUUUUAGAAAUUAUAUACAAGAUGUAUGUAAUAAUUGAUGAUUUCGUAUACUUUGAUCAUUUUUGCUAUGCUAAUUAGAUAACAAUCAUGCUAAGAUUUCUUUAUUUUAUUAUUUAUUAUCUAACCCCUCAUGUUUUGCGAAAGCACAUUACAAGUUAUCUAUACUAUCCAGGUACACCCCCUAUCACCUACCUUCUAAAUUACGUAAAUAUGAUUGUCAGUACGAACCACACCUAUGUUUGAUAGUGCUUAGGUGUCUUGAUAUAUAUGUUUCAUUGUUCGAUUAUUUAUGAUAAAACGCAUGUUGGAUGAUAUACUAUUUGAACUAAUUUUGAUGUCUUGUGAUAGCGCUUAAGAAGCAGCCUAGGUACACACCCUAAAUCUUCUUUAUGAUUGUCAUUGGUUUUCUUGUUUGGCAUGCUAUUUUUUGAAAUCACCUUGUUUACCUAAGCACCCUUAAUCAACCAAUUAAUUGUCGCAUUUCCCUCAACUUAGUCAAUAGAGACCUUUGUAAGGCUUAGAGGGGUGCUACAUUUUUAGAGGUACCUUCCCAAUAGGUAACCUAAUCCCUGGACCUAGACUCGGGUUUUUCAAAGACACGUUUUUCCAAAAAUUAUGGAGUCUCUUUUUCAGGGUUUUUUUUUCUUGGUCUAUUUUCCUUUUUAAAAUAAAAUAAAAUAAGUGGCGACUCCGACUUUUUCCAAAACUAAAAUUUUCACCAAUAGAAGCGAGUCUCGCUAAUCGAGUGGGGACGCAUGUGAAAAAUGCGGAUCCACACAUACCCUUGGAUUCGAAUGUUCCCAAAUCUUUUUCCCAAUUUGUAGUAGAAAUCUCAAAUUCAUUUUGAUCUUCUACUUGAUGACUCUCUCUUGGAUCUUGGCUAUAAAUAAGUGUGGAACUCUAUUUAGAGGAAGUGUUGUUUAUGAUUUUUCUCCAAACAAAAUAUAAGAUAGCAGUUAGUCUAACGCUAAACCCUAAGAGGGUUUAUACAACCUCUUAAUUGGGUUUAAGUGACUAAGGCUAAUCAUAUAGGCUUAAGUUGUUUAAUCUUAGCCUAGUGAGUUUUAUUUAAUAAAUUAUCCUAAAUGGCUUCAAUUAAUUAAAUAGAUUAAAAAGAAAACCCAUAAGUCAUUUAAUCAUAAGUCCUUGUACAACCUUUGCUAAUACAAAAGCAUCCUUAUGCAUACUCAUAAUUAAGUACUAAAAAACACUCUCAAUAAAUGCCACCAAAAAGUGUGAGCUUUAGUCGGACCACCAGAACCCAUUGGAAAGUAUGUACUAGCUCUCUUAGAAUCAAAUUCUAAAAUUGACUCAACAUUCCAUUAAAGAGAGUCAAUUGCACUCCAAUAUCUUAUGAUAUUAGAUUGAGAUAUAAAACUUGGGUCCAUGACUUACUAUCCACUAUAUGUAAGUUCCCCAUAAACUAAUGAUUGUAAUCCAAAAAAUGUAGUAGUUAUCAACCUUUAAAGAUCACCUUUCACUCCUUGAGUCUUAAAUCCUCCUAUACCAUGACAAUUAAACAUACUCUAGUCCACAAAGGAUAUAUGUCAAAUUUCAUUGAAGAAAUUGCUAUAGCCAUAUACACUACAUGAUCUGAAAUCCUUGGGAUCGUCCAAGGGGAUACAUUGUCUCAAAUCCAUGAGAUAUUAUAGUGUCUCUAUUGAUCAUAAUAUCUAUUGUUACUUGCCAAAACCGUCGGUCACCCAAUCCUUUGGGAAUAUAUGAUCACUUUAGGAUUUCACCCAUAGGUCAAAGUAAUUGAUGACCUCGACAUUAGCAUAAUAUUAUCUAAAGGUUGAGAACCCAUGCAAUUAAUAUUUGGUAGUUUGGAGAAGUUAUGACAACCCAAUAAUCAUUAGUCAUUGUUGGAAAUCAAGCCCACGUCGCCUUCCUGCCUGUGCAUGUUCCUCCCCAUAUUUAGCAUCCUCUGUUUACUUCCCUGAAUUAGUGUAAUGUACAGCUUUUAUUAUAAUUGAUUUAGGAGUAAUUCUAGCAAGGUAGUUUAUUCACUUUCCAUGUAAGGGAAAUUUCGUCCGGUGAUAGUGUACCAUUCCAGAAUUGUCUCAUAUCUGUAGGCUAUUUAUUUAUGCUUUCAUUCAUUGUAAAAAAAAAAAAAAGGUAUCACAGAAUAAAUUGAGUUUGUGUUCCUCCAUAGUUUGUCUUCAAAUUCUUCAUAUUUUAGUCUUCAAAUUCUUCAUGGUAUCAGAGCAGGUUUAAUCCUGUCUCAUCGUCUUCAUCUUUAGUUAGUAUUUUUUUUCUUACUCAAUUCAUUCUUCUAGUUUAUGCCUAAAUACGGUCCAACCUUUGGAAUGGCUACCAACUCAUCAUCCUCUACUUCUGAUAUCAUCAUCUCAUCGUCUUCAUCCUCUCAUCAGAUGGAAACCUCUCAUCUUCCAAUCACAGCCCAUAAACUGAAUGGGCAAAAUUAUUUGCAAUGGUCUCAGUCCAUAUUAAUGUUUAUACGGGGAAAGGAGAAAGAUGACUACAUCACCGGAGCUUCGGCGGCACCAGAAACCAUAGCAUCAACCUACAAAAAGUGGAUAGCAGAAAAUAAUAUGGUCAUGUCCUGGCUAGUCAACUCUAUGACCAUUGACAUUGGUGAAAAUUUUCUGUCAUUUGAUACUGCCAAAGAAAUCUGGGACAUUGCAAAAGAAACUUUCUCAGACAAGGAAAACACAUCUGAAAUCAUCCAGAUUGAAGGCAUCUUCCACGAUUUGCGUCAAGGAAACCUUACGGUAACUGAAUAUUUCAAUACUCUUACUCGUCUAUGGCGUCAACUUGAUACGUUUGAGGUUCAUAACUGGAAUUGUGUUACAGAUGGUUUGUUGUAUAAAAAGAUUGUCGAAGGGAAACGUGUGUUUAAAUUUUUGUUAGGCUUGAACAAAAAUCUUGAUGAAAUCAGAGGAAGAAUCAUGGGAGUAAAACCUCUACCUAGCCUCAGAGAGGCAUUCUCUGAAGUCCGUCGCGAAGAAAGUCGGAAAAAUCUCAUGAUGGGAUCCCAUCAACAACUGAAUAUGGCAGAAAGCUCGGCUCUUAAGACUCAAUUCGCUCCUUUUGACAACCGUAAAAAAAUUAAAGGAGGUAGACCUUGGUGUGAUCAUUGCAGAAAGCCGGGGCACUCAAGAGAAACUUGCUGGAAGAUUCAUGGAAAGCCAGUAGAUUGGAAGCCACAUCAACCACUUGAGAAAGAAGGACGAGGCAAUCAUGUGGCUACCGAUGAACAAUCGCCACAACCUGAAGCUAGCCCUUUUAAUAAGGAGCAAAUGGAGAUGCUUCAGAAACUACUGUCUCCUCUUUUGUCAGUACAGUCACAAACUGGCUCAUCUUCCAACCAAGUCAUUGGUUCCGGAACCUUGGCUCACAAAGGUAAUUUUUUGAGUGCCUUCACUGCUAGUAAGAAACGUAAAAAACCUUGGAUCGUGGACUCAGGAGCAUCUGAUCAUAUGACGGGAGAUGCGACAAUUUUUUAUACAUAUAGCUCAUUUCCAAAUAAUUUAACAGUCCGAAUAGCAGAUGGUUCACUAUCAAAGGUUGCCGGAACAGGUUCAGUUGUGUUAUCAAGGGAUCUUACUCUCAACUCUGUUCUCCUUGUUCCUAACUUGGACUGUAAUCUAUUGUCAAUUAGUAAACUCACUAAGGAAAAGAGGUGUAUUACUAAUUUUUCCUCCACUCCAUGUGAAUUUCAGGAUUUGGAUUCGGGGAAGACGAUUGGCAAUGUUGAGAAAUGCUCUGGACUCUACAUCCUUAAGGAGCACCACGAUCCACAAGAACAACCUCAAAUGAUAGUUGGUAGUAAUUCUAUUUCGGUUUCAUGUCAAAAUAACGAUAGUGCAAUUAGGUUGUGGCACUAUCGCUUAGGUCAUCCAAAUGUUAUGUAUCUCAAGCAUUUAUUUCCUUCAUUAUUUAAUAAAAAUCCAAAAUCCUUUGAGUGUGAAAUCUGUCAAUUAUCAAAACAAGUCCGGUCUCAUUUUCCCAUUCAACCCUAUAAAGAGUCUAGUCCAUUCUCAAUGAUUCAUAGCGAUAUCUAGGGUCCGUCAAGAAUAAAAAAUGUAACUGGUACUAGGUGGUUUGUCUCUUUCAUAGAUGAUCACACUAGAUUAACUUGGGUAUUCCUCAUGAAAGAAAAAUCUGAAACGAGUCAAAUUUUCAAAAAUUUUAAAAAUAUGAUUCAGACCCAAUUCCAGUCAAAAAUACAAAUUCUAAAGUCUGAUAAUGCUAGGGAUUAUUUCAACUCCAUUCUAGGAGAAUUUCUAGCAUAAGAAGGGAUAGUUCACUUAAGUUCAUGUGUUGAUACCCCACAACAAAACGGAAUCGCUGAAAGGAAAAAUAGGCAUUUGUUAGAGGUGGCUAGAUCACUAAUGUUCUCCAUGAAUGUUCCAAAAUUAUUCUGGGGGCAAGCUGUCCUUACGGCAGCCUACCUCAUCAAUAGGAUGCCGUCUAGGGUACUAAAAUUCCAAACACCUUGUCAAACACUCCUAAAAUCCUUUCCGACUACUCGUCUCAUCUCCACCAUCCCACCCAAAAUUUUCGGGUGCUCUGUCUUUGUUCAUAUCAAUCAACAACAUAGAAGUAAACUUGAUCCUAGGUCACUCAAGUGCAUCUUUCUUAGGUAUUCUUCAAAUCAAAAAGGGUAUAAGUGUUACUCUCCGGUCACAAGAAAAUUCUACAAUUCAAUGGAUAUCACCUUUUUUGAAACCCAGCCUUACUAUCCUAAAAAUGAUAUUCAAGGGGAGAAUUCAACUCAGGAAUAUCAAUUUUGGGAUCUUGAGUCAUUCAAUGAGUCACCCAUCACCACUGAAAAUCACAUUCCUCUAGAGUCAUUUAAUCAGCCCGAGUCCAUUGUUGACUUAUGGGAUAAGGAGCACAUCCAAGAGGAAACGGAGGAAAGAGCACUUUCUCAACAAACCCAUGAGGCUGAACUGGGUCCUAAUCCAAGCAAACUUCCAAGUAACAACGCUCCUGAUGGUACUGUUGAUUCCGAGUUAGAAAAUGAUAUUCUUAAUAUGCCCAUAGCUUGGAGGAAAGAAGUUAGAUCAUGCACUCAGCAUCCCAUUGGAAAUUUUAUUUCUUAUGAUAAGCUAUCACCUACGUUUCGUGCAUUCACUUCUAGCAUCACAGAGAUACAAGUUCCUCAGAAUAUUCAGGAAGCUUUCAAGUAUCCUAAGUGGAAGGCGGCAGUCGAUGAGGAAGUUCGGGCGCUGGAAAAGAAUGGUACGUGGGAAAUUACUAACCUCCCAAGAGGUAAGAAACCAGUUGGGUGUAAGUGGAUUUUCACAGUAAAGUACAAGGCAGAUGGUAAUGUGGACAGGUAUAAGGCUCGGUUGGUCGCCAAAGGAUUCACCCAAUCCUAUGGCAUUGACUAUCAAGAAACUUUUGCUCCAGUUGCCAAGCUCAAUUCUGUUCGUGUACUUUUAUCCUUGGCAGCUAAUCUCGAUUGGUCGCUUCACCAACUUGAUGUGAAGAAUGCCUUCCUCAAUGGUGAUUUAAAGGAAGAAGUUUACAUGGACAUUCCUGUUGGACUUGAGACGACAUCAAAUUUCAACAAGGUUUGCAGACUCCGAAAAUCCUUGUAUGGUCUCAAACAAUCUCCCAGGGCUUGGUUUGAACAGUUCACUAAGGUAGUGAAAGGGUACGGAUUCGUUCAAUGUCAAUCCGAUCACACAUUAUUUGUGAAACACUUCCCAGAAGGGAAGCUGGCAAUUAUCAUUGUAUAUGUGGACGACAUAAUUUUGACAGGUGAUCAUGAAGAGAAAAUUGACUUACUUAAAAAAUUAUUGACAAAGGAAUUUGAGAUCAAGGAUCUUGGAACCCUCAAGUACUUUCUCGGAAUGGAGAUUGCUAGGUCAAAGAAAGGUAUAGCAGUCUCACAACACAAAUACGUUCUGGACUUAUUGAAUGAAACAGGAAUGCUAGUAUGCAAGCCGGCAGAAACACCUAUGGAUACAACUGUCAAACUGGAAGAAAGUGAUGGAAGUGUGCCAGUUGAUAAAGGAAGAUAUCAACGUCUUGUGGGGAAACUCAUCUAUCUUUCUCAUACAAGGCCAGACAUCGGCUUCUCCGUUAGUGUGGUAAGUCAAUUCAUGAAUAAUCCAACCGAAAAACACAUGACUGUUGUGAUCAGAAUAUUGAGGUACCUCAAGAUGACACCGGGAAAGGGUCUCUUCUUUCAAAGAACAACAAAGAAAGAGAUUGAGAUUUUUUCAGAUGCAGAUUGGGCAGGUUUAGUGACUGAUCGGAGAUCAACUUCAGGUUAUUGUUCAUUUGUCUGGGGGAACUUGGUUACAUGGCGAAGCAAGAAACAGUCAGUGGUAGCUCAUAGCAGUGCUGAGGCAGAAUUUCGUGCUAUGGCACAAGGUAUCUGCGAGAGAAUCUGGUUGAACAGGCUGUUAGAAGAAUUACGGGUUCCAUUGAAGCAUCCCAUGGUGUUAUACUGCGACAAUCAAGCUGCCAUCAGUAUCGCUAAGAAUCCGGUUCAUCAUGAUUGAACUAAGCACGUGGAGAUAGAUCGACACUUUAUCAAGGAAAAGAUUGAAGAAGGAGUUUUCAAAGUCAGCUACACUCCGACAAACUGUCAAACGGCUGACAUUCUCACAAAAGCUCUUGCUCGAGUUAACUUCGAAAAUCUGACAGAAAAACUUGGAAUGAUCAACAUUUACAACGCGGCUUGAGGGGGAGUGUUGGAAAUCAAGCCCACGUCGCCUUCCUGCCUGUGCAUGUUCCUCCCCAUAUUUAGCAUCCUCUGUUUACUUCCCUGAAUUAGUGUAAUGUACAGCCUUUAUUAUAAUUUAUUUAGGAGUAAUUCUAGCAAGGUAGUUUAUUCACUUUCCAUGUAAGAGUUUAUUCACUUUCCAUGUAAGGGAAAUUCCGUCCGGUGAUAGUGUACCAUUCCGGAAUUGUCUCAUAUCUGUAGGCUAUUUAUUUAUGCUUUCAUUCAUUGUAAAAAAAAAAAAAAAGGUAUCAUAGAAUAAAUUGAGUCUGUGUUCCUCCAUAGUUUGUCUUCAAAUUCUUCAUAUUUUAGUCUUCAAAUUCUUUAGUCAUGAUUCUCCAAAGGUCAUAUUCAAUCUGUAACCAUAUACACUAGUACACUCAUUGUGGUAAACCUAUCCUAAUUACCAAUAUAAGUUAUUCCACCACUUAAGAGGUAGUGUACUAUGACUUUUGAUGGAUUGACUAAGUCUAAAAAACGAUCGUAAACUAACUCAUCAACUCAUAAGAUGUUAGGAUAAAUCCUUUAAAAGCAUGACAUGAUAUAACAAAAUUUAGAAUUUAUUAUUUGUUAAUAAAGUUCCAGUUUUACUUAUAUCUAUUCUUAUUUCAUGUAUUAUACUUUAUGAAUAUAUAUUAUGGCUUACAUAUCUUGUAUUGUAUAUGAAUUGGAUGCAUUAGGAGUUAUACAGAAGAUCUAAGUUAUGAGUCCCUUGCAAGAGGAUGACUUGUUCAUAGCUAGUUUCUAUGCCUUGACAACCCAUUAGAGACUGUAGUGCAUUACCUUCUAAUUAUAGGGGUUACCGGUUUUGGCUAUCAGAUGGGUUUCUUGUAUUAGUGUGUAUGGUUACACAUUGGAUAUGACCUACGUUGAGUCAUGAUGUAAGACUCUAAAGUAGUCACGACUUCACCAAGUUAUUUCAUUGUGUUAUUUUCAACCUUGAGUGAAUAUUAAGCUUAUAGUAAAAUCAGUAGUGACUUUAACCUACAAGUGAGAUCCUAAAGUGACCAUGUAUUCCUUUAUGGAUUGGAUCACUAUUGAUGGAAACAUGUAACAAUGGGUAUUCUUAAUUAAGGUACCAUCAUAUCUCAUGGGAUUAAGAUAAAGUGUCUUAUUAGGUGAUCUUAAGGAAGUGUGUUUAUAUAAAUUAUGACUAUAGUAGUUUCUUAAGUGGAACUGGACAUAAACUCUUUGUAAGCUAAGAUUGAACAAGCAUAAAAGAAGAAUAGUUUAAUGAAGGUAAACAAAUUAAUUUAAGUUAAAAUUGUUUUUCACAAAAAGGAAAAAAGAGAGGAGUGUGAUGAAUAGAAAAAUAUUAUGUACUAGUAACAAAAUGAUGGAGGGUCCCAAAGAGAAUUGUCCCUCACUUAAGCAUGAAUCUUAAAGAACGUGAUGGCAACUUUUGGCCACUCAUAAUCACAGCUUGAAAUGCUAUUCUUCACCAUACCACCAUAAAAUUGGAUGAAAUUGGUAUCUUUAAUCCGCUUCUUGGCAAACAACAUUUUGAAAAUAAAAAUCCCUUUCAACCAUUUUGGAGAAACACCAUUUAGUUACAAAUGAAAUUCUAAUCCAAGAAUUUAGCCAUAAGUAGUUCUUCUAUGAAAUAGCAUUCCAAACACACUUUCAAAUGGUCAAAAGUCAUCCAACCCAAAUACUAGAAUGAGUAGACUUAGUCUAUUUUAUGACUCCGAAUGAAAUAUUUACUCCUUAGAAUAAAAUAUAAAGAAUGUUUUUCUUUUAAUUUAUUUGAGGGAAACAUCUUUUGGGGUGUGGUCAGAAAGAAAAUUUAAUUUUUGAAGUCUUGUUUGUUAUUGAUAGACAUUUUAUUUUGAACCAAUGACACUCAAUUUACUAUAGAUAUAUUAUUUUUGUAAAAAACUAAUUUAAUGUGUGCAUUAUUAAUUGUUUUAUUAUUUUCAUAAUUUCAUUUAAAGUUUAUAUAAUCAAAUUUCAAGAUUUUUUUAAUCAAAAUUUUCAUUGAUAUUAAUAUUUUCAUUUAUGUAAACUACCAAUAUUUUCAUGGAUAUUAAUUUUUUUUAUUAUGUAGGUUCUAUCAUAUGAAGUUAUAUGGUGUAUCACUCAUUUAUGUCUUAAAUAUAAUUUUCAAAAUUUAUUCAUUUAUCCUAAUUUGAAACUUUAUUAUUAUUAAUAUUGUUAUUAUUAUUAUAAUAAUAUUUUAUUCUUAUUUAUCCAUAACAAAAUACAAAAUAAUUUAACACAAAUUCAAUUUUUUUUUUCAAAAUUUUCUCACAUUCUUUUAAAAAGAAUUUAAGAAGAAAAUCUUUAACCAUUUUAAUUUUUUCUCUCAUUUUUUCCUUUUUUUUAUUUUUUUUUAUCAAGAACUAUCUUUCUUUAUAAAUAAUUUUUUUCCUUUUUCUUAAUCAUUUCCAAAAGUUUUUUGAGCUAUUAAGACUAUGUUUGAUUCCUAAAAAAAUUGAGGGAAAAUGCAAGAGAGAGAGAGAAAAAAAAAAGUGGAAACGUAGAAGGAAAGAAAAAAGAAAGGAAAAUAAAAACUAGAUUUGAAGUUAAUAAAUUAUUUUUAUAUGCUACUUCAAACUUAUUUUAUUGAUUUUAACUCUUUCAUAUGAAGAUUAAAUAAUUUGAAAUUGUAUCAUUUUCUAACUAGUUUUAAUAUAUAUUUGAUUUUCUUUAGUAUUUUUCACAUGACAAUCAAAUAUGAUAAAAUCAAUUUUUUUUUAAUAUUUUUUUCUUUCAUUAUUGCUUUCCGGGAAUCAAACAUAAUCUAAAUUUCUUGUUCUUUUUCCCACAAUAGAUCAACCAAGAGAAGAGAUAAGGGUCGUUGAACUUGACUUGAUGUAGAGAACCUUGAAUUUCUCUCUUUUCUUCCUCCAAUUACCUUGCCAAUUCAAAACGCCUUUAGUAGCAAGACUUUGAGGUCUACAACUAUGUACAAGUCAUGCACUCAAUUAUGCCAAAAACAUCACAUUCACAAGUCUUUUUCUUUCACUCUCCCAACUAACUUAAAUACUUCCUAUUAGAGAAACUACUAUAUAAAUAGUUAUAAAAUGUAUACUUAUUUAUAUUUAUUCAUGAUAAUAGGUAACAAUUAUAAUUAAAACAUGGAUUUUUGAGAUGAUAGCUACAAUAAAUUGAAACCUCAUCCAAUUAUUUUAGGAGAGGCAAAAUAAUGUUUGAUUAACAUAUAAACUAAAUUGAGUAAAUUACAAGAAAAAUGUUAUGCUUGUUAAAGAAUUCGAGCAUUGACUAGUGUGUUGUUUGGGCUAAAGGGAGACUUCCAUUUUCACAUUGGAGGGAAUAUAGACUUUAAUCUACUCAAGUGACAAUGACUUAUCCCGUUGAAUUCAAAUUAAUAAAUUUUAUAAUUAUAGAUAUUUUGAUAUUUUUAGUAAUAAAAUGAAAUAAUGCGGAUAUUGGAUUCAUUUAGUAUCACUUUCUAAAGUUAAUUCAUUUCUCCUCUUGAAACAUCCGUAAAAGUAAUGUUUAAACAUGUCUGGGCUUAGCAGUCUCUCCCAGCUGCUGCCAAUGAGAAUUCUAUUCUUUUUAUGGAUUUUAUUCAUGCCCUUAUGCCCGAUCUUUUUUGGUAUGCAUGUUACUUCUGUGUCCGGCGAAUGUCUGAGUGAUGGGAGGGUAUGCCUGGAAGAUGAGGUGUUGUUGCUGCUGCAACUGAAGAGCAGCCUCAUAUUUAAUACUGCUGCAUCGAAUAAACUUGUUUCCUGGAUUCAAAGCGCGGACUGCUGUUCUUGGGGAGGUGUAACAUGGGACGCCACUGGUCGUGUUGUCUCUCUUGAUCUCAGUAGCGAAUUCAUUUCUGGUGAACUCAAUAGCUCCAGUAGCAUUUUCAGUCUACAAUAUCUCCAGAGCUUGAAUUUGGCUAACAACACCUUCUCUUCUCAAAUUCCAGCAGAAUUCCACAAGCUUGGAAACUUAAAUUACCUGAAUUUGUCCAACGCUGGCUUUUCUGGGCAGAUUCCAAUUGAGAUUUCCUACUUGACAAGGUUGGUUACUAUUGAUCUAUCUAGCCUUUAUUUCAUCACCGGUAUCCCAGAACUGAAACUUGAGAACCCAAAUCUGACAACGCUGGUCCAGAACCUCAAGGAGCUUAGGGAACUUCAUCUUAGUGGUGUAAACAUUUCGGCCAAGGGAAAGGAGUGGUGCCAGUCAUUAUCAUCUUCAGUGCCAAAUCUCCAAGCGCUAAGCUUGUCCAGAUGUUUUCUUUCAGGCCCCAUUGAUUCUUCUCUGGAGAAGCUUCAGUAUUUGUCAAGAAUUCGUCUGGAUGGCAAUAAUUUUUCCUCUCCAGUUCCAGAAUUCCUUGCGAAAUUUCAAAAUUUGACUUGCUUGCGGCUCAGUUUUUGUGGAUUAUAUGGAACAUUUCCUGAAAAGAUCUUUCAGGUACCAACCCUUCAGAUUCUUGAUAUCGAAAACAACAUGUUACUUGAGGGUUCUCUGCCAGAAUUCCCUCUGAAUGGAGCUCUGGAAACCCUGAUCCUCUCAGAUACAAAAUUUUCAGGGAAAGUACCUGACUCAAUAGGCAAUCUCAAGAUAUUGACCAGGAUAGAGCUUGCAAGGUGUAAUUUCAGUGGGCCAAUCCCAAACUCCAUGGCCGACCUCACUCAAUUGGUUUACUUGGACUUGUCUGAAAAUCAGUUUUCUGGUCCAAUCCCGCUGUCACUGUUUUCCUUUCCAUCACUGCAGACGAUACAACUAACCAACAACUAAUUUUCUGGUCAGUUCAACAUUUUGCUUAAUGCGUCUUCAUCUGUAUUGCAUACCCUUGAUUUGAGUAGCAACAAUCUGGAAGGCCCCAUACCAGAAUCUGUUUUUGAACUACAGGGUCUUUACAUCCUUGAUCUAUCUUCCAACAAAUUCAAUGGAACAGUGGAGCUCAGCAAGUUUCAAAAACUUGGGAAUCUUACCACUCUCAGUCUUUCGUACAACAAUUUGUGGAUAAUUGCAAGUGGUAGUGAUUUCAUUCCUUCAAAAUUACCGCAUUUGACCACAUUAAAAUUGGCUUCUUGCCAGCUGGGGACAUUACCUGAUCUUAGCAGCCAGUCAAGAUUGUCAUAUUUGGACCUUUCCGAAAACCAAAUUCAGGGGGAGAUACCUAAGUGGAUCUGGAAAGUUGGUAAUGGCUCUCUUAUCCAUUUGAAUCUCUCUCUUAAUUUACUGGAGGAUCUGCCAGAACCUUCAUCUAUUCUUUCUACUAAUCUUUUGGUCCUUGACCUACACUCCAAUCAGCUCCAUGGGCGAAUUCCCACUCCACCCUCAUGUUCCGCCUAUGUGGAUUACUCAAACAACAGUUUCACCUCUUUCAUCCCAGAUGACAUUGGUACUUAUAUCUCCCUCAAUAUUGUCUUCAUGCUUUCAAAGAAUAAUAUCACUGGAAUUAUCCCUGAAUCAAUAUGCAAUGCCAGUUAUCUAAGCGUUCUUGACUUAUCUGACAAUGCUUUGAGUGGCAAAAUACCCUCAUGCUUAAUUGAGAUCGAGACUCUUGCAGUGCUGAAUCUAGGGAGAAACAAGUUUAGUGGCAUUAUAUCUGGCGAAUUUCCAGGAAACUGUGUCUUACAGACUUUAGAUCUGAAUGGGAACCUUUUAGAAGGAAAAAUUCCAGUGUCUCUGGCCAAAUGCAAAGAGUUAGAGGUUUUAAACCUUGGGAACAAUCAGAUGGAUGAUAACUUUCCUUGCUGGUUGAAGAACAUAAGCAAUUUGCGUGUCCUUGUUUUGCGAGCCAACAAAUUGCAUGGACCCAUUGGAUGUCCAAAUAGCAACUCCACCUGGCCAAUGGUUCAAAUUGUGGACCUAGCUCACAACAAUUUCAGUGGUGAGUUACCAGCAAAGUGCUUCUUGACCUGGAGAGCAAUGAUGGCAGGCGACGAUGAAGUCGAAUCCAAGCAUAAAAACCUCGAAUUUGAGGUCUUAUUAGGAUGGUACUAUCAGGAUGCUGUAAGAGUUACCAGCAAAGGUCAAGAAUUGGAGUUGGUGAAGAUCCUAACGCUCUUCACCUCUAUUGACUUGUCACGCAACAAUUUCGAAGGGGAGAUACCAGAAGUAAUGGGAGACUUGACAUUACUUUAUGUUCUCAACUUAUCUGGCAAUGGUUUCACAGGGCGCAUCCCAUCAUCACUAGGACAGCUCCGACAGCUUGAGUCAUUAGACCUCUCAAUGAACAAGCUGAGCGGCGAGAUCCCUACACAGCUUGCGAGCCUAAAUUUCCUUUAAGUGCUGAACCUCUCAUUCAAUCAAUUGGUGGGAAGAAUCCCAACAGGGAGUCAAUUGCAAACAUUUUCAGAAAAUUCCUUCCUGGGUAACAGAGGAUUAUGGGGCUUCCCCCUGAACCCAAGCUGCAAAGAUGCUACACCACCACCGGCGUUUGAAAGCAGGCAUUCAGGUUCCAGGAUGGAGAUUGACUGGGACUACGUGGCUCCGGAGAUUGGAUUCGUGACAGGGUUAGGCAUCGUGAUUUGGCCUCUAGUGUUUUGCAAGAGAUGGAGGAGAUGCUACUACGAGCAUGUUGAUGGAAUUCUCUCAAGGAUUCUCCGCGGCUAAGACAAGGAAGAGCAAAUAAUGGGAGCAGGGAUCUAGCGACCACUAGUGAGAAGGAUCUAGUUGGAGUGUAUUGUAUUUCUAUUAGAUAGAAACUAUCUUUUCUACCCAUAUGCAGAAAAGCUUUUUAGUUUUUACUCAAAACUAUAGUCUAUGACCCAGUUAAACCUACACAAAAUAAAAUUCUAAUUUCGGAGAUUCAACAAGUCAUUCAAGAUGAGCAAGAGGUUAAGAUAUGUUGGCUGGAUGUGGGCCCGAGUUGGGUUAAACUUGGUUGGCCUGAUUGGUACAAACCAAGACCAACUAUGGUAGUUAGGCCCAUGUUCAGCCCAAUCAACACAUCUGAAGCCAUUAGGGAGUUUAGAUUGAUAACCACUUAAUUAUCAUGCUAGCUAGUAAACCUGCUGCACAUCCACUUAUAAAAGUUUCAUUUGGAAAUGUUUCUCAUUUUACCCUUUUUUUUUAAUCACAAUUUUUAUUAUAUUGUUAAUUUAGAGGAAGAAAAAACUUCAAUCAAUUUUUUGUAAUCCUUUCUUCCAACAAUCAUUUAUGAAGAUUAAACAAUGAGACAAGUAUGAGAUGUUUUUAGAGUAAAUGGCGAAUUAAUGUAACUUCUUAGGUCUUCGUUCUUAAUGGAAUUUGAAAACAAUGAAUAUUUUUAUUCAGGUGAAAUAACAUUUUUUAAAGAGUCCACGAUCCUUCUCAUCAUACCCUGCAAAUGCUUGUACAGUUUUUUGGGUUGUUUUUGCCUUCACUCACCAUAAUUCCUAAUCAACUUUCAUGUGAAGAUUAAGAAGCACCGAAACUGGGCCAAACCUGUUCAUGGGGAAAGAAUAGUCUUUGGUUUCCGAUACGUCCUCAACAAACAUAAAAGAAGAAUAGUAAUCAAUUCAGAGUAAACAGGUCCAAUUGAUCAGUGAAUUGAGAGUGAGAGGACAGUUUGUAAGGGGACCUUUUUGGUCUCAUUCAGAGUAAUCAAUUCCAUUUCAGUAGGGGUUCUGCUUCCCUUGUUUUCUUUCUCUUUCACAAGGACUGGAGUGGGUAGACUUGAAGCCAAGCUGAACAGCUCUUAGCUCUUCCCAACUACCAGCCCCUCCCUCACCAAUCACUUCCACUUGCAACUUACAUUAUCGCUACAUUUGUCAAAGUGAAGGCUAUGAAUUUUUGUAGAAUAAUUGUAACAACAUUUAUUGUACUAUAACGAUGCCUAAGAGAGGAUGAAAAAUGGUAUUAAAAGCAAAAAAGAUAGAUGUCAUCUUUCUGUGGAUGACCUGUAAUCGGCUUGUUUUUUCGUUUAAUUUUUUGCAUGAAUUUGCGCACUCAACAUUUCUUGUUGGGUUUGAUUAAAAAGCCAAUGAGAGAAAGAUCGGUAUAUAUGAAUUGGAUACGAGCAUUGUAUAUAAGAUGAGUUUCUUAGGUGGUGUUUGUUUUUUUUACUUUUGCUGAAAGCAAAUUGUUUUCAGAAUUUAGGUUGUUUGUUUAUCUACUUUUUUAUGACUUAUUAUAAACUUUUUAUUAAAUAGAAAAAGACAAAAUAUGUAGCUUUUUUAAAAUAGAAUAAAAAUAUCAUAUUGGUUUUUCUUUACCUUUUAAUACUUAAUAGAAAUAGAAUACUAUAAAAACAAACAAUCUAAUAUUUAACACUAUUAAACAUUAAGGUUCUAUUUAAAAUUAAGUAAAAAAACAAACACCACUUUAGUCUCGUUCAAAGUAAUCGAAUCCAUGUCAGUAGGCAGUUUGAUUUUUCAAUGGAUUAAAAAGUUUGUAAUCAUUUCUAAAUAUUACAUGAAAUACAUGAAAAGGAAAAACUUGUAGUGGAACUUAAUGCUCUAAAAACGAAAUCAAAAGGCAAAUGUUGAACACACUCUUAAACUCUUUCUCCACUUAUCCAUUUAUUUUUCAAAAAAAAAAAAUAUAUGAAUGGUUAAAAAUACCUCUUUUUCAUCUUCUCGACACCACUCAUCACCAACCUUGGUUUUUUUUCUUCCAUUUUCUUUUCUUUCGAGUCUCUUACCUUCACCUACUAAAUAUAUGAAUUUGAUUUUCAUCAAACCCAUCAACAUAGGGUAAAAAAACCUUAUGUUGUUUUCUAUUCCAAAAAGCAUUGGGGAUAGAAAAACAUAAAUUUGUUUCAAUUUGAUUUUUAAUAUUUUCUAUUCUUGUUUGAAUAUCUUUUUGUAAUAGAUUUUCUUCCAUUCUUUUAUAAUGUAUUUCUUUGCUUAUGUGUUUGAUAUGUUGUUUUUUCUUUUGAAUAAGAUUUACUUCAUUUUCUUGAAGUGUAUUUAACUCUUUAAUUUUUAAAGAACUAAUAAAUUUGAAACAAAUACUUUGUCCUUUAUAACUAGUUUUAAUUCCUUCAUCAUCUACUUUAAAAGGAUAAAGUAGUGCAAGGAAUGGUGUUCCCAAGAUUAUAUCUUUAUUCAUAUCUCUGACAAUUUAAAGAGAAGUCUUGUAACAAACAUUUUGAUUAUAGAUAUGAACAUUUGAAAUUUUGAAAUCUACCAUCAAAGGCUUCGAGUUUGUACUCACACACUUGGUAAGUCUUUUCAAAGUAUAUAGUUGGGAUUAAUCCUUUCUGUACACAAUUAAUAUUAGCACUAGAAUCAAUUAAUGUUAAAAACUCUUUUAAAAAAAUCAGGUUUUAUAAAACGUUUUACUUUGAUGUGCCAUUUUUUAAUUAACAUUUUAGUUAUACUAUUUACAAAAAAUUGAGAAGAUUCUCCUUCUUCUAAUUGUUUAUCUUCAUGUUGUUCUAAUUUUUCAUUUUCUAAUAUUUGGAGUCUUGUUUUUUAUUUCUUGAUUUUGACUUAUCAUGGUAUUAAUUUGAAGUUUUAUCAACUUAUUUCAUUUUGAAGGUCUUGAAUUCCUAUUGGUUUUAAAGCAGAAAAUUGGUUUAAUACAGUUUUUAAACUGUAUUGAUUUGUAUUUUCUAUUUGUCUUUCAUUCCUUUGUUCAACAUGGAGGUAAUUUGAUUCCUACUUCCUGUUCUCAAUUAUUAUUCUUUAUAUCAAGAUUUCAAAUUCCAUGGAUCUUGUGUUGGGACUUUGUCCAAACACAAUUAAUUCCCCCUCUCUUUCCUCCGCAUUUGGCGGUUGAAUUCAAACUCAAAUGGUGGUCAAACUUUUCUCCUUCUUCCACCCAACAAAUUCCUCAUAUUCGUCAAUGGAUAUCUUCAAAAUAUUCUAACACAAGCAAAAAAAAUACAUUAUAAAUAAAUGGAAGAAAAUCUAUUACAAAAAGAUAUUCAAACAAGAAUAGAAAAGAUUAAAAAUCAAAUUGAAACAAAUUUAUAUUCUUCUAUCCCCAAUGCUUUUGGAAUAGAAAGCACCAUAAGUUUUCCUUACCCUAUGUUGAUGGAUUUGAUGAAAAUCAAAUUCCCACUAAGGCAAUACCAAUUCAAAUGAAUACUCAAUUAAUUACUUGAGUAUUGUAAGAAAGAAAUCAAGGAUCUUUUAGAAAAAAAUAGUAUUAGAAAGAGUCAUUCUCCUUGGAGUUGUGUAUCUUUUUAUGUUCAAAAACCUUUGAAAAUUGAAAGAGGUGCUCCAAGACUUGUCAUAAACUAUAAGCCUUUAAAUAAGGUUCUCAAAUGGAUAAGGUAUCCAAUACCUAAUAAGAGAGACCUUAUUGGAUGCCUUUAUUAUGCUUCAAUUUUCUCAAAAUUUGAUAUAAAGUCUAGAUUUUGGCAAAUUCAAACUCUAUCUCUUACUCUAAUUCAACCUAAUAUUAAACUUAUACUCUAAUUCAAACUAAUAUAUAAUAAAUAGAUAAAUACUAAUAUUUAAAUUAAGGACAACAUUAACUCUCUAUGAUAUUCUUAAAGAGAAAAAAGAAAAAAAAUUAAAUACAUUAUCCAUACUUUCAUAUUAAUUUAAUUUUUGAAUGAAAUUAACAAAAUAAGUUCAAUAGCAUUCACUUUCUAAGGAACCAAAAAAUAAAAAAUUUGUUCAUGCUUUUAGAUUUACAUAACGAAAAAUACUUUAUCAAUAUUUCAACGAUCAAGAUUCUUCUUAUUCAACUUGAAGAAUAAAGUAAGCUUACUGCAAAGCUAACAUAUAAAUUAUAUUUUGACCCAUAAUUUUAUGGCCCCAACUAUGUCUUUUUCUCAAAUUUCAACAAACCAAAAAAAUGUUUCAUAGAAAACGCAAUGUCUAAUUUAUUUAUUUUUUUUAUGGUUAAUUUGAAUGUAUAGAAAAUCAAAAUUUAAAACUAAAUUCUUUAUAUCACCACAAAUAAAUAAAUUUCAAUUAUUUCAUCAAAUUUAAUCAAUUUGCAUGUUAUAUACAUAAAAAUAAUCAUGAUAUUUCUAUCAAUAAUUUUUUAAGAUCUUUUUUAUGUAGUAAUUUAGUUCAAGUUAAGUAUAACUUGAAAACAAAAGUACAAAAAUUUUGAAAAUGUAUUAAAAAAACACAAAAAAUUGAUAGCCAUAGAUUAUUAUUUUUAUAUUAAAUAUAUUUUAAUGUGUUUUCAUGUAUUGGAAUUCAAUGAAAUACUAAUUUUAUUUCCACAUUAAUAUUUUGUAUUAAUUUUUGAAGUCUUGUUUCUCAUAGAUAGACAUUUUAUUCUAAACUAAAGACACAUAAUUUACUGUAGAUAUAUUAUUUUUGUAAAAACCUAAUUUAAUGUGUGCAUUAUUAAUUGUUUUAUUAUUUUCACAAUUUCAUUUAAAGUUUAUAUAGUCAAAUUUCAAGAUUUUUUUAAUCAAAAUUUUCAUUGAUAUUAGUAUUUUCAUUCAUGUAAGUUUAAACUACCAAUAUUUUCAUGGAUAUUAAUUUUUUUUAUUAUGUAGGUUCUAUCAUAUGAAGUUAUAUGGUGUAUCACUAGUGUAUGUCUUAAAUAUCAUUUUCCAAAUUUAUUCAUUUAUCCUAAUUUGAAACUUUAUUAUCAUUAAUAUUGUUAUUAUUAUAAAAUUUUACUCUUAUUUAUCCAUAACAAAUUAAUAAAAUAAAAUAAAAAUUAAUACAAAUUCAAAUUUUUUUUUUCAAAAAUUUCUCACAUUCUUUUAAAAAAAUAUUAAGAAGAAAAUAUUUAACCAUUUUUUUCUCUUUUUUUUUUCACUUUUUAAAUCUUUUCUCAUGAUACCUAAACAUCAAGAAAUAUCUUUCUUCAUAAAUAAUUUUUUUUCCCUUUUCUUAAUCCUUUCCAAAAGUUUUUUGAGCCAUUAAGACUAUGUUUGAUUCCUAAAAAAUUGAGGGAAAAUGCAAGAGAGAGAGAGAAAAAAAAAAGACAAAACAAAAAGAGUGGAAAAAUAGAAGGAAAGAAAAAAAAAAAGGAAAAAAAAAAAUAGAUUUGAAGUUAAUAAAUUAUUUUUAUAUGCUACUUCAAACUCAUUUGAUUGAUUUUAACUCUUUCAUAUGAAGAUUAAAUAAUUUGAAAUUGUAUCAGUUUCUAACUAGUUUUAAUAUAUAUUUGAUUUUCUUUGGUAUUUUUCACAUGACAACCAAAUAUGAUAAAAUCAAAAUUUUUUUUAAAUAUUUUUUCAUUCCUCAUUGCUUUCCGAGAAUCAAAUAUAACCUAAAUUUCUUGUUCUUUUUUCCAUAAUAGAUCAACAAAGAGAAGGGAUAAGGGCCAUUGAACAUGACUUGAUGUAGAGAAACUUUAAUUUCUCUCGUCUUGCUCUAGUUACCUUACCAAUUCAAAAUGCCUUUAGUUGGAAGACUUUGAGGUCUACAAACAUAACCUAAAUUUCUUGUUCUUUUUUCCACAAUAGAUCAACAAAGAAAAGAGAUGAGGGCCAUUGAACAUGACUUGAUGUAGACAAUCUUGAAUUUCUCUCGUCUUCUUAUAGUUACCUUACCCAUUCAAAACGCCUUUAGUUGGAAGGCUUUGAGGCCUACAACUGUGGAAAAGUCAAGCCCUCAAUUAUGCCCAAACAUUACACUCACAAGUCUUUUUCUUUCACUCUCCUAACUAACUUAAAUGAUUCUUAUUAGAGAAACUACUAUAUAAAUAGUUUUGAGAUGUAUACUUAUUUAUAUUUAUUUAUCAUAAUAGAUAACAAUUAAAAUUAAAACAUGGCAUUUUGAGAAGAUAGCUAAAAUAAAUUGAAACCUCAUCCAAUUGUUUUAGGAGAGGUAAGAUAAUGUUUGAUUAACAUACAAACUAAAUUAAAUGUGUAAAUUACAAGAAAAGUGUUAUGCUUGUUAAAGAAUUCGAAAAGCGUAUUUUUUGGGCUAGAAAAAAGGUCGCAAAGAAAAAAGAAUUAUGGAAAGGAGAAUUCCAUUUUCAUGUUGGUGGGAAGAUAGACUUGAAUCUAAUUUUCCAAGUGACAAUGGCAUAUUCCCAUUGAAUUCAAAUUGAUAAAUUUUAUCAUUAUAGAUAUUUUGAUAUUUUUAGUAAUGGAAUGAAAUAAUGUGGAUAUUGGAUUAUUUUGAUAUUUUUACUAAUGGAAUGAAAUAAUUUAGAUAUUGGAUUCAUUUGAACUAUGUUUGGAUCCCAGAAAAUACUAGGAAAAGAAAAAAAUGUUAAGAAAAAUGGUUUUCUCACGUUUGGUUUCACUAUAGAAAAUAUAAAAGAAAAUCAAAUAUAAUUAAAAUUAAUUUACAAUUUAGAUAUUUUAAAAUUAUUUAAUCUUGCUAUAAUAGAGAGAACUAAGUAAAUUGAGUUUGCAAAAACAUAUAAACAUAAUUUAUUAAAUUUAAAUUUUUCUUCAUUUUUUCUUUCUUUUUACUUUUCCUCUUUAUUUUCUUUCCUUUGCAUUUUCCUUCAAUUUUUUUGAGAACCAAACAUAGUCUUAGUAUCACUUUCUAAACUUAAUUUGGUAUGUAUACAUGCAAAACUCUAUAAAAUUGAAUUUGUUGUUUAUGUUGUAUGCCAUAAAAUUUGCAUAGACUCUUUGGGAAGCUUCCCUCCAUGUGUCCUUCACAGGCUCAAGGCCCUUUGGCCGUCCAAGGGAAGCAAAUAAUCUGUCUAGGAGAAAUCCAUCUGGACCAAGACAAUCUCCGUUUGGCAUAAAAGGAAAGACGAAUUUCCUUUUUCCCUAAUGCCAGACAGAAUGGACAAACUAAACCGACUGGGGGACUUUCAAAUGGACAAACUAAGCCAGUCGAAAAUUCCAAGCAUUGAGUAGAUGAUUAACCACCACCAAUGCCUAAGCAACAAGCAAAACAACAUUUACACCCAGAAAUCAAUGUCCCUUAGUCGUUACGUGCAAUCGGUGACAUUAAAAAACGUAUAUGCACAACCAACAACAUGGUUCGAGAUACAAAAAAUAAAUGACGCCAAUUAGUAACUCUUAUUUGGUAUGAUUGUCCAAUCCACACUAAGCUAAUGACAUUGACUACCUUAUUAAGGCAUAGUAUCCGCCAUGACGACAAUCAUCAGCGCAAGAAAUGCAUGAAUGCACAAUCAAUGCUAUGAUGAUGAUGUCAUACGUUCUAUAAAAACUCAUCUAAAAGCAUGAAAAAGGUAUGCACAUACAUAACCAUUCAAAAAGUUGGAUUCAUUCUCACUAGAUUCUGACUUAAGCUUCGAAGGGGCAUGCUCGGACCACCUAUCUGAACAUCCUUUUGUGUUGGGAACAAUCCAUCUAACUCUAAUGAAGUCAGAUCCUACAUGCAAUUGGCACAACACCAACAUUGGUGCAGUCUAUGGGAAACAACUAAGGAUGUUAAUGCCCUUUAGAAACUAAUCAUCAAUUAUUAGUGAUGAAGACUAUUUUGUCUAAUGCAAAAGAAUGGAGAAAGGCCAACGAGAAAAUGAGCAGCAAAUACAAACUUUGCUCUACUAAACAGAACGACUAAGAGAAAAGAACGAGGAGUUGCAGACUCAAAUGUCAAUAGUGAGCCCCUCUCAAAGUCGACACACUCAAAGCUGACAAACAGCCUCACGACGAACUGUUGAGGCAUCUUUCCUUGGGGGCACAAAGUUCUCCUUCGACAGCUACUCAAGACAAUACAAGAAGGAGUCUUCGCCAACUCAUCAAAUUUAGUCAGACGAAGGCAUCAAUUCCAUCUGGGCAUCAAGGAAAAAGAGGCGCGACAAAGGGUCGCAUUUGUCUAAUGCGAAGCGAGCCAGACUAAGACCUUAAGCACUAGGCGUGGAGACACAACCGCACAUGUUAAAAACUCUAAGGGCACGUCUAAGUCAGCCAGCCAUAACAACCACAUCUAGAUGCCCCCCCUCAACCACCAAGGCAAUAGCAGGCAGGAGUGUCAACAACGCGAGCCACACCUUACUCUAUUAGUCGAAGGUUGGAUGACAUGCUCUCCAUGUUGUUCGUCACUCAUAUCAUUAGCUAUGAACCACCCAGAGGGUUCGUGUUGCCCAAAUUCAUAAUGUACGAUGGAACGAGUGACCCAUUUGACCACAUCAUGCACUUCAGGUAGCUUAUGACCCUUGACAUAGGGAAUGAUGCACUGAUGUGCAAGGUCUUUCCGGCCAACCUACAUAGCCAAGUUCUCUUCUGAUUUCACCACCUUGCAUAGAAUUCUGUGAACACAUUCCAAAAUGUCUCAGAAGCCUUUGUGGGCCACUACUUAUGUUUUGCUCGCCAAAAGCAGAACAUAAGCACCUUAUAGAACAUCAAGUUACAGGAAAAUGAAAUGCUAAGGGAUUUCAUGAAGCGGUUUGGACAAGCAGUUCUUUAAGUUAAAUCAUAUAGUAUGGACGUCAUCCUAUAGAUCUUCAAGCAAAGUAUUAGCCUAGGCACUCCAUUUUUCGAGUUCCUUGCAGAAAAGCCACCCAUAACAAUGGAUGACCUAUUCAAGCGGACAGACAAGUAUUCUAUGCUCGAAGAUGAUGUCAAAGCAACCUCUCAACAAGUCUUGGUCACCAAUCAACCGGCCAAGAAUGAUAAAGCAAGGAGUUGUAAGCCUUCUAACCAAAUGAGACAGGUAGCAAAAAAUAAGACAACCGACAACAACAGUAGGAGAGUCUCACUUCUUUAAGUAUCUCUUAUAAGAAACUCCUCCCAUAGAUCUGUGACCCAUCGGACUUCAGAUGCUUGGAUCUAAUUAAGAUAGAUUCGGAUAGAUGGGACUAGAACAUAAGGUGCUCUUACCAUAGGGAAAAUGAAAACACCACUAAACAAUGCAAGAGUCUACAUUACUUGGCGAAAAAACUCAUCAAGAUUGGACACCUUAAGCAGUACUUUUGCACAACAAGCCAGCAAAGAAAGACAACACUAGAGGUACCCGCCCAAGCCCCUAUAUCUCCGACAACCCCCAAACUAUAAUUAACUAUAUACACGGAGGUCUAAUAGAUGACAAACACAACUCUAGGUGACAAAGGCGAAGGUUUCUUCAUGCAACUUCUAUAAGAAAAUAGAUUAGUUCCGUCUAGGACACCUUUGUAGAAGGAAGUGUGCAUCCAGUCGAUUACACAAUCACCUUUCCUCUUAUAGGUGUCAAUUGGGUGUUGCAACCCCAUAGAGAUGCCUUGAUCCUAACACUAGGGAUGGGCAAAUUAGAAGUGCGGAGAAUCCUAGUUGAUCCAGGCAAUUUAGCUAAUCUCUUGCAAAUGUCAACCUACAGGCAAAUGGGUCACUCACCAUCUGCCUUAGAAAAUCCAAGGCGUCUACUAUCCAGAUUUAAUGGACUUACAAUAACCUCCCUAGGUGAUAUUGUGUUACACGUCCAAUCCGACUCGAUCAUAACGAGUGUACAAUUCUCGAUGGUUAAUGAUCUGUCUCCAUACAAUGCCAUUAUGGGACAUGCAUGACUUCACAAAAUGAAAGUCAUUCCUUCUACGUACCAUCAAAUGGUAAGCUACCUCACAGAAGUGGAACAAGUCAAUUUCCUUGGUAGCCAACUAGCCGCAUGAUAAUACUAUCAAGUGGCGCUAGAGUUUGUACAUCCAACCAACGAUGAGGCACAUCUCGAACCAUCGAACACAAGGUAACAAUAGCAGUUACUAAGCCCGAUGGAGAAAUAUCCAUCCGCGGUUGAUCCGCUUCAACCACUGCUUUUUUCACAUGACACAAAUCAAAUCACCUACAAUCAGUUUUUUACUUGCGCAAGAUGAACUAGAACUGCUAGGGAAUACGAUUUAGUGCAAUAAAAACAUUUUUUCCUAGACUCACUAGGACAUGUAAGAAAUCCAUCCGGUCGUGGCCUCCCAAAAGCUCAAUGUCUCACCCACAUCGUAUCCUAUCUAGUAGAAGGUCUAAUGCUUUCAUAUGGAUUGUCAAAAAAUCAUCUAGAUGGAAGUUGACAAGCUAUUGGCAAUCAGAUUUAUUAGAAAAGUCAAAUAUUCAGAUUGGUUGGCGAACGUGGUGGUAAUUCCAAAGAAAAAAGGGAAAGUGGUGAGUUUACGUUGACUACACUAACCUGAAUAAUGCUUGUCCAAAGGAUAGUUUUCUCUUACCUAGAUAGAUUAGAUAAUCAACGCCACAAUCGAGCAUGGGGUGCUAUCCUUUUUAGAUGCCUUUUUCGGAUACCACCAGAUCCCUAUGUUAUAGCCAGAUGAGGAGAAAAUAGUCUUUGUCAUGCCACAAGGACCAUAUUGUUAUAGAGUCAUGUUGUAUGGACUCAAGAAUGUUGUCGCUACCUACCAGAGACUAAUGACAAAAAUCUUCAAGCCCUUGAUCGACAGAACUAUGGAAGUCUACAUUGAUGACAUUCUUGUAAAGAAUGAGACCCAAGUUGAGCAUGUUCAGCACCUAGAAGAAACAUUCCAUUUGAUACGAGCAUACAACAUGAAGCUCAAUCUAGUUAAAUGUGCCUUCGACAUCAAUGUAGGAAAAUUUCUAGGGUUUAUGGUAACCCAAAGGGGAAUUGAAGUUAAUCCAGCUCAAGUGAAAGCCGUCUUGGAAACACCUGCUCCAAAUAACAAAAACAAAUUGUAGCACCUUACAGGCCAUCUCACAACUUUGGGUCGUUUCAUAGCUCGUUUUAUAGACAAGAUGCAACAUUUUUUCCUCACAUUUAAGGGGGCAAGCACGUUUGGCUGGACAGACGAAUGUAAACAGGCAUUUGAGGCAGUCAAACACUACCUCAUUGAACCACCUAUUCUAAUCAACCCCAAAUUCGACAAAGAACUUUACAUGUAUCUGGUCGUAUCUAAUUACACUGUCAGUGUCAUCCUAUUUCGACAUAUACUAGACAAGGAACAGAAACCCAUCUAUUAUGGGAGCAAAGUAAUGGUGGAUGCUGAGACAUGGUAUUCCUAAGUAGAGCAAAUUGCUCUAGCACUAAAGAGUGUAGCUCAAAAGCUCCACCCACACUUCUAGGCUCAUCAAGUGAUCAUACUUACAAACCAGCCGCUUCGAGUCACCUUGCACAAGCUAUCCGGAUGAAUGUUGAAAUGGGCAAUCGAGUUGAGUGAGUAUGAGAUCAAGUAUCAAUCGUGGUUAUCCUUAAAAAGACAGGUUAUGACCAAAUUUAUAGUUGAACUCCAUGAAAAAAAAAAAAACCACAUCCGGUCAAUCGCCCUAGAAAGCAAUGGUGGAUAUUUCAUGUAGACGGAGCAUCCAAGGUGUCUAGAUCCGGAGUGGGUCUGCUCCUGCAGUCAUCAACUGGGAAACUAGUAUAAAAAACUAUCCACCUUAGCUUCUCGUUUUCCAACAACGAGGCAAAAUAUGAAGCUAUGCUAGUCAGGCUAGAUCUUACCCUAAUGUUAGCCAUAACCAAGUUGGAAAUCAUGAGCAAUUCUCAGCUAAUUGUUGGGCAGAUUCAAUAAGAGUAUGAAACAAAGGAUGAAUGUAUGACGCGAUACCUUGCCCUGGUGGAAAAACACCUGAAAAAGCUAGACGAAUGGAUUAUCAAACAGGUGCCGUAAGAGGACAAUGAAAAUACCAACACACUAGUCGAGCCAGCUGCCACUUUCCCCAUAAAUGGGACGGUAAUGCUACCCAUUUACCUCGAAAUCAAGUCUUCCAUCACUCCUAGGCUAGUAUGCAAUAUCGGUUAAAUAGACUCAGGAUGGAUGCUUGACAUCAUAAAAUACCUCCAAACAGGGGAUGUACCAAAAGACAGAAAGCAAACACACAAACUUUGCAUACAAGCAACAUGCAUCACUUUAAUUAAUGAUCAACUUUAUAAACGAUCAUUUGAAGACCCAUAUCUAAAGUGUUUGAGCAAGCCAGAGUUCAAGUAUGUCCUAAUCAAACUCCAUGAUGGCAUAUACAACAAUCACCUAGGGGGGCAAACUUUAGCGCACCGUGCCUACACGUAAGGAUAUUAUUGGCCCACCAUGAAGUGGGACACUGAAAGCUAUGUCAAAAGAUGCGAUCGAUGUCAAUGACACAUUCCCAUUCCCUGUGUACCUUCGAAAGUCCUCAAUUUGGUCACAAGUCCUUGGCCAUUUGUGUAGAGGAAUGGACAUAGUCAACCCCUUACGUAUUGGAGCAUCGCAAAAAAAGUUUUUGCUCGUUGCAAUCGACUACUUCAGCAAGUGGGUGGAGACAGAAGCUUAUGUCAGUAUCAAAGACAAAGAUGUUUCUAGAUUUGUCUAGAAAAACAUCAUAUGUCAAUUCGAAAUUCCACGAGCAAUUAUCAUGGAUAAUAGGCCCUAAUUUGAUAGGAUCGUCUUCUGAACAUUUUGUUCAAAGCUAAACAUUAAGAACUUUCACUCAACACCCCACUAUCCGCAAAGCAACAGACAUGCCAAGUCAACAAACAAAGCCCUAUUAAAUGCUUUGAAGAAAAUGUUGGCAAGAAUAAAAGGAAAAUGGGUAAAUGAAUUGCCCAAAGUUUUAUGGGCCUACCAGACAACAUCUAGACGGCCAACAGGAGCCACUCCCUCGCCUUUGCUUAUGGGAUGGAAGCCAUCAUUCCAACCAAAAUUGGCAUGCCUACUACCAAAAUAGCAGUGCAAGAUAAAAAAGACAACAAUGAACUCAUAAGGCAACUAGAUUGUGUUGAAGAAAAGUAAGAAACUCCAGCUAUCCGAAUAGCUUCUUACUAUUAGAGGGCAAUCACUCAGUACAACAAAAAGGCACGACUACGGUUUUUUCAGUUAGGAUCUUUGGUUCUUAAAAGAGUCUUAAAAAACACAAUUGAAAUGGGACAUGGAAGCUAUAAGCUAAUUGGGAAGGACCUUAUGUUGUAAUUAAGGUAGGAGACUUGGGGGCAUAUCACCUCCAAACACUAGACGACGUGUCUCUGCUCUUCCCUUUGAAUGUAACUAACUUAAAAAUAAUAUAGCAAAGACAAAUUGCUAAAAAGAGCACACUAGAAGGAAAAUUAAUAAGUGUAUUCAUAAUUGAGCAUACAUUGUGUAUAUAGGCAUAAAAAUCUAGGCCACAAUUGGCUAAAGAAAAGAAAAGUAAAAGAAGUCAAGUCUGCUCAUCAUGGGAGCCGUCUUCAACGGAAGGGUCCGUCUCCUAAACCAUGUCCAUCUCUUAGUGCAGGACUACCCGAAAACUCAUCUUCCUCAUCAUCAGAAGGGAACCUAGGAGUAUUGUUUGCAAUGUCAUGCUUCUUCAUACAACACCGGUAGCCAUAGAAGAAUAUGUCAUCAACCUGCUUCUAAUAAUCUGUUUCUAUAUCAUUCUUUUGAGUGGAAAACCCUUCCCGAAUAUCUUAUAGCUCACUUCUCAACUGGGCAGUCUUCUCUUGAACCUUCUCUUUUUUGGCCGCAAUAACAACCUUCUCCUUAGCCAGGCAGCGAGCCUUGGCCUGGGAUGCUUUCUUCUCUUCCUCGACUUUCCUCAGCAGGCAGACACCCUUUCAACCAACUUUUGGGUAGUAACAACCUUACCCAUUGCCGUCUUCAUGACGACUAAGAGCUCCUCAUUUUUGUCCAUGUUAUGGGCGAUAUAUGCCAUCAUGGUUUCGAUUGCUUCUAGUCGUUGGAAAAGGUGCGCUUGUUGUCGUAUGAGGUUACAAACCUCGACUAUCAUCUAGGGGUAGCAAAGAUCAUUAUGAAAUAAGACACUAAAGGAAAAAUGAGAAAAGUCACAAGUGAAAAAGAGGGGGACGACUAACCACUUCCACUGUCUCAAAAGCAGUGUAGUCCCUCAUAUGAAUGAUGCGAACAAUGGCAAUGUCCGGAGUACCAUAAAGAAGUCGCGCCAUGAAAGACUAAUUAGGGUCUUCAUCCACCUCAACCAGAAUUCGUUGCAUAGCUGGAAAGAGCUCUUUAUGUCCUACACUAGAGGCUCCAUUUCGGUAAAGGUUGGGAUACGCCUUAUAAGCUUAGACAAUUUCUUCAUGCUGGGAACAUAGGCUGGCUUUGGGCCGUGAGGAGAAGGAUUUAGACACUUGAAUGAAUCCUCAUUGAUGUUCCCUAAGACGACAAAGGGUUUCCUCAUCUCGUGGUUGGGAAUAUCACCAACAUAUGAGGGUUUAUCAUUCAAACCUGAGUCGACAAUGUUGGCUUGGACGGAGAGUCCAAACCGGGAGCUGGAUGAUCCUUCUUUGAAGAAGAUGGGCCAAUAGCGAUAGACUCAGACAGGCACUUACAUUGCCUCUUACGGAAUCUGGCUCUCAAAUUGGUAGCCAUCUCCUCUUCUUCGUUCUCAUCGUAAAUAAUUAAGGGCACCAACUGACUCUCUUGCUUCUGUCUCGUCAUUGGAAGAUGAAAAGGACAAAAAAAAAAAAAAAAAAAACGGAGAAGGCGAUGAAGACAGCAAGGCAGGAGGUGGAGUUCUCGUUUUUUUGAUGGAACGAGUCGCGGGCUUCUUAUUUUGGGCAUAAAGACGAACAACGAAGUUGGAAGCCGGACGACUAGCAACUUGAGCUUGCUUCAGUGUUCCCUCCUAGUGUUUCUUAUCACGUUCCUCUAAAAAAGCCUGAUGUGCUUUAGAAUAAGCCAAACAAGCAACCUUGUAGAAAAGUACAUCAUUCAGCACGAAAUGUUUGUCAGGCACUAAAGACGAAGAAGCUAGCCGGGAAUACACUAGGAUGAUCAAGACAUUGAAUUUUCAAUUAAGACCUGGAGGUUUUUAUCUGAUAGAAGAAAGUUGUGAGCCCAUUCAACAGCAUCAAUCUUGAACAACUUGUUUAAAUAGGCAAAUGAAGCCUUCUCCACCCACUCCGCAAGACGUCCCCACCUCUCUUUGCAUGUAUUAGACAAACAUGAAGAUCGUGAGUAGGUUAGCAACAAGGAUAGAAUAGUAGCAAGACAAGACGAAAAUGGUAAAAUCAUAGUCUACUUGGAAUCUUCAACAAAUGUUGCGGAGCAAAAACUUUAUCUAGACCCUCAAAAGAACCACUCUAGGGGCCAAACACCAAAACAUGCCCCUUCGCUCAGCCUUUGCUUGAGUUCAAAAAAUUGGUCACGAAUUGGAGAGAAGGGAUGUGGGCAAAUAAGUUGAACCUUUCCUUUGGGUUCAUCUUGACAGUGUAGAUGAGUAAGACUUCUAGUAGAGGAAGAUCUAAUUGGAAAAGCAUAUCCAACACAUUGCACCCCAUCGAUAUCCAGAUUAUGUUCGUAUGAAGGAAAGUAGGAGGAAUUUGUGUGAAGUGAAGAAAUUGUUUAAGAAGAAAAGGAAGAUGAAGACGAAGCCCCACGGAAAACUGUUCUUUAGUAAAGUAUAUCAUGUUAUUCAGGAUAUCGACUGACGAUAAAGCUUCGUCGACUGAUAGUUGAAUCAAGAUGGUGUCCAGAACUCGAAAACGAGCACGAAACUCCUGCUUGGACAGGUCACCAACUGGCAAUUUAGCUUAGAGUGCCCGACUCUAGCAUUUUUUUCAUCUGCCUUGCUGAGGCCUUCUGUUGGUAUUAGUAAUUCAUCCUCUAUCCAUUAUAUCAUAGGGAUCUGGGUUGUGUGGAAACCUGCACGGAUCAAUGUAGUUGGCGGAACCAAUCAAUCAACCCAUUCGUCGUUUGGUGUUGCCCUAGUAACGGACAUUUAAAACUAAAUGAACUAUAAUCUAAAUCUAGAUGGAUUUGAUUGUGAAAACUUGUAGAAAAAACUCCUUCGCCAAUGACGAACGCUGAAUCGCAUACAUCACACCUUCGCACCAUCACGAUGAUAGUGAAAGCAUGAGACAACAACACAAAUACAAUGACGACAUAGAAGCAAACAAGAAGUCUAAAACACCCAAAAUCUGGACAUUGAUAUGUCCAUUUUCUCUCCAAACAAACAACACCAACACAAUCAGAAAAGCAAAAACUAGCCCAACAAAGAAUCAAAAUGACAGUAAAAAACUUACCUAAGCUAAGACCAAAACGCUUUUAGGCGAGAAAAGAAAUCCUCUAGUAGCAUACUAGUUGACGACGAUGGAAGUGAAAAGACGCAAUCGAUGGUAAGCAAAGUAAUGACAAAGAAGCAACAUAGACAAGAGAACACUAUGUAUAGGAAAUGCACCAAAUGACACGCAUCCCUUGGCGCCCAAAAACUAAAAAAAAACAGAUAAUCCAUCAUGCCCCAGUUCAUCAGCAACCUGACCAAACAGAGGUAGACGGAUUAGGAGGAAUUGUGGGAAGCUUCCCUCCACUUGUCCUUCAUAGGCUCAAGACCCUUUGGUCGCCCAAGGCAAGCAAAUAAUCCAUUUGGGAAAAAUUUAUUUGGACUAAGACAAGCUCUAUUUGGCGUAAGAGGAAAGACAAAUUUCCUUCUUCCCCAAUGCUAGACAGAAUGGAUAAACCAAGCUGACUGUGGGACUUUUAGAUGAGCAACCAAGCUAGUAGGAAAUUCCAAGCAUUGAGCGGAUGAUUAACCACCAACAAUGCCUAAGCGACAAUCAAAACAACAUUUACACCCAAAAAUCAAUGUCCUUCAAUUGUUAUUCGCAAUUAUUGACAUUGAAAAACGUAAAUGCACAACCAACCACAUGGUCCAGGAUGUUUGCAUGAUAGACAACAAAUGGCGCCAAUCAACAACUUUUAUUUGGUAUGAUUUCCCAAUCCACUCUAAGAUAAUGGCGUUGACUACCUUAUUAUGGCAUAUUAUUCGCCAUGACGACAAUCAUAAGUGCAAGAAAUGCAUGAAUGCACAAUCAACGAUGUGACGAUGGUGCCAUACAUUCUAUAAAAACCCCUCCAUAAGCAUGAAAAAGGUAUGUGUGUACAUAGCCAUUCAAAAAGUUAGAUUUACUCUUGCUAGACUUAAGUUUCAGAGGGGCAUGCCUGGACCACCUGUCCGGACAUCUUUUUGUGCAAGAAAAUAAUCCAUCUGACUUUGGUGAAAUUAGACGAGCCUGCAUCUAGUUGGCACAACACCAACUGACUCCAUUUUUUUUAUUGAAAUGAUAUAAAAAAAAAUACGUACAAAAAAAAUUCUCAUAAAAUCUUGAAAAACUAAUAAAUUUUUAUAUGACUUGAAAUUACAUGAAUAGUGGUGAGUUUAUGUCUUGAUAUAUGAAACUAUCUUAAAAUGGGCAAAUAGGUAAUCUAAGCUCGUAGUUCAUAAUUUUUAAAUUAAUUUAAUUUGUGGAAAUCAAUAGUUUUCAAUCACAAGACAUAUUACAAGUGUAGGAAUUCUAAAGUUCUAUUCCAAAAUCAGAGAUAUUACCUCUUACUUGAAAUCUUCAAUUUAUCAACCUUCAUUACUUCAAUAAGUUAAUCCAAGGUCACUCAAACUAAAUAUUUAUAAUUAAUGUAUUAAAGCCUAAAUACAUGGUAACCUAUAUUAAGAAAAACUAAAGAUGAGAUUACCAUGACUUGUAGCAUCUAGGUUGUCAUCCCCUAAGAUCCAUAUACUAGACUAUUCAACAAAGCAAAUCCUCUAUCUACAUUGAAAAUGUCUAAAAGUAAAGUUUUUUAUGAAACUAAUUCUUUUUCACACCACUAUCAUGAAAGUAAUAAAAUCUAUAGUAAAAACUUUUGAAGAGUUCAAAAAUCUAAUUUUAGAUUCAUAGAUUGAGAUAGUAACUUUUAACCCUAAGACAAAUAUCAAAGUUCACUAUGAUUGAAUUAGAUCUUAAGAUCAAUUUGCAUCUAGUGUUAAUAUUUAAGUUUAAGGUACUAUUCUCUUAAACAAAUUUAACAUGUCUAUUAUUUCAAUUUUGAGUUUAUAUACUUUCAUUACUAAUAUCCAUCAUGUAGGUUUGAUUCCUAGAGUUUCUCUCAGUGGAUCAAAUCAAGUUGACUAGUGAUCAAUGUAUCCCCAAACAUCACUAGUACCAUAGUAAGAAUCCUUUGUACUUAACCUAAGCCAAACCACAUAGAGGAUUAUUCUAAUUAAUUUAAACACAAAAUAUUUAUAAACAAUCCAAAUGAACUUUAAUGUUCUAUCGCACAUCUCUCUAUAUAUGAAUCAUCUAUCUUUAUGUUACUAUUAGGAAAACAACCUUUAGAUCUAGAUUAAAGAGUGCAUGCAACUAAGAUCCCAAGUGUAGUGAAAAGAUGCCUAUUUUUUCAAAAAAUUAUUCUAAGGUGUUCUUAAAAAACAUACCCUUGGAUUCGAUCCAAAUCUUUUUCCUAAUUUGCAGUAGAAAUCUCAAAUGCAUUGUGAUCUUCUACCUGAUGACUCUCUCUUGGAUCUUAGCUAUAAAGAAGAAUGGACCUCUCUUUAGAGGAAGUGAUGGUUAUGAUUUCUCUCAAAACAAAUUAUAAGACAACAUUUAGUCUAACCCUAAAUCCUAAGAGGAUUUAUAUAAACUAUCAAUUAGGCUUAAGUGACUAAGGCUCAUCAUAUGGGCUUAGGUUGUUUAAUCUUAGCCUAGUAAGUCUUAUUUAAUUAAUUAUGCUAAAUGGCGUCAAUUAAUUAAAUAGAUUAAAAAGAAAACCCAUAAGUCAUUUAAUCAUAAGCCCUUGCACAACCUUUGCUUAUACAAAUGCACCCUUAUGCAUACUUAUAAUUAAGUACUAAAAAAGUUCUCAAAAUAAAUACCACCAAAAAGUGUGAGCUCGAGUGGGACCACCAAAACCCAUAGGAAAGUAUGUAUUAGCUCCCUUAGAAUCAAAUUCUAAAAUUCACUCAACAUUCCAUUAAAAAAAAAGUCAAUUGCACUUCAAUAUCUUAUGAUAUUAGAUGGAGAUAGAAAACUUGGGUCUAUCACUUACUAUCCAUUGUAUGUAAGUUCCUUAUGAACUAAUGUUUAUAAUCCAAAAAUGUAGUAGCUAUCAAUCUUUAAAGAUCACUUCUCAAUCCUUGAGUCUUAAAUCCUCCUAUACCAUGACAAUUUGACAUACUCUAGUCCAGAAAGGAUGUAUGUCAAAUUUCGUUGAAGGAACUGCUAUAGCCAUAUACUACAUGAUCAUGAAAUCCUUGGGAUCAUGCAAAAGGAUAUAUUGUCUCAAAUCCAUGAGAUAUUAUAAUGUCUCUAUGGAUCAUAAUAUCUAUUGUUACUUUCCAAAACAGUCAGUCACCCAAUCCUUUGGGAAUAUAUAAUCACUUUAAGAUUUUACCCAUAGAUCAAAGUGAUUGAUGACCUCUACAUUAGCAUAAUAUUCUCUAAAGGUUGAGAACUCAUGCAAUUAAUAUUUAGUAGUUUUGACAACCCGAUAAUCAUUAGUCAUGAUCCUCCAAAGGUCUUGUUCAAUCUGUAACCAUACACACUAGUACACUUAUCAUGGUAAACCUAUCCUGAUGAGCAAAAUUAUUUAUUCCACCACUUAAGAGGUAGUAUACUAUGACUUUUGAUGGAUUGCCUAAGUCUAAAAACCAGUCAUAAACUAACUCAUCAACUUGUAAGAUGUUAGGAUAAAGCCUUUAAGAACAUGACAUGAUAUAACAAAAUUUAGAAUUUAUUAUUUAUUAAUAAAGUUCCAAUUUUACUUAUAUCUAUCCUUAUUUCAUGCAAUAUACUUUAUAAAUAUUCUGGUUUACAUCUUUUGCAUUGUACAUGAAUUGGAUGCAUUAGGAGUUAUAUAGAAAAUCUAAGUCAUGAGUCCCUUACAAGAGGAUGACUUGUUCACAACUAGUUCGUGUUCCUAGGCAGCCCAUUAGAAAAUGUAGUGCACUACCUCCUAAUUGGAGGGAUAAUUGGUUUUGGCCAUCAAGAUGGGUUUCCUGUACUAGUGUGUAUGGUUACAUAUUGGAUAAGACCUACAGUGAGUCUUGAUGUAAGACUCUCAAGUAGUUAUGAAUUCACCAAGUUGUUUCAUUGUGUUGUUUUUCAACAUUGAGUGAAUAUUGAGUUUAUACUAAAAUUAGUAGUGGUUUUGACCUACAAGUGAGAUUUUAAAGGGAUCAUAUAUUCCCUUAUGGAUUGACUCACUAUUGAUGGAACUUAUAACAAUAGGUAUUCUCAAUAAAGGUACCAUUUUAUCUCAUGAGAUUAAGAUAAAGUGUCUUAUUUGGUAAUCCUAAGAAAGUGUGUUUAUAUAAAUUAUGACUAUAGUAGUUCCUUAAGCGGUAUUGGACAUAAGCUCUUUGUAAGCUAAGAUUGAACAAGCAUAAAAGAAGAAUAGCUUAAUAAGGGCAAACAAAUUUAAGUUAAAACUGUUUUUCACAAGAAGGAAAAAAGAGAGAAGGCCACACAAGAGUGAUAAUUAGAAAAAUAUUAUGUACUAGUAACAAAAUGAUGGAGGGUCCCAAAGAGAAUUGUCUUUCACUUAAGCAUGAAUCUUAAAAAAAGUGAUGGCAACUUUUGGCCACUCAUAAUCACUACUUGAAAUGCUAUUCUUCACCAUACCACCAUAAAAUUGGUAUCUUUAAUCCACUUCUCAGCAAACAACAUUUUGAAAAGAAAAAUCCCUUUCAUCCAUUUUGGAGAAACACCAUCUAGUUACAAAUGAAAUUCUAAUCUAAGAAUUUAGCCAUAAGUAGUUCUUCUAUGAAAUAGCAUUCCAAACACACCUUCGUAUGGUCAAAAGUCAUCCAACUCAAAUACUAGAAUGAGUAGACUCGAUCUAAUUUUAUGACUCCGAAUGAAAUAUCUGCUCCUUGGAAUAAAAUGUAAAGAAUAUUUUUCUUUUAAUUUAUUUUAGGGAAACAUCUCCUAGGAUGUGGUCAGAAAGAAAAUUUAGAAUGCAUUUGGGAGUGAUUCUAAAAAGCGUUUCUCACAUUUUUAACCCUUGAAUGAUAAAAAUUUUCAAGUAUUAGAAAUAUUAAAAGCGCUUCUUAUAAUCACUACCAAAUGGGCUUUUAAUACAAGAAUAUAGUUAAAAUAAUCUAGAAAGUUGUAUUGGAAACAUUCCUUCAAUUAGAAAAAAAAAUUAAAUUAACAUUUUUAACAAGAUCAACUUAUUAUGAUUAAUUAUAAAUUUAAAAUUUUGUAGAAAUACAUAAUCAAGAUCCGAUUAGACUAGCGUUGCCAAUACAUGUCUGAUCCAAAAUGAAUUCGGAGUGAUACUUCUUUUCAAACCCAACUUAAAUUAUAAAUUAAGGAAUCCAAGAUUCUAAAAGAUGGUGCCAAGGAGCACGUAACAAUAAUGAUGAGAUAAGAAAAUAAGUGUAGACUGAAUACAGAAGAAUUGGAACCAAGUAGAGUUGAAAGUGAAUUGAGAGUGAAAGGACAGCUUGUAAGAGGACAUUUCUGGUUCUCAUUCAAAGUAAUGAAUUCUAUGUCGGUAGGCGUUCUGUUCUGCCUUCCUUGUUUUCUUUCUCUUUCACAAGGACUUGAUUAGGAAGACUUGAAGCCAAACCGAAGCAUUCCCACUUGCAACUUAGAUUAUCACUACAUUUGUCAAAGUCAAGUUGGACCAAGUGUUCAGUUUGGGUGUGAAUACAUUAACCAAUAAUUAUAUCAGCAAUAGCUUGAUAGGGUUUAUUCAGAGAGGACAACUUAAAAGGUGAAACGCAUCACACUAAUUUAGGAAAUUUUAGAAAAUGAUUGGACUAUAAUAAUACCCAAGCGAAGAAGAAAAAAUAAAUGGUAUUAAAAGCUAAAAUGAUAGAUGAAAUGUUUGUGGAUGACCUCUAAUCAGUUUUAUUUUUCUUUUUAAUUUUUUUUUAAUUUUAGCACUUAAAUGUUGGGUUUGAUUAAACAAUUAAUGAGAGAUAGAUAAUAGAAAUGAAUUGGAAACAGGCAUUGAUUGCAUGUCCUUAGACGGUUUUAUUUUUUAAAGGAAAGACAAAUGUUAAAACACACUCUUAAACUCUUUCUCCACUUGUCCAUUUUUUUUUUCAAAUAAAAAUAAAUAUGAUUGGAUAAACAUACCCUCUUCUUCAUCUUCUUAAUACCACUCCCUCACCAACCUUAGUUCUUCAAUUUCCUUCCCUUCCCUUCCUUCACCUACUAUAUAUUAUUGCUAUUACAGAAAGGGUUUUCCUUUAAGGUUAGGAAAGAUCAAACCAACUUAAUAUUUAUGCAAGUAAUGGAAAUAAAUUAUAUUAAGGCUACUCUUCCCAAAAUCAAAAGUAUUAAAAAGUUCAUGAAAUUUAAGGAAGAACAUACCAAACUAGUAACAACUCUUUUUUUAGGACAUUAAUGGCUCAGUUGAUCACCAUGCAUGAAAUUUAAUGGUUCAUGGAGGAUAAGUAUCUCUUAAUAUAUUUCAUAUUUAAUUCCUUGUCUCUUAAACAAUAUGGGUCAUUUCAAUUGAAUUAUAAUAUUUUUAAGGAUAAGUAGAAUGUUAAUAAAUUGGUUACUACCCUUGUCCAAGAGGAGAUAGGGCUAAAGCAACAAAUGAACUCAUGCACUUCAUUUUAUAAGCUUUCAACUAGCUAGAAAGAAGUCUACAAAGGGCACAAUCCAAUGACCAUAAUUGAAAUUAAAUGAGUCUUAUAAAGAUUCCCAAAAGAAUGAACAACAAGAAUAAUAAAAUAUCAUUUUUGAAAGAAAAUUGGGCAGUAUAAAAAAGAUUGCUAGCUAGAAACAUAAUGCAUCAUUUUUUUUAGAAAGAUAAGUUGAGUACUUACAUACAUUUUGAAUCAAAUUUAACAGAAGAUCCUUACAACCCUUAGUGGAUUGAUUCACACAUAACUACUCAUAUUUCUAACACAGCACAAGGAUUCUAUAAAAUCCAAAUCAUAAAUCUAAAUGAGAACUUAAAUCCAAUCAAAGCUCCAAUUGAAGCCGCUAGAAUUUGGCAUUUGAAUUUUAAGCUCCAAUUAAAUACAUUGGGAUUUAUUGUUUGAAUUUUAAACAACCAUUAGACUUGUUCUAGACACUUCAUAUAUAUUGUUUUCAAGCAAUUUGAUUUCUUUGUCUAAAAUUGAUGCUUCUGGAUACACUUUCAAAUUUAGGAAUAGGUGUUUCAAUUUUUCUAAAAAUAAUCAUCUCCUAAAUUUUAGUAUCUUACAUGAUGAUUUGUACAAGUUGAAAGGUGAGAAUCUUCUAAAUUAUAAAAAUUUUAGUACCAGAAUGUUUAGUAGAUAAGCCUUUAGCUUUCUUGUGGCAUAAAUGUUGGGGAUUAGUUAAUAAUGAAAUUCCUCCAAACUUAAAUUUAACUGAUACUCAAUGUGUAUGUGGAUUAUAUUAGAGUAAAACCAACUAAACUCCCUAAGAAAUGAGGUACUAGGAGAAUAAAACUUCUUGAGAUUAUAUACAUGAUAUAUGUAGGCAUUUUGAUACCCAUCAUUUGGUGGAGAAAAAUAUUUGUCAAUUUUAUUGAUGAUUUUCCACGUCAUGAUUAUGUUUACCUAUUGCAUAAAAAAAAAAAAUAAAAAAAUAAAAAAUCUCAAUUAACGAGCAUCUUUGGGCCAUACACUAGUGGGGUUGAAAGAUAUAAAAAAGAUGAAAAUUGUAAAGUCAUAUGUGGGUGGUGACUAUUAUGAUAAUUACAAUGAAUCAAUAAAUGUCUUGGAUCAUUUGCUAAAUUCCUUGAAAGAGAUGACAUGUGUGCUCAAUAUGUUAUGUAAGGCACACUAAUAAAGUGAUGUAAUUGAAAAACAUAAUCGUACUUUGAUGAACAUGAUUAAAAGUAUUUCAAGUAAUUUGUUUUUAUCCUUUUUAUUGUAGUUACAUUUUUUGAAAACCAUCAUUUAUUUUUUGAACUGCAUUCCUAGUAAGGCAUAUCCAAAGUUUCCUUUCAAACUAUGGACUAAAAGAAAACCUAGGUUAAGGCACAUGCACGUUUGAGGUUGUGAUGGGGGUUAGAAUAUGUAAUUCAAAGGGAAAGAAAUUAGAUUUUAAAAUGAUAAGUGGAUAAUUUAUUGGUUGUCCAAAAUAGUCUAGAAGUACAAAUUAAAUUUAUUGUCCAACUUAUAGUCCAAGGAUUUUAGAAAUUGGAAAUGCUAGAUUCAUAGAAAAUGGAGAAAUUAGUGGGAGUGGAGAACCGUGUAAUAUGGUUAUUAAUGAAGAAGUUAGGAUACAAGUUCCUUUACCCAAAACUUCAAAGGUUGUUGUUCCUAUAUAUACAAUUGUCAAACAAUUUGAUAACAUUUAAGAACAAAAAGUGAAUGAUCAAGCUUUUCAUAAUGAAACUAUAUUAAUUAACCCGUAGUAGACGAACCACAUGAAAUAGCAUUAAGGUCUCAAAAGAAAGGAGAUUAUGAAAAUCAUGUGGUACAUUUAUAAGUCAAUAUUUAACUUAAGAAUCAAUAAAGAUCCUACUUCAUUUUCACAUGCCCUAAAAGGUAUUGAUUUAGUUAAUUAAAUGGGUCGAUGCUAUGAAAUAAGCUAAAAUCAACAAAACAAAGUUGGCAUCUUGUUGAAUUGUUUGAAAGUCAUAAAAAUUUCUAUGUAAAUAGGUCUUUAAAACCAUGAAUAUAGUAGAAAUUUUGGCAAUAUAAAACCAUAUUGUUUGCCAAAGGUUUUAAUAAAAAGAAAAUGGCACAAAUAACGUAUUUCAUUGACAAGGGAGAGAUCUAGAGUAUUCACUUGCCAAGGUUAAAAGAUUCCCCCACAAUAAUAAUCACCUUCAACAAUAAUUAACAACCUAACAAGAAUCAAGAUUGAUAAUUAAGAAAAUUCAACCAAAAAGGGGACACCAAAUAUAACAUGGAAAAACCCUCCAAAUGGAGAUAAAAAACCACUGAAUUCUACUUUAAUAAGGGGGGAUACUAUAAUUAAGUCCUCAAAUUUCUUCGUCUUGAAAAGUUAUAUAAAUAUCUCAAUACCUAAGGUGGGAAUCCAUCACCUUAGGAAACAUGAACAGAAAGAAAUUAGGGAAAAAAAAUAUACCAUAGGGACUUCCCAAAAAGGUUGAUGAAAAAAACUUGUAACUUCACUUUGAGUCCCAAAAUAGUGCCCAAAAAACAACCCUAAUUUUAUUUUUAUUUUUAAAUCAAAUCUUCCUUCUCUCAUAAUACCAAAGAUCUAAUGCUCAUGGGUUAAACAAACAUAGCCUAACAAUCUCCCCCUCUAGCACAUGAGCGAGGAAUGCCAAUCUAUAACUCCAACACAUGGAGUUUAAACCCUGCUGUCGUAAUGGACAAUUGAAGCUUCUACUGGGGAACAACCUUUAUAAAUAUAUCUGAGGCAUUGUUGUUUCUAUUAAUCUUCUUCAAUUUGGCUACAUUUUCUUCAACUAUAUUGUCCUUUCACAUAUAUUUUUCUUAAUUUUUAUGUUUUUUUUAAAUAAAAAUAAAAAAAGAGAUGUGGAUAUAAAAAGAGAAAUGAUGGAUGUGUUUAAAAUUUAUCUUCCCUAAAACAUUCUCAUAUUAUCUUUUUAAAAGAAUUCAAAAAUACUUUCUACUAAUUUUUUUCUUAUUUUCAUUAUUAUUAUGAUUAUUAUUAUUAUUUUUCAUGAUAUUCAAAUAUAAGAAAACAUCUCCCUUAAUAUGCAAAAUUUUCAAAUUUUCAUAAUUAUUAUUUGUAAAAGGUGGGGCCAUUGAAUAAGACUUCCUUAAGAGAGCCUUGAUUCUCUCUCUCUCUCUCUCUCUCUCUCUCAUCCUUCUAUUUUCUUGCCAAUUUAAAAAGACUUUAGGAAGACCUUGAUGCCUAAAACUAUAUACAAAGUGAACCCUCAAUUAGGCCGAAACAUCAACCUCAUACUCUCAUGAUCAAUUCAAUAAUGUUUCCGACCAAUAAAACUCUUGUAUAAAUGGUCGAAAAAUGUCUACAUAAUUAAAUUUAUUUUUUAUCAGAUGAAUUAAGAAUUAUAAUUAUAGUUGAAACAUGGUCUUUGAGAAGACAACUGAAAAUAAUUGAAACCUUAUGAAAAUAUUUAGGAGAGGUGAGAAAAUGUUGAUCACCAUACCGAGUAAUGUGAAUAAAUGGAAAGAAAAAAUGUUCAGCUUAAAGAAUUGACCAUUCACUACGUGUUGUUUGAGCUAAACAAAAGGUAGGCCAAAAAAAAUGACUGAGACUUCCUUUUUAUGUUGAUGGAACGCACAAAAGAAUUCCGAAUUUCCAAGUGAUAAUGACUUUAUUAUUAUAGAUAGUUUUAUAUUUUCAUUAUAAAAUGAAAUGGUGCAAAUAUUGAAUUCAUUCAAUAUCACUGUCUUUCUAAAUUAAGUCAACUAUACAUGUAUAAGUCUAUAAAAUUGAAUUAAAUAUUUAUAUUCUUUUAUCAAAAUAAUACAAAAUCAUAGUUAAUAUGUUUUUUUAAGAACAAAAGCAGGAAAUAAAUAAAUAAAUUUCCACACAAAUUGUUGUGUGGAAAAAAUGAAUAAAUUUUUGAAAAAGAAAAUAAUAAAUUGUUGUGUGACUUGGAAUAACAUGAAUGGGAAAAUAAUUGAAAGAAAAAGCAAAAAUGGUCAAAUUAAGGUGAUGUUUGUUAUUUUACUUCAUUCUAAAUAGAACUUUAAUAUUUAAUAGUAUUAAGUAUUAGACUAUUUAUUUCUAUUAAGUAUUAAAAGGUAAAGAAAAUCAAUAUAUAUUACUUUUUAUAUUUAGAAAAAAAAACCAAAUAUUUUGACUUUUUCUAUUUAACAAAAAAUUUAUAAUAAGUCAUGAAAAAAAUAUAAAAACAAACAACCAAAAGUUUGAAAAUAAAUUGCUUUUACAAAAAACUAAAAAAACAAACACCCUCUAAGAUUUUGAUUAAUAAUGAUAUUAAUGGUCAAGAGUGAAGAGAUUAAAAGGGAACUCACUCCUCCAAAAGGUUUAAAUUGGAUCAUUCUUAAAACUUCACUUAAAGAUCAAUUUUAGCGUUAUGAUGGUUGAUUGAGAAGUGGAUUAAUUUUCUAAUAUUAAUUGUCCUAUGAUGAUGAUGAUGAUGAUUAUUAUUAUUAUUGUUAUUAUUAUAUUUAAAAUAUGCUGUGGAAAAAUGUAUAUAAAGAAAAAAACAAGAUAUAUAAAGUGAGGUGUCAUCUUAUGUGUAACUAUAUAACCGUUUCUCAUCUUGAAACAUCCAUAAAAGUAAUGUUUAAACAUGUGUGGGCUUAGUAGUCUCUCCCAGCUGCUGCCAAUGAGAAUUCUAUUCUUUUUAUGGAUUUUAUUCAUGCCCUUAUGCCCGAUCUUUUUUGGUAUGCAUUGUACUUCGGUGUCUGGCGAAUGUCUGAGUGAUGGGAGGGUAUGCCUGGAAGAUGAGGUGUUGUUGCUGCUGCAACUGAAGAGCAGCCUCAUAUUUAAUACUGCUGCAUCGAAUAAACUAGUUUCCUGGAUUCAAAGCGCGGACUGCUGUUCUUGGGGAGGUGUAACCUGGGACGCCACUGGUCGUGUUGUCUCUCUUGAUCUCAGUAGCGAAUUCAUUUCUGGUGAACUCAAUAGCUCCAGUAGCAUUUUCAGUCUACAAUAUCUCCAGAGCUUGAAUUUGGCUAACAACACCUUCUCUUCUCAAAUUCCAGCAGAAUUCCACAAGCUUGGAAACUUAACUUACCUGAAUUUGUCCAACGCUGGCUUUUCUGGGCAGAUUCCAAUUGAGAUUUCCUACUUGACAAAGUUGGUUACUAUUGAUCUAUCUAGCCUUUAUUUCAUCACCGGUAUCCCAAAACUGAAACUUGAGAACCCAAAUCUGAGAAUGCUGGUUCAGAACCUCAAGAAGCUAAGAGAACUCCAUCUUGACGGUGUAAUCAUAUCAGCCCAGGGAAAGGAGUGGUGCUGGGCAUUAUCAUCUUCAGUACCUAAUCUCCAAGUGCUGAGCUUGUAUAGCUGCCAUCUUUCAGGCCCUAUACAUUAUUCCCUGAAGAAGCUUCAGUCCCUCUCAAGGAUUCGUCUGGAUGAUAACAAUAUUGCUGCUCCAGUUCCAGAAUUCCUCUCCAAUUUCUCAAAUUUGACUCACUUGCAGCUCAGUUCUUGUGGAUUAUAUGGAACAUUUCCAGAAAAGAUCUUUCAGGUACCAACCCUCCAGACUCUUGAUUUGUCAUACAACAAGUUGCUCCAGGGUUCUUUGCCAGAAUUCCCUCAGGGUGGAUGUCUAGAAACCUUGGUGCUCUCGGUUACAAAAUUUUCAGGGAAAUUACCCAACUCCAUAGCGAAUCUCAAGAGGUUGGCUAGAAUAGAGCUUGCAGAUUGUGAUUUCAGUGGUCCAAUCCCAACGGUGAUGGCAAACCUUACUCAAUUGGUUUACUUGGACUUCUCUCAUAAUAAGUUCUCUGGUGCAAUCCCAUCUUUUAGUUUGUCCAAGAAUCUAACCCUAAUAGACCUUUCUCAUAAUAAUUUAACAGGUCAGAUUUCUUCCUCUCACUGGGUUGGUUUUGUGAAUUUAGUGACUAUUGACUUUUGUUACAAUUCACUGUAUGGAAGUCUCCCGAUGCCCCUGUUCUCCCUCCCGUCACUGCAGAAGAUAAAACUUAACAACAACCAAUUUUCUGGUCCAUUUGGUGAAUUUCCAGCUACGUCUUCUCAUCCCAUGGAUACCCUUGAUUUGAGUGGCAACAAUCUGGAAGGGCCAAUACCUGUAUCCCUCUUUGAUCUCCAGCAUCUUAACAUCCUUGACCUUUCUUCCAACAAAUUCAAUGGCACUGUUGAGCUAAGCCAGUUUCAGAAACUUGGAAAUCUUACUACUCUUAGUCUUUCGUACAACAACUUGUCCAUCAAUCCAAGUCGUAGUAAUCCCACUUCUCCUCUUCUGCCAAUUCUUUCCACGUUAAAAUUGGCUUCUUGCAAGCUCAGAACAUUACCUGAUCUUAGCAGCCAGUCAAUGUUGGUAAUUUUAGACCUUUCCCAAAACCAAAUUCCGGGGAAAAUACCAAAUUGGAUUUGGAAGAUUGGUAAUGGCUUUCUUUCUCAUUUGAAUCUCUCUCAUAAUUUACUGGAGGGUUUGCAGGAACCUUUGUCCAAUCUUCCUCCGUUUCUGUCUACCCUUGACCUUCAUUCCAACCAGCUCCGUGGGCCAAUCCCCACUCCACCAUCUUCCACCUAUGUGGAUUACUCAAACAACAGGUUCACCUCUUCCAUUCCCGAUGAUAUUGGUACUUACAUGAACGUCACUGUUUUCUUCUCUCUUUCAAAGAAUAACAUCACUGGAAUUAUUCCUGCAUCAAUCUGCAAUGCCCAUUACCUGCAAGUUCUUGACUUUUCUGACAACAGUUUAAGUGGCAAAAUACCCUCAUGUUUGAUUGAGAACGGGGAUCUUGCAGUGCUGAAUCUACGGAGAAACAAGUUUAAGGGCACUAUACCUGGGGAAUUCCCAGGUCACUGUCUUUUACAGACCCUAGAUCUCAAUGGGAAUCUUUUAGAAGGAAAAAUUCCAGAGUCUCUGGCCAAUUGCAAAGCAUUAGAGGUUUUAAACCUUGGGAACAAUCGGAUGAAUGAUAUCUUUCCUUGCUGGUUGAAGAACAUUAGCAGUCUGCGUGUUCUUGUUUUGCGAGCCAACAAAUUCCAUGGACCCAUUGGAUGUCCAAAUAGCAAUUCCACCUGGCCAAUGCUUCAAAUUGUCGAUUUAGCUUGGAACAAUUUUAGCGGUGUGUUGCCAGAAAAAUGUUUCUCAAACUGGAGAGCAAUGAUGGCAGGUGAAGAUGACGUCCAAUCCAAGUCCAAUCACCUGCGAUUUAAGGUCCUAGCAUUCAGUCAAUUGUACUAUCAGGAUGCAGUAACAGUUACCAGCAAAGGUCAAGAAAUGGAGCUUGUGAAGGUCCUAACUCUCUUCACUUCCAUUGAUUUCUCAUGCAAUAAUUUCCAAGGGGACAUACCAGAAGAUAUAGGAGACUUGAAGUUACUUUAUGUUCUCAACUUAUCUGGUAAUGGUUUCACAGGCCAAAUCCCAUCAUCACUAGGACAGCUGCGACAGCUUGAGUCAUUAGACCUCUCACUGAACAAGCUGAGCGGGGAGAUCCCUGCACAGCUCUCGAGCCUAAAUUUCCUUUCGGUCCUGAACCUCUCUUUCAAUGGAUUGGUGGGAAGGAUCCCUACAGGUAAUCAAUUGCAAACAUUUUCAGAAAAUUCAUUUGCAGGUAACAGAGGAUUAUGCGGCUUCCCUUUAAAUGUAAGUUGCGAAGAUGCUACACCACCCACGUUUGAUGGCAGGCACUCAGGUUCCAGGAUAGCGAUUAAGUGGGACUACAUAGCUCCUGAAAUUGGAUUUGUGACAGGGCUGGGAAUCGUGAUUUGGCCUCUUGUGUUGUGUAGGAGAUGGAGGAAAUGCUACUACAAACAUGUUGAUGGAAUUCUUUCAAGGAUUCUCCAUCAGAAAAACCAAGGAAGAGAAAGUGGUGGAAGACGAGGUCACGGAAUUCGGAGGCGGAGAAUGUAGCACUGAUGAAGAGGGAUGUGACCACUGGCCAUGAGUCUAUUUCCAUUAAUUCAAUCCGAAACAUUAAAAAGGGGUCCAUAAUAUUAUUUAAGUAAAUGUAUAAUUUUAUAUUUGGACAAUGCCAUGGUGUAGAUUUUUAUAGUAACGUUACUCUUACCUUUAGUGAUGCGAGUAUCAUGGUAUAUAAAUAAACGGUUUUUAUAUAAUAAAGAAUUUAAGUUGUAAAACCACUCCAUGAAAGCUUUCCUACAAAUAUAACAUGUUAUAUUUAAGAAAUUUGAAACAAAGCUAUAGAAAAUUGUUUUUACAUAUUAAAUAGAAAAUAUCUUUUCUACCCAUGUCCAGAAAUGCUUUUUAUGUACAGCCACAGUCUAUAACCAUUUUAAACCUACCCAAAUUAAAAUUCUAACUAGGGUGAUUCAGGGAGCCACUCAAGCUGGGCUGGAGAAUGGGUAAAGAUAUGUUGGCUGGAUGUGGGCCCGAGUUGGGCUAAACUUCGUUGGGUGGAUUUCUGUUGGUAUUAAAAAAUAUGGGCCUGGUUGUUACAAACGAAGACCCCCAAUGAGGGAGCUAGGUCCAUAUUCAGCCCAAUCAGCACAUCUGAAGCCAUAAGGGAUUUAACAACAUGAGCUUGAAAACUAAAACCCAAAACCAUUCCCUAAAUUAUCAAAAUCCAUGUCCAGCUUGGCAUUCAAAUUGAAUUUCCCUAAGCAGGUUCAAUCUCUCCUUCCCUAUUUCACCCUUUAUGAAUCCAUGACCUUCACAUCAUACCCCGCAAAUGACUGUACAGUUUUUGGGUUUGUUUUUGCCUUCCUAAUCAACUUUUAUGUUAAGGUAAAGAAUUCAUUUGGGUCUUCACAUAGUAGUUUAUCUAUCAUUUGUAAUUAUUGUGAGAAAAGAUUAUAUAAUUUCACUUCUUUUUUUUUUUUUUCAUCUAGUUUUAGGAUGCAUUGGUACAUGGAAAUGAAAAUGGAAAUAUGAUGGAAAUGGAGGUAAAUAAUAAGUGAGAGUAAAAUUUAGUUUCCAUGAUAAUGAAUCUUUUUAUUCCUAUUUUCAUUCUAAGAAACUAUUCAACCACAUUAAUGAAAGGAAAAUUGAAUUGAUUUCUCAUUCCUUAUUUUGCUAUUCCAAACAUGGCUUUUAAUCUAUUUUACUUUUAAAAGAAAGAAAAACUUAUCUUUAAGGACUCAAGGAUGUACCAAACGUAAUUAGAGUUGGUAAGUAGUUAAUAGAUUGUCCAUUGUUUGUAACUAAUUAGAAGGUUGUAAGUUAUAUAAUUUGUGGCUACUUAUUAGUGUUGCUGUGUGGUUGUUCAAUUUUUUAGUUUUUAUUUUUUUUAUCAAUUUUCUCUCAAACAAGUGCUCUGGAUCUCUUACGUACUCUCUCCAUAUUGAUUGUUUUGUACGUAGCUACCAAAGAGUUUUAGAAAGUGUAUGCUUGAGGCACAUAACAUGAGAUCUUUCAAAGUUUGCAAAUCAUAACAAAAAAAGAUAUGUAGAUUUGUGACACUUUGAGGUAAUGAGACAUUGGAGAUGGAAAUAUUGAAAAUGAUGUCUCUUCUCUCAUUAAAAUUUUUCUCUUGGUUGAAAAUUUAUAGCACAAUUUAUUGAAUAUUAAUUAAUUUUGUGACAAAGAUUUUUAUAUUAUUUUUUUUUUUACUUAAUUUGUUGUAUUAUUAAAGAUAUUCAAAAUGAUGAAAUCAUUUCCUGAGGGUCAUAAAAAUAAAACGGUUUAUACUACAAAACAUAAUAAAAAAUAUAAUUAAUGACCAUGAAAUUUUUUUUCUAUAUAUGAUUAAUUCGAUUUGAAGACUAAUAUAAGUGUUUAAUCAUCUCUAAUCUUACAUAUUCAUCCCAAUGUUACUUUUUAAUAAGCCUUUUUCCUAGAGUCAACAAUCUCUCCCCUAAGAUAGAGCUCCUAUAAUUCGAACUCAUGAUCUAAUUUUGAUAUCACUUGUUAAGAUCAAGAACUUAGCUAUAUUAUCUUUGAAAAUCAAUUUGCUAUCAAUGAGGUCAUCCUAAUCCUUUUUAUGUGGUUCUCGUUCGUACUCAUCUUGAGACUUAACCAUCUCGAGUGAAAUAUUGGUGCCUUAGCAUCUUCCGCUUUACACAUUUUUCAAUAGCCAUUUUUUGUAAGAAGCAACAAUAUUAUUGCACACUUAACAACUUUCUCCUUCCUUUGUCUUACGUAGUUUGAUGCUUUGAUAGGACAAUGACCAGAACCGGAGAUUAGAGGAUGACCAACAAUGACCACCUUUUUGAUGCCCUAAUUCAUGAAUAACUAACAUGCUUUGAUACUAUUUUGAAUCUUUGAUACUCUGAUUCACCAAUGGCCUUCAAACUGACGAGUUGAUUCCAUUUCAAAUUAGUGUGUUAAUGAUGCUGAUGCUGUUCUGAUUAGAGGAAGCUGAUGGUGCUCGAAUUUGAAGCUGGGGAUUCUGUUGCAGGGUACUGAUUAUACCAGUGCUAUAAUAUGGUAGUGAUUUUGUUUAUUGGAGAAGGAGAUUUUGAAUAUUUGAUCGAUGCUGCUAGUUGAAAGGUAUUUUUGAUAUUUAAAUAUUUUUGAUGAAUAUGCUCCAAUCCAGGACAUUGUUUGAUCAAUAGGCCCAAUACGUAAUUUCCUAGUUUGUUUUUUAGUAAUUGGAAGUAAAGAGAAAUUUGAGGGUGUGCAAACUUAAGGGUAAGUGAGUUUGACAUUACAAGUGGCUAUUGUGAAAAUUUAUGUAGAAUCUAUUAUUUUUUAAUUUUUUAUAAUUAUUUUAAUUUUAAUAAUAUAUAAAUUAUGUGUUUAUAGCAUUAUCAAUUUGAUCAAAGUUCAAUGAAUAGUUUGACUGUUGAACCGUAAAUCAAUGACUUUUUCAAUUUAGUUCUCUAAAAUAUUAAACAUUGCAAAUGGGAGUACAUAUUAAUUAAAAAACAAACAAACAAAACUUAUCUUUACGUCAAGAACUUCAUAUUUGCUCAUUUUAGGACUUUUAAUAAUGGAGGAACGUAUCAUGCAUUUGCCAUAAUGAAUGAUUUAGGUACAUAUGAGUUUUAUUUUUAAGUUAUAAAAAUGAACCUUCUCUUUUUCUGUCAAAAUCUUGCAAAAAGGUUAAAAAUGAAAAACAAAAAAAAAUUACAAUCACUUAUAAUCUGUAUUGAUCAUGGACAUAAUUUUUCUAUUUCUAAAACACCUUAAUAGAUAGGUUGUUGAAGAGAAAAAUAAAUCUAUAUAAGAAACGACAAAAACUUGGCUUAAUGAAAACAAUUUUUCUUAAUGAAAAUAGUUUUCUAAUUAUUUUGGGUGAAAGCAUUUAAUAUUACUUGCUAUAUUUUAAAUAACGUUUGAUAGAUAAACUCAUCAUUAGAGUUUUCAAGGUCUUUAUGUUCUUUACGUAAACUUUUUAAGAUGAUCUUUAAUAUUCUUUAUUCAGUAAUAAUGUUUUUGUUUUUAUUACUUGAUUUGUAUAUUAAAAAAGUAAUUAAGCUCCCUUACCAUAUGCUCAUUUCAAAUUCAUUUUCUAUAUAUAUACUAAGAGAAUUAUUGACAAAGAGAGAUGCUAGUAGCACUAAAUAUUAUGUUGUCAACAUAAAUUUAAACUAAGAGCAUGUCAUUACAUUUGGUUUUAAUAAAUAUUUUAGUGUCCAUUCUAUCCAUUUUUAAUCUAUUAUCAAGCAUAGUUUUGUUUACCCAAUUGAAUUAGAAGUGAACAUCAAAAUAUUUUUUUCCAAACUUUAUGAAAGUCACAAUAUGUAGCAUUUAACAUGUAUGAGGUUUACAUGUAACGGUCAAUAUUUUUACUCAACCUUGUUUGAAAUUAAUAUAUAAACUCAUAUUAUUUCAAAUGGGUAGAAUUUGUUUUGUGAAAAUUUCAAGGCAUGAAACAACUUCUCAUAUAAAUUAAAAAAGAAUAUGAAAAAACUUAAAUACAUCAUCCAUACUUUUUCAUACUAUUUUUUUUUUUAAUGAAAUGACUUAAAUAAAUUCAAGAGCAUUUACGUCCUUAAAAACGUGUUUAAAGAAAAUAAAAGAAGAAAAGAAAGCAAAAUAAAACAAAACUUAAAUACAUUAUCAAUGUAACUCAAAAAGAAAAGGAAAAAAAACUUAAAUAUAAUAUCCAUAUUUUUAUAUUGAACAAUUUUUCAUUAAAAUUAACUAAAUAAGUUUGAAUGCAAGUUCAAACUUAAUUUAAUCCUAAAAUUAACUAAAAUUUAAUUUUAAUGCUAGGUUCAUAGAAAAUGCUAGGUUCAUAGAAGAUGGUGAGGUUAAUUAGUGAGAGUCAAGAACUAUGUAAUAUGAUUAUUAAAGAAGUUAGAAUGCAACUUCCUUUAACCAAAACUUCAAAGAUUGUUGUUCCUUACAAUUAUUAAACAAUUUGAUAACAUUUAAAAACAAAAAGUGAAUGAUCCAACUUUUCAUAAUGAAAUUGCACUAAUUAACCCAUAGUAGAGGAAGGGCACGCGUGAAAUAGCAUCAAGGUCUCAAAACAAAGGAGAUUAUGCAAAUCAUGUGGUACAUCUAUAAGUCAAAAAUUUAACUUUUUCAUUUUUACAUGCCCUAAAAGAUAUUGAUUUAGUUAAUUAAAUGGACCAAUGUUAUGAAAUGGGCUAAAAUCAAUGAAACAAAAGUUGACAUAUUGUUGAAUUGUUUAGAAGUCAUAAAAAUUUCAGUGUAAAUAGGUCUUUAAAACCAUGAAUCUAGUAGAAAUGUUGACAAUAUAAAACCAUAAUUUUUGCCAAAGGUUUCAACAGAAAAAAAAAAAAAAAUGGCAUGAAUCACGAAUAUCCCUGUCUCACCCCAUCUCUAAAACACGUUCAUUUAGAAUCUUUAUGGCAUUGAUAGACUUGGAGUAACACAUUCAUUUUAAAAUGACUUAACGUAGCUAGGAAGACUUUGAGGUCUAAAGUUAUAGAGAAGUCAAUAAGCUCUUGGGAAAAACAUGAAGCACAUACGUCUUCUAUAGGACAAGAUAGGAGUAUUGUAUGUUCUCUUUGCCACAGCGACUCCUGUCACUCUCACAGCCAACUUCCAUGAUCCUUCCCACAGAAGUAUCAAAGUCGAGGUGGUCGACCAAGAUCUCUGUUAUAGUGUGAAUACCUUUACCACAAAGAGUUGUAAGAUAAGCAUGAAGAAUGUGUUCAAGAUACAUUUAGAAUGCUGUGUUGUUUAUGCAUAACUAGACACCCCCCUUUCUUUUUUCUUUCUGUUCAAACAUCUACAAAAAAAUAAAAUAAAAUAAAAUAAAAAAUCAUAUUAAACAUGUUUUGUUGUAGCAGUAUCUCCCAGCUGCUUCCAAUGAGAAUCCAAUUCUUUCAAUGGCUUUAUUUCUUGCCCUUAUGCUUAAUCGUUUUUGGUAUCCAUGUUGCUUUGGUGUCCGGGGAAUGUCUGAGUGAUGGGAGCACAUGCCUGGAGGAUCAGAUGUCCUUGUUGCUGCAACUGAAGAGCACCCUCAAACACAAUGUUGCUGCAUCAAGUAAACUAGUUUCCUGGAAUCCAAGCGGGGAUUGCUGUUCUUGGGGAGGUGUAACCUGGGACUCCAGCGGUCAUGUUGUCGGACUUGAUCUGAGUAGCGAAUUGAUUUCUGGGGGGUUCAAUAGUUCCAGUAGUCUUUUCAGUCUACAACAUCUCCAGCGCUUGAAUUUGGCUAACAACAGCUUCAACGAUUCUCAAAUUCCGUCUGGAUUCGGUAAGCUUGGCAAUUUGAUUUACCUGAAUUUGUCUAGCGCUGGGUUUUCUGGGCAGAUUCCAAUUGAGAUUUCACGCUUGACGAGGUUGGUUACUAUUGAUUUCUCUAUCCUUUACUUCCUUGGACUUCCUACGCUGAAACUCGAGAACCCAAAUCUGAGAAAGCUGCUUCAGAACCUCAGAGAGCUUAGAGAACUCCAUCUUAAUGGUGUAAAUAUAUCGGCUGAGGGGAAGGAGUGGUGCCAGUCAUUAUCAUCUUCAGUGCCUAAUCUCCAAGUGCUGAGCAUGCCAAACUGUUAUCUUUCUGGCCCUCUUGAUUCUUCCUGCAGAAGCUUCGGUCUCUCUCAAGCAUUCGCCUGGACAAUAAUAACUUCUCUGCUCCUGUUCCAGAAUUCCUUGCGAAUUUCUUGAAUUUGACUCUAUUGCGGCUCAGUUCUUGUGGAUUACAUGGAACCUUUCCAGAGAAGAUCUUUCAGGUACCAACCCUACAGAUUCUUGAUUUGUCAAACGACAAGUUACUACAAGGUUCUUUGCCGAAAUUCCCUCAGAAUGGAUCUCUAGGAACCUUGGUGCUCUCGGAUACAAAAUUCUCAGGGAAAGUACCAUACUCCAUAGGCAAUCUCAAGAGGUUGACUAGAAUAGAGCUUGCAGGUUGUGAUUUCAGUGGCCCAAUCCCAAACUCGAUGGCAGACCUUACACAACUGGUCUACUUGGACUUAUCUAAUAACAAGUUUUCCGGUUCAAUCCCACCUUUUAGUUUGUCCAAGAACCUGACCCGAAUAAACCUUUCUCAUAAUUAUUUAACAGGCCCGAUUUCUUCCUCUCACUGGGAUGGCCUAGUGAAUCUAGUGACUCUUGACUUGCGAGACAAUUCACUGAAUGGAAGUCUCCCCAUGCUCCUGUUUUCCCUCCCAUCACUGCAGAAGAUACAACUGAGCAACAACAAAUUUUCUGGUCCCUUGAGUAAAUUUUCAGUUGUGCCUUUUUCUGUACUGGAGACCCUUGAUUCGAGUAGCAACAAUCUGGAAGGGCCAAUACCUGUAUCUGUCUUUGAUCUCCAUUGUCUUAACAUCCUUGAUCUUUCUUCCAACAAAUUCAAUGGCACUGUUGAACUAAGCAGCUUUCAGAAACUUGGAAAUCUUAGCACUCUUAGUCUUUCAUACAACUUCUUGUCCACCAAUGCGAGUGUUGGUAAUCCCACUUCACCUCUGCUGUCGAAUCUUACCACAUUGAAAUUGGCUUCUUGCAAACUCAGUACAUUACCUGAUCUUAGCACCCAGUCAAGAUUGACACAUUUAGACCUUUCCGAUAACCAAAUUCGCGGGAGCAUACCUAAUUGGAUUUGGAAGAUUGGUAAUGGAUCUCUUAUGCAUUUGAAUCUCUCUCAUAAUUUACUGGAGGAUCUGCAGGAAACUCUCUAAUUUUACUCCUUAUUUGUCCAUCCUUGACCUACAUUCCAACCAGCUCCAUGGCCAAAUCCCCACUCCUCCCCAAUUUUCCAAAUAUGUGGAUUACUCAAACAACAGUUUCAACUCUUCCAUCCCAGAUGAUAUUGGUACUUACAUGUCCUUCACUAUUUUCUUCUCUCUUCCGAAGAAUAACAUCACUGGAAGUAUUCCUAGAUCCAUCUGCAAUGCAACUUACCUGCAAGUUCUUGACUUCUCUGACAAUGACUUUAGUGGCGAAAUACCAUCAUGUUUAAUUCAGAAUGAGGCUCUUGCAGUGUUGAAUCUAGGGAGGAACAAGUUUGUUGGCACUAUACAUGGGGAAUUGCUGCACAAGUGUCUUUUACGGACGCUAGAUCUCAGUGAGAAUCUUUUACAAGGAAACAUUCCAGAAUCUCUAGUUAAUUGCAAAGAGUUAGAGAUUUUAAACCUUGGGAACAACCAGAUUGAUGAUAUCUUUCCUUGCUGGUUGAAGAACAUAAGCAGUUUGCGUGUCCUUGUUCUGAGAGCCAACAAAUUCCAUGGAACCAUUGGAUGUCCCAAGAGUAAUUCUACCUGGGCAACGCUUCAGAUUGUCGACCUAGCCUUCAACAAUUUCAGUGGUAAGUUGCCAGCAAAAUGCUUAUCGACCUGGACAGCAAUGAUGGCGGGUGAAAAUGAAGUCCAAUCCAAGCUCAAAAUCCUGCAAUUUAGGGUUCAACAAUUCAGUCAAUUGUACUAUCAGGAUACUGUAAGAGUUAUCAGCAAAGGUCAAGAAUGAGUUGGUGAAGAUCCUAACUCUCUUCACCUCCAUUGACUGGUCGUACAACAAUUUUGAAGGGGAGAUACCAGAAGUGAUAGGGAACUUCACAUCCCUUUAUGUUCUCAACUUAUCGCAUAAUGGUUUCACAGGCCAAAUCCAAUCGUCAAUAGGGAAUCUGCGACAACUUGAAUCAUUAGACCUCUCGCAAAACAGGCUGAGUGGAGAGAUACCUACACAGCUUGCGAACCUAAAUUUCCUUUCAGUCCUGAACCUCUCAUUCAACCAAUUGGUGGGAAGGAUCCCUACAGGUAAUCAAUUGCAAACAUUUUCACCAAAUUCCUUCGUGGGUAACAGAGGAUUAUGCGGCUUCCCCGUAAACGUAAGUUGCGAAGAUGCUACACCACCGGCGUCUGAUGACGGGCACUCAGGCUCCGGGAUGGAGAUUAAGUGGGAAUACAUAGCUCCUGAAAUUGGAUUUGUGACAGGAUUGGGAAUCGUGAUUUGGCCUCUAGUGUUGUGCAGGAGAUGGAGGAAAUGCUACUACAAACAUGUUGAUAGAAUUCUUUCAAGGAUUCUCCAAGGAAGAGCAAGUGGUGGAAGAAGAGCUCACAGAAUUCGCCUCCGGAGGCGGAGAAUGUAGCCGUGGUGCAGAGGGAUGAAGUGAUUAGUCAAGAGUCCAUUUCCAUUAAUCCAAUCCUAUGUUUCAUUGAAGGAAUAUUAAAAAGGGGUCCAUAUUAUUGGAUGGGCCUUCAAUCCGUGUGUCAAAUGUAAUUCUGGCUUGCUUCUUAUAAAUUUAAUCGAAUGCAUAAUUUUAUAUUUGGACAAUGUCAUGGUGAAGUAGAUUUUCAAAGUAACAUUUUUCUUACCAUAUUCAGCCCAAUCAACACAUCUCAAGCCAUAAGGGAUACAACAUUGAUAAGCAAGUAAUUAUCAUACUAGGUGGUAAGGUGGCUGCCCAUCUACUUAUAAAAGUUUCAUCCUCUUACAGGCUUUCACAUUAAAUUUGGCAAUGGUUCUCACUUUAUUUUAUUUUUUACCACAUUUUUUUAUUAUUUUGUUAAUUUAUGGGAAGAAAAAAAUUUAUCAAUUUUUUUUAUAGUCCAUUGUUCCAAUGAAAUGAUUAAACAAUGAUAAGAGUAUGAGAUUUUCAAAAGUAGAAGGUCAAUCGAUAUAACUUGUAAAUUUUUAGAUUUUAAUGGAAUUUGAAAAGUACUAAUAUUAUCAUGCAAGUGAAAUAACAACAUGAACUUGAAAAAUUAAACCCAAAACCAUCUCUAAAAUUAUCAAUAUCCUGACCCAACUUCACAUUCAACUUGAAUCUCUUUAAACAAGUUCAAUCCUUUCUAUUUUUCAAUUUUCUUUCACUUUUUUUUUUCUUUCUAGAAUUAGACUCUUUAUGGGUACCAUGAAAAAGAUUGCUAGCUAGGAAUGUAAAGCAUGGUUUUUAAGAAUGAUAAGUGCUCAUAUAUAUUUUGAAUCAAAUUUAAGAGAAAGUUCAUUACAAUGAAUUGAUUUUCACUUAACUACUCAUAAUUCUAGUAUGAUACAAGGAUUCCAUAUAAUCCAAAUCAUAAAUCCAAAUAAGAACUUUAUGUCUAUGGGAAAUCUAAUAAGCUCUAAUUGAAGUCAUCUAAAUUUAUCAUUUGAUAUUUAAGCUCUAAUUGAAUCCAUUAGAAUUGUUAUUUGAAUUUUAGACAUAUUAGAUAUCAUUUAGACUUCUUUUAGAUAAUUCGUAUAUCUUGUUUUCCAGGAAAUUUGAUUUCUUUGUCCAAACUUGAUGUUUUCGAACAUACUUUCAAAUUUAAUUAGAAACAAAUGUCUCAAUUUUUUUCAAAUAAUCAUCUUUUCCAUUCUAAUAUCUUACAUGAUGAUUUGUAGAAGUUGAAACUCGAUAACCUUUUUACCAAGAUCCUUGUUACCUUGCACUAUAAUGUUUAGUAGAUAAGCUUUUAGUUUUCUAGUGACAUAAAUGUUGGAGAUUAGUAGAGAAUGAAAAUCUUCAAAACUUAGAUUUUAUUGAUACUCAACGUGUAUGUGGAUUGCAUUAGAGUAAAACCAACCAAACACACUAAGAAAUAAGCUACUAGGAAAAAAAUAAUAAAAAUUAUAUUAGAAAAAAAAAUCCAUAUGCAUUCGUAUAUAACGGAGCUUACAACCAAUCUACAAAUAUUAAUAAAAUAUUCGUAUACAAACGGAUUUUUCACUAGCCGUUGGAGCAUUUAAUGCUCCGUUAUCUUUGACCAGACAUCGAUCAAGAAGGCAAAUACCUCGACCAGGAAGGAAAGGCUAUUAGCAGAGAGAGAGAGAGAGAGAGAGAGAGAGAGUGUGUUUUUUGCUCCUCUCGACUAGAUCUCAAUCAAGAAGGAGUAAUCGGUCAACCAGUACCCUGGUCGGUUGAGCCGGUUUGGCCAGUGUCUCGACUGGUUCACCAUUUUUGGCCCAAAAAACCUAUAUUUUUUUGCUAUUUUCUCUUCUAACACUUAGGCAAGGUAUUUAGGUAAAUUAAUUUGCCAAUUUUGAAAUGAUUUGCCUAAGGUUCAUUUGAUAAAACUCGGGUUUUGAUGGAAAUGUAACUUUAAAGCAUAAACUGAGUUUUUCAAAUAUGCAUGAAAUGAUACGUAAAUCCUAAGUGCACCCAUGCAUUCAUCUUACAUAUGUUUCCUAUGAUUAAAGGUCUUCCAAAAGUCUUAAUCUUGCAUCCAUUAGGUCAUUUGAUGAAUUUCCAAACUGACAUUUGAAAUUGUUUAUAAUUCAAACCAAUUAGUAACUUAACCAUAAUUUGUUAUCAUCAAAACAUGAUUAGGAGAACCCUUGGGCUAACAAUCUCCCCCUUUUUUAUGAUGACAAACCUUGGUUAUCUAAGAGAAAAAGAAUCUCCCCCUCAAACCAAUCAUGGAUCAACAAUCAAAAUUUACGAAGUUAAAACCAAGAUAAUCAAGACAUACUAGAGAGAAUUUGCAAUAAGAAACAACGUAAGUCAUCAAAAAUAUAAGAAUAUCAUAUAUAAGUCAAUGUAUCAAUAUCCAGUAUAUACGAUCCAAGUGAUAUGACAAUGAUAUGCAUGUAAGUCUCCUAGAUCCUAAAAUAUCUCCCCCUUUUGGCAACAUAAAAAAUGAACUAAUAGGGUCUCGAAGGAAUCAAGGAUGAGGAAGUGGAGGAGAAAACACAGAGCGCAAAUAAGCCAUCAUAUUCUCAUGUUGACUCUCCAAACGAUCCUCAAUACGCUCAAUCCCCUAUUGGAGAUACUCAAACUGUGAAGUGAAGCCAACCUGAUGAUCCAUGCAAUCCUCCAUAAAGUAGAACCGUGUGUCACUGACUACAACAAGCUCCUCCAUAUGAGUGCUUAGAGAGCUAAUCUAAGCAGAUAAAUCCAUCCAUGGAGCAUGGUCAAGAGCAAGAGGUGUUUAAGCAAAUGGUAUCUCAAAAAGUGUAGGCUUAGUGAAUGCAAGUUCAAAGGAAGACUUAGUGAAUGACAAUUAAGUAUAUGGACCCGCUAUAAAAGUUGGCUCAAACAUCAUUGGCUCAGAGAAAGUAGUCUCAAACUGAACACCACUAACUGGAGUGGAGGAAUGUCAAGCUCGGGCUCUCUCUGUUGAUAGCCACUCUGAGGGUCUACUCCACACUCCAUCUUUUUAAUCUCUACCUCCUCCUCAACUCCGGGAUGUGCCUGUCCCUGUCCCCGAGCUUGUGUCGUUGCUCUCUUUGCUUUCCUUACCCAAGAACCAUUUGUGGCCUUCUCAAAUUUCAUCUUCCCCAUGGACUGAUCAUCAUACGUAUCAUAAGCGUUGGGGACCUCAAAGUUUGUCUCUCUGCUCAAGUCAAUGCCGACAUCCUUGCACACUCUAGUAAGGAAGUGACCAUAGGGGAGUACGCGAGUCGUGCUCUCGCAACAUGAGAUCAAGUGCAUCAUCAUCAAGUACCCCAAGUGGAUUCGUCUUCCAGUCAAAAUAGAGUCAAUAAGGAAUGCCUCAUAAUAAGAGACCUCAUCUCGGUGUCCACCCCGUGCAUAUGAUGUAGCACUUUGCUGAUGACCGUCAGGUUGUGUGCUGAGGGUUUGUCCAUCCCGUGGGCAUCUACAAGUUCACAAAUCCUCUUAAUGGCUCUAGGCUCAAAUCUUGGCACAAUGGGCCACAUUUUGGACUCAUAUACUUUGAGUCCAACUGGAGCAAUAUCGAAAAUACUACAAAUGCUCUUUAGUCCAGACGAAUCUUGACGCCUUUAACAGUAGAAAUGAUCGAGCCACCUGAUGAGAAUCAACAAGCAUUCGAGGAUCCAUUGUAUGUUCCAGUUGGGCCUAUUACUAAAGCAAGAUCCAAGAAGAUUAAAGAAGCAAUUAAUGGGCUAAUUCAAGAGAUUUGGGUUGAUUCUAACGUAGGACAUUCCAAGCUUGGCCCAAAGGAAGAUGAAGGUGUAAUAAAUUUAAUCGAAGCUAUUGAGGGCUAAUCUGGCUUGAUUGGGCGUGAUUUAUGGCGUGGAUUAAUGACUGAUUGACUUUCGAACUCCAUAUCAGUUAAUAGACAUUUUUCCUAUUUUAGAGCUUCUAAUUUUAGGUUAAAUCUACCUUAAUUUUAGGCUUUUAUUAUUUAGAACGAUUUUUAGCUAUUUUCCUAUUUUGGAUUUGCUAAUUUCAGACCAACUAAACUUUUAUUUAGGGUUUUAAUAUUUAGUAAGUUUUUAUUUCAUGACAUAUAAAUAGCAUGCACUCAUUGUAAUAGAGGAUAAUUUGAUUGAAUAAAAAAUUAGAAAAGGUGAGGCUUUGCUCUUCUUUUGGUUCUUCAAGGACUAUGAACUUAUCAGGGAUUCUUCUUUGUGGCUUUCAAACUUUAUACUUUCGGUUCGUGAUUCCAUUGUAAUCAUUGGGUCAAGGUUGUUACUUAUACUUUUGGUUCACGUUUCACUUAUAAACGUUGGGUGUUCUAUCAAAAAUCUGUAUUUUAGCUUUCUUGGGCAAUUAUUCCAAUACUGUUUGUUGGGUCUCAAAGCGUGUCGAUUGAGGUUCACAUCAUUUGGUAUUAGAGCUCAGGUUCUAAAAUCAGUCGAUUGAGGUUCGCAUCACCACCUAUGCCAUAAGUCGCCUUUGAGUAAAAAGCUCACACCAAAGUCGAGAAAAUCGACUCCAAAACAGUGACCACAGGAAACCAACCCAUCCUAGUGAAUAAACCCUCGAAUCCGAAGUGCUCAAGUUGGGGAAAAUUAAUAUUUCUCCUCAGAACUACUCGUCCCAAAGCAAAGUGAUGUUUGUACCGUUGGUAGUCCACCACGAAGUUGAACAAGGCAGUAUCAAACCUUGCCUUUCGGGUUUGACAAGGUUCCAAAAGCUUGAAUCCUAAAUCCUUAAGAGGGUUUAUAUAGGAUUUCCUAUGGACUUAAGUGACUUGAGCCCAAAUUUGGCUUGAGUCACCCGAUCUAGCCCACUUGGGUCCUAAUUAAUUAAUUAUUUUAAUGGACUCCAAUUAAUUAAUUAGCUCAAAACACCAAUCUAGAAAAAUUGUUCAUAAGAUCUUGUGCAACCUUGUAUUUUUACUAAAACACCCUUAUGUGCCCUUAUGAACUACAAAUCUAAAUCUCUCAAAUAAAACAUGUCACCAUGAACUAGGAGCUCAAGCGGGGACCAUUGGGACCUAUAAGAUUAUAUUGGCUCCCUCAUAAUUGAAUUCCAAAAUUGAUUCGAGAAUCCACUAAAGAGAAACAAUUGUACUUCGGUAUCCUACAUUAAGACAAAGCUUAGGUUUGUAACCUACUAUUCAUUGCAUGCAAAUUCCUCAUGAAUUAGUGUUUGUAAUCUAAUAAGGUAGUGUUAUCAACCUAUCAAGAUUAGCUCUUUAAUCUUUAAGUUAUAAAUCCUCCUAUUAUGUGAUCAAUUGACAUACUCUAGCUUAUAAAGAACAUAUAUCAAAAUUCACUUAAAGAAUUACUACAACCACAUAUUUCAUAAUCAUAUGCCCUUUAGAUCAUCCAAGGGAACACUUUGUCCCAAUUCUAUGAGAUGCCAUGGUGCCUCUAUUGAGAAUAUGUAUUAUCACCAACCUCCAUCAACAAUUGCAAUUCAUAGGGAAUCUAUAUAUAUAAUCACUUUAGGGUCUUACCUAAUGGUCAAAACCUCCUAUUGAUUUUUAGCAUAGACUUAAUAUCUUCUUAAAGUUGAGAGUCCAUGCAAUAUAGUAACUUUGUGAAUCAUGACAACCCAAUGACCUUAUGUCAUGAUUCAUCAUAGGCACGAUUUGAAAUAUUGCAAAAUUUCAGCGAAAUAUCGUCGAUUUUUCGCUUAUCGGAGAGAAUCAACAUGACAUUCGUCAUUGAUAAUCAAUUGACGGAUUUAUUGCGGAUUUUUUUGGGAAUAUCGGUAAUAUUUUGGCAUUUAUCGACAUUUUUGCCUAUUUUUCGAAAAAUUUCCCGAUUUUUUGGUGCCAACCACUUUGGUCAACACGAAAUCAACCCUCACAUUUUUUGUUGUAAUGCCUAGGGGAUUUGAACCUAGGUCAAAAGGCUUGGGUUGAACCCUGGUUACAACUGGGCCAAAAUGUCAUUUGUAAAUAUAUGUUCAAUUUAAAUAUGUUAAAGUUCAGCAUUUAAAAAAUAAUUUUAAUUAUUUUAUUUUAAAUUUUAUGUAAUUGAUUAAUAAAAAUAUAAAAACCAACAUUAUAAUUUUUUUAACAAGUCUUUUUUUAUAUCAUUUAUAUGAUAAUUAAAUAUAAAAAAUAUAAAUAUUAAAAAAUCAUAUAUGUAUCAUCAUUUAUUUUACAUUAUUGAAUGCAUUUAAAUUAAAUAAAUUAUAGUUUUAAUAUUAAAUGUAUUAUUAUUGAUCUCAUUAAUCUUAUUUUAAAAAAUAAUUAUCACUUCACUUUUAAAUUUUUUAUAUUUAUUUGUUUAUUUUUUAAUAUCUUUAUUUUAAAAUAUUAAAAAUAUAAAUUUAUUCAAAAUAUACUAAAAUAUAUAUAAAAAAAUUAAUAAUGAAGUUCUAAUAUUUUAUAAAUUAAAAUUAAUUUGAUAAGAUAAAUAAUAAAUUAUAUAUUAUGAUUGAUAUAUCCUUGCUUAGAGAUAAUUUUCUCCUUAAUCAUACUUAUGUCAAUUAUACUUACAAAUUAACUUUAGCAUGUGCCUUUUUACUUAUUUUAUCAUUUUUUUUUGGAGUUUUUCCAAAUAUUUCAAUGAAUUUUGAAUAAUUUUCACCUCACCAAAAUUUUUGUCAAAAUAUUCACCAAUAUUUCUCCGAUAUUUUCAAUAUAAUCGUAAAAUUCAAGUAUCAAUAUAUCCAUAUUUUCCAAUAUUUCAAACCAUGAUCAUAGGUCUUGUCUUAUGUAUAACCAAUACACACUAGUGUACUCACAAUAGGAACCCUAUCUCAAUGGUCAAGAUAAGUCAUAUUUUAUAACCAUACACACUAGAUUUUAAAAGUGUGAGAUAAUGCUCAUAAAAAUAACAAAGUAGAGAAUUUGUUGAUAAUUAUUCCCAAAUAAAUGUCAUUAAAACAAUUUGAACUAGAAUUUAAAAUAAAAAGAUGUCACAUGGAUUAACCUAGGAUUUGAGAAAUUUGGCCUCAUCAUAGGCCAUACUACAAACCUUAGAUGAAUUUUAGGAGAAAAUGAGUAGAAGUUAGAAUAAUAAAACAGUUCUUUUAUUUUCCAAAACAAAAAAAUUGGAAAACACAUUUUACAAUCAAAAAAUAUUUUAUGCUUUUUGUUCUCAAGAACAGAAAACAAAGUGUUUCAGAUAAUAUCUUUUAGUUAUUUUAAUUAUUUUCACUUAUUUUUUUAGAGUUGUUUUAAAAAAUAAUUAUAGAAAUAUGUAUCAUGAUUAAAAAUAAAGCUCGAUCUAGAUAUAAAAAUAAUUUUUAAAACUUACUUAAAAAUAUUAAAACCAUUUCAAAUUCUCAAACAGACUUUUAGUUUACAAAACAUCAAAGAAUAGUUUUUAAAAAUUGUUCUUAAAAACUAUUUUUCAGAAUUAUUUCAAAAACAGUUAUCACACAGGUCCUUAAUUUCUAGCCUGUGAAAGAAGAGACAAAAAUGAGUAAUUUUGUUUAAUAUAAAUAAACAAAGAGUCAUGUGAAUAAAGGGAUCCUUGAUAUAACAACAAAAAUCAACCUUUCCAACUUCUCAAGUGAUUCUAUCUCUUUGUUGACCAUCGUGACAACCUUAAUCUCUUUUCAUUAGCAGUAGGAGUAAGGUAGAUUAGCAGUAGAUUCAUCAAUGGGGAAACCAUUUUAUGCUUGUUCCUAUCAUUUAGGUUUACAUCAAUGAGUGGUUUGGAGGGUGUACUACCUAUAGUCUAUUUAAAUUUGAGGGGAAAGGCUUUUAUCCUUUAAAGGACUUCUUGCCACCCUUCUUCAAUUUUGGGGAGAGUUCGAUCAAUAUUCAAUAACCAUUUAGCAUUAUUAUCCAAGGGGUCAUGGGAGAGAAGUUUCUCUAGCAUUGGUUAUGCCAUAUCCAAUAUACACAUCACUAGAGGGUGACAUUAUCCCAAUAAUCACAUCAUGCCCUUCAGUACCAGUAUAGUUUUGAUCAAUGCAAUUUGCUGUGAAUUUCUGUAGUGGUAGAAUUAUAGCCAGGAGGUUCUAGCCCCAGUAUCCACCAUAGGCCAGCAAAGUGAAUAAUCCUAGGAGAAUAAGCUCAGAAGCACAAGGAUUUGAUCAAUGGAACCUGGUUUUUUUUGUUUUAAUUUCUUUACUGAUAUAAUAAACCUUCUGUUUAUUUGGUUCGCUGUCAUUAUUAUAAUCUCUAGUAGUUGCACCAUCCUGGGUGAAUGAGCUAUUACCCCUACCAAUUGAACUUUUUUUUGGUUAUAGUCCUUGGUAUUCUCUUGGAAUUGACAACCAUUUGGAAAAUAAAAAUUCCUUUAUUUAGACAUAAAAAGAAUCCACAAGCAUGGACCAUUGCUAAAAGAAGAUUGAUAUGAGACUAUUCAACCCGAGACACUAUUUGCCUAGGUAUAUUUCGGGAUGGUGAUUAAUUCCUCUAAUAGGACUAGAACAAAUGGCUAAAUUGCUCUGAUAUGCUCACAUCUUUAAUCAAUAAGUUUACACUAAAUCAGUAUAACUCCCUACCAAAACGCUAGGUGAGAGAUCAGGGGCAAAGCUAGGUAGUGUCUGGGAGGGGCAAAUGAAAUUUUAAUAAAAAUAUUAGGGUUUAUUGCUAACUAUUUGGUUACUGGUGAAGUUCCAAGUGAGUGGAAAACACAAGACAGGAAGCACUUUUUUGCAAAGAUUCAUGCUUAUUAUUGGGAAGAGCCCUUCCUUUUCAAGUAUUGUGCAGAUCAGAUCAUAAGGAAGUGUGUCCCUGAAGAAGAGCAACAAGGGAUCCUCAGCCACUGCCAUGAGAAUGCCUGUGGAGGCCACUUUGCCUCUCAGAAAACAGCAAUGAAGGUCUUGCAAUCAGGGUUUACUUGGCCAUCGCUUUUUAAAGAUUCCCACAUCAUGUGUAGGAGUUGUGAUAGAUGCCAAAGACUCGGGAAGCUUACAAAAAGAAACCAAAUGCCCAUGAACCUGUGGACCCGCAUUUUUCACGUGCGUCCCCACUCGAUCGGCGAGACUCGCUUUUUAUUUAUUUGUGAAAAAUUGAUUUUUGAAAAAAAAGUUGGAGUCGCCACUUAUUUUAUUUUUAUUUUUGAAGGGAAAAUAAAACAAGAAAUAAAACCCUAAAAAAAAUGACUCCAUAAUUUUUGGAAAAGCGUGUCUUUGAAAACCCAAGUCUUGGUCCGGGGAUCAGGUUACUUAUUGGGAAGGUACCUCUAGGAGGUAACACCCCUCUAAGCCCUAAAGAGGUCUCUACUAAUUAAGUUAAGGGGAAUAUGGCAAUUAAUCGGUUAAUUAUGGAUACCUAAGUAGGCUAGGUGAUUUCAGAAAAUUUGCAUGCUAAACAAGAUCAAAUUGCCNNNNNNNNNNNNNNNNNNNNNNNNNNNNNNNNNNNNNNNNNNNNNNNNNNNNNNNNNNNNNNNNNNNNNNNNNNNNNNNNNNNNNNNNNNNNNNNNNNNNNNNNNNNNNNNNNNNNNNNNNNNNNNNNNNNNNNNNNNNNNNNNNNNNNNNNNNNNNNNNNNNNNNNNNNNNNNNNNNNNNNNNNNNNNNNNNNNNNNNNNNNNNNNNNNNNNNNNNNNNNNNNNNNNNNNNNNNNNNNNNNNNNNNNNNNNNNNNNNNNNNNNNNNNNNNNNNNNNNNNNNNNNNNNNNNNNNNNNAACAAAGAAUUAAGAUCAACUAAUGCAUUUAAAUUAAAAAUGAAUUGAAAUCAAACUAAUUGGGAUUAAAAAUACAAACUUUAUUCAAUACAAUUAUUUAAACUUAAGAAUUAAAAUCAACAAAAUACAUUUAAACUAAAAAAAAAAAGUUAAAAUCAAACUAAUUGGGAUUAAAAAUACAAACUUUAUUCGAUAUGAUUAUUUAAACUUAAGAAUUAAGAUCAAUAAAAUGUAUUUAAACUAAAAACGAAUUGGAAUCAAACUAAUUGAGAUUAAAAACAUAAACUUUAUUUAACGUGAUUAUUUAAAGUCAAGAAUUAAGAUCAACAAAAUACAUUUAAACUAAAAAACAAAUUAAAAUCAAACUAAUUGAGAUUAAAAAUACAAACUUUAUUCGAUAUGAUUAUUUAAACUAAAGAUUUAAGAUCAACAAAAUACAUUUAAACUAAAAAACGAAUUGAAAUCAAAUUAAUUGGGAUUAAAAAUACAAACUUUAUUUAACGUGAUUAUUUAAAACAAAGAAUUAAGAUCAACAAAAUAAAUUUAAACUAAAAAACAAAUUAAAAUCAAACUAAUUGGGAUUAAAAAUACAAACUUUAUUCGAUAUGAUUAUUUAAACUUAAGAAUUAAAAUCAUUAACAAACUUAAACUAAAAGAUAGAUUAGAAUUAAACUAAUUGGGGAUUUAAAAAUAAAAUAAUAUAAACUUUAACACAAAGAAUUAAUCAAAAACUAAAAUUUCCAAAAAAUAAAAAAAAAAAUAAAAAAAAAUCUAGGCUAAAUAAAAGUACUAUAUAGAAAACUAACCUUUGAAGUGAAAGAGAAAAUCCUCUCUUGAUGAUUAAAUGACAGCCCGAUCUCCGUUCGAAGUCCCUUGCUUUUUUCCCAAAAUUCCGUGUGCUCUGCCCCCCCCAAGAAAAAUCUCCUAUUCUUUUCCUUUUCUCACCUAUAUAUAUCACCCCUCAAGACCUAAAUUUGUUUCCAAAAAGGAAAAUUCUCCUCCUUCCUUUCUUCUUCUCUUCUUUUUUUAAAUCCUCCAAUCAAAAGCAAUCUUCCCAAUUUCAAAUUCCCCUCCAAAACCUUCCAAGGAGAGUCCCAUCUUCCUUAAACUCCAAUGGUAAGUUUCCUUGCAAAAACAUGAAAUUUUUGAAGUUAAAUAAUUGCAUGUAUAGAUAAAUAAGUAAAUAAAUUAAAAAAUGGUAAAAAUAAUAAAUAAAUAAAUAAGUUAAGGAAAAUAAUAUAAAGAGGAAGAUAACCAAUAAAAAGUGAAUGAUAAUCAUAAAAUUAAAAUUAAAAACAAAAUAAAUAAAUAAAUAAAUAAAAUAAAAUAAAAUAAAAUAAAAGUCUUCGUAGGCCUAGUGUGCCUAAACGGGCCUAAGGUGAGACUAAGUGGGCCUAGGGUAGUGCCUAAUGGGCCAAGUGUAUCUAAAAGCUAUCCUAAAAAAACAAGAAAAGCCUAAAUCUAAGUUAGGGCUGCCAAGGGUCACAAUAAGGGAUCAAAUAAUCCCUCAACCAAAAUCUCCGAGGUGACUCAGAAAAAGGUAAGUGGUAUGAGUAGCCAUGGGCCACCAAGGAACUAUUGUGGAGCAUUGAAAAUGAAUUUUAAAGACAUGUGCUAAAGGGACAAAAUUGAGGGUCUACAGAACCCCAUCCUUAUAGUUGAUCUUUUUGAUGUUUGGGGUAUUGACUUCAUGGGACUUUUCCCAAUGUCUUUUGGUAACUCUUAUAUAUUGGUGGGGGUGGACUAUGUUUCCAAAUGGGUGGAGACAAUCCCCUGUAAACAUAAUGAUCACAGGGUGGUUCUCAAAUUUCUCAAGGAGAACAUCUUCUCAAGAUUUAGGGUGCCCAAGGCCAUAAUCAGUGAUGGAGGUACUCAUUUUUGCAAUAAACCUUUUGAAGCACUAUUAGCCAAGUAUGGAGUGAAGCAUAAGGUAGCUACACCUUAUCAUCCUCAAACUUCCGGGCAAGUGGAGCUAGCAAACAGAGAAAUAAAAAACAUACUGAUGAAAGUGGUGAUUACAAGCAAAAAAGAUUGGUAUAUUAAGCUGCAUGAUUCAUUAUGGGCAUAUAGAACAGCUUAUAAGACUAUUCUUGGCAUGUCUCCCUAUCGUCUCGUCUAUAGCAAAGCAUGUUACCUCCCUGUGGAAGUUGAAUAUAAAGCUUGGUGGGCAAUCAAGAGGUUGAACAUGGACUUGAUCAGAGCUGGGGCAAAGAGGUGCUUAGACCUUAAUGAGAUGGAGGAAUUAAGAAAUGAUGCUUACAUCAAUUCCAAAGUUGCAAAACAGAGGAUGAAGAAAUGGCAUGAUCAGCUAAUCUCCAACAAAGAAUUGAGGAGAUGACAAAGAGUCCUACUCUACGACUCAAGGCUCCAUAUUUUUCCAGGGAAGCUCAAGUCAAGGUGAAUAGGUCCUUUCAUUAUUCACCAAGUACAUCUUAAUGGAGUGGUGGAAUUACUAAAUUCCAAUGGCAUAGAUACCUUCAGAGUCAAUGGUCAUCGCCUCAAGCCAUUCAUUGAGUCGUUCAAGCCAAAAAAUGAGGAAAUCAACCUCCUUGAGCCACAAAAAUCCUGAUCAGAGAAGGGUUAGAUGGACUUGGUUUCACCAAAGUCCAUAAUUUUGUUAAAUAUGUUAAUUUUUAAGUUUUGUAAAUUAUUUGAUUGUAAUUCUGAUCUUAAAUUAUGUUAAUUGUAACUAAUUUUUUUGAAUGAUUAAAAUCAGGAGGAAUUACAAGAAAAUCGAAAGAAGCUGCUCCCAGCUCCUCAGAGCCAUCACAGGCCCCUCUUUUUGUUAAUCAGCCUUUGCCUCAUUCAGAGCCUCCUAUAGGAGAGACAGCUAAGCCAUUAUUUCCACAGCAUCACUUCAUGUCACUCAGGAGGUACCACUUCCUCCCUAUUUUUCAAUUGCUUCUGUCACAUUGAGGACAAUGUUCAGUUUGGUUGGGGGGAGAGUUGAGGAAGGAAGUUUUUGUUAUUAAUGCUAAGUUAUUUUGGUAAUUUAGUUGCUUUUUGCUUAAUUUUAAAAUUUUUUAAGUUUUUAUUCUACUCUCCAUGGUUAUUAAGGAAAAAUUCUCAAAAAUGAAAUGAGAUAAAUUAAAUUUUUGUCUUUUUACUUGACUUAGAUUUUGUAUUAUGCUUACUAAAGUUGAUGAAUUGUUGAAACUUCUAUUGAAUUCAACCUUAAUUCUUCCACUUUAAGCUAUUCACACACUGUGCACAAUAGGUUCUGAUUAUAAGAUGAAGAACUAUUUCCCCCUUAACUUAGGAAAAUUUUAGACUUGGUACCUUUGACCUCAUUUAAUAGUGUUGGGACACCUUAUAAAAGGCCAAUGAGCCUUUGAAAAAAAGAAGAAAGAAAGAAAAAUGUUUACUUGCCUUGAAACCCGAGCAAGGUUUGAGGGGUAUAUGGUGAAAAUCUUAAAAACCUGGUGCCCUAAGCCUUCAGUGGUUGGGAGUCACCGACCUCAAUGCUCGUUACAAGGGUGGAUAGGUGGAGUUUAACAUACUGUAGGUGCUUGGGUAUUAAAAAUUCAUUCUCAAAAGUCCGGGGUAAAAUCCGAGUUAGUGGUUGAAAAAUCCUUAAAGCUUGAUGCCCUAAACCUUAAUUGGUUGGGAGUCAUCGAUGGACCCCCGUUACAUGGACAAUUUAGAAAAGAAUACCUUUAGCCUUGUACUCCUACAAUGAAAAAAAAAUUGUGAAAAAAGAGGUGCGUUCUUAGCCUAUUGGAGGUUGAUUAGUUUGCUAAGCUUUGAAAAAGAACUAGGUUGGGGGAGAGAUUAGUUUAACAUACUAUAUUCAGAAACUAAUAAAUAACACUUAGAUUUUUGUGGAAUAGUAAGGUUUGACCAUCUGGGAGUGGAAACUCUUUUAAAGCUUAAAUUUGCAUAAUGUCGUCUCUAUAAGAAUUGUGAUUAAGACAAGUUAUUUGAUAACUCUUGUUGAAGCUUGAGUUUUAUUUCUUUAAUGUUCCAUGUGAGAGUUAGAUCAUCAUGCCACUUGAAAAUUGUUUUUUGAUCAGCAUGAUGUUGUAAAUUAUAGUACUGUUUAUUUUUAUUUUUUUCUCUCCUUCAUUGCUAAGGGACUAGCAAUAUGUCGGUUGGGGGGAGUGAUUACUACUCAAAAAGUGCUAUUUCAUAGCUUGUAAUAAACUCUUUUAAACACUUUUGAGUAGUAGUUAUCACCUUUUAACCCAAUUAACAUCUUAAGGACCCUUGCAAUCAAUUCUAAUCAAAUUGUGUUAAGUUUUGGUGUUUUGAUAGCUUUUUUAUCACCAAAGCAAUCAGAGAUUGAGGAGAGUUCUUUAGAAUCCAUGACAAAAGAUGUUCGGACAGGGCGUCCGGACACACCAUUGGAGAGCAGCGGAGCGUGGGCUGUAGAAAGGCUUGCUCACUGUAGUCAAUGAUCCGGACAACAUAUCCGGAUAGGAUAUGCUAUCAUCCGGAGUGUGAUGUUCGUGAGUGCCGGAUAGCAUGGCGGCGCAUGUCCUCUUGGGGAAUCCGGAUGAAGUUGAGUCGGAUGGGUCCCUACACCUUACACACGCAGACAGUCCCUCUUGCGCAGCAUAGCUCAGUCCACCCGGGGAGGAAUUCUGUGCGCCAACAUUUCACAUCCGGAAUUCCGUGCGCCGACAUUUCACAUCCGGAAUUCCGUGUGCCGACAUUUUACAUCCGGAUAUCUCACAUCCGGAUGGGAGAGGAAGACGCUUCAACUUCUCCGGAUAUACAUAUCCGGACCUUUUGAUAACGCUUACCCACAGAGUUCUUCUCUCAGUAUACAGUGCAGCGGUGUUCUCCUGAAGCUUCCUGAUAUUUCCGACCGACAUUUUGAGAUAUUUUGGGAUAUUUUUCUUUAGAUAUUUGUUGUCUAAAUCCCCAAACUCUCCUUGUAAUCCACCUAUCAUAGGAUUCCUUAGUCUUUAAGCAAGAAAAAGGGUGAAUAACCUCAUAUAUAUAGUUUGUAAUUUUCUUUACAAAGAGAAUUAUUAUGUAAUCAGCAGAAGGAAGAAAUAUAUUUUACAGAGCACUUGCUCUGUUUUUCCUUCUUAUAAUUGUUUUCUCGUUAGUUUUCUUACUAGCCAAACAAGCUCUGAGGAAGUUUCCUCAGAGAAUGAGUGGCUAGACUUUUAGUUCCUUGGAGUUAAGGUUGCCGGGAAAGGUUCCAAGUGCAUGAAUUAGUAGCUUUGUGGUUUCAGCCAUUAAUGGAGAGAAAGUGUGAUCCUUUAAUGAUUUCUAUGUUUUUAGUUAACUUAAAACACUUUCAAUUCACUUGAGCCAACACUUGGUAAGGCAAGUGAGCUCCGUCCAUGGAGAUGCACUAGUUUACCUCUUGCGAGCUUUUGGGAAGUGACUUGGAGGUAGGAUUUUCUAGAAUUGCCAACACUUGGUAAGCUUUUGGACUCCAAGGAGACAUCCAUUAGUUAUCUCUUGCGAGCUUGAGAAGGGAAGUCCAAAGUUAAAGAUCACCUUGAAUGGCAAAUGCUAGGUGAGAGGCACGAGCCAUUGCAAGUUGCAUCAGUGAGAGGGAAUUAGAGCUGAAAUCCAUUUAAAUGAUACAUCUGUACAGCACUGGUUAGAGAAUUGACUAUAUGUUAAUUCUCUAAUGUGAGGAAAUGAACCAAAUGACCGGAGCUCUGUUUUUGCAUAAGGAACCUCCCCUGUGAACCUAAACCUCCAAGGAAUGUUUUUCUUCAUAAGUAAUUUCUAUUACUUUCUUUUUAGUUAGCUUUAAACAAAACCUCAUUUAAACAAAGUUUGUGUUUUAUUUCUUAAGCUAGCCUUGAAAUGAAAAAGCACCAAUUUACUUUGAAUUGGUAUCAGUUGUGAGUUGAAAGCCCUUCCUAGUGAACGAUCCUAGAGCCACUAUGCUAUAUUAGCUAAGCUAUCCUAAUGCAUGGUGAUAUAGGUUAUAAAUUUUGUUGAUUACUCUCUCAAUCAAAGAGCACCAGCUGGACAUGAAUCAACUGAGACACCAAUUGGGAAGGAAUCAGGAGGUGUGACCUGGGAUGCCAAUGGUCACGUUGUCGGUCUUGAUCUGAGUAGCGAAUCAAUUUCUGGUGGAUUCAAUAGCUCUAGUAGCCUUUUCAAUUUACAAUAUCUCCAGAGCUUGAAUUUGGCUGGAAACAGCUUCUGCGGAGGAUUGAACUGGCCUAACAACAACUUCUGCUCUUCUCAAAUUCCAUCAGGAUUUGACAGGCUUGCUAAUUUAAUUUAUCUGAAUUUAUCCAAUUCUGGCUUUUCUGGGCAGAUUCCAAAGGAAUUUUCGCUCUUGACUAGGUUGGUUACCAUCGAUUUCUCCAGCCUUGGUUAUCUCAUUGGAUUUCCUACACUGAAACUUCAGAAUCCAAAUCUGAGAAUGUUGGUUCAGAAUAUCAAGGAGCUUAGGGAACUUCAUCUUAAUGGUGUAGACAAUCAGCCGAGGGGAAGGAGUGGUGCCAGGCAUUGUCAUCUUCAGUGCCUAAUCUCCAAGUGCUUAGCUUGUCCAGCUGUCAUCUUUCAGGCCCAAUCCAUUCUUCCCUGCAGAAGCUUCGAUCUCUCUCAAGGAUUCGUCUGGAUGACAACAAUUUUGCUGCUCCAGUUCCACAGUUCCUCGCUAGCUUCUCAAAUUUGACUCACUUGCAGCUCAGUUCUUGUGGAUUAACUGGAACGUUUCCAGAAAAGAUCAUUCAGGUAACAACCCUACAGAUUCUUGAUUUGUCAAUUAACUUACUUGAAGAUUCUUUGCCAGAAUUCCCUCAAAAUGGAUCUCUAGAAACAUUGGUGCUUUCGGAUACAAAACUUUGGGGGAAACUACCCAACUCCAUGGGAAAUCUUAAGAAGCUGACUAGCAUAAAGCUGGCACGUUGCUAUUUCAGUGGCCCAAUCCUAAACUCAGUGGCAAACCUUCCUCAACUGAUUUACUUGGACUUGUCUGAAAAUAAGUUUUCCGAUCCAAUUCCAUCUUUUAGUUUGUCCAAGAGACUCACCGAAAUAAACCUUUCCUACAAUAAUUUGAUGGGUCCAAUUCCUUUCCACUGGGAAAAACUUGUUAAUUUAAUGAAUCUUGACCUGCGGUACAAUGGAAUUACAGGAAAUCUCCCCCCGUCCCUGUUUUCCCUCCCAUCCUUGCAGAGGUUACGACUAGACAACAACCAAAUUUCUGGUUAGUUCAAAAUUCUUUUAAAUGCAUCUUCUUCUAGAUUGAGCACCCUUGGUUUGAGUAGCAACAAUCUCGAAGGCCCGAUACCUAAUUCUGUCUUUGAACUGCGGUGUCUUAGCUUCCUUGACCUAUCUUCCAACAAAUUCAAUGGAAAGAUUGAACUCAGCAAGUUUAAAAAACUUGGGAAUCUUACUGAUCUUAGCCUUUCAUACAACAACCUGUCCAUCAAUGCAACCCUUUGUAAUCUGUCCCCUUCUAUACUGCCUAUGUUUACAACAUUAAGGUUGGCUUCUUGCAGGCUGACAACUUUACCUGAUCUUAGCGGCCAGUCAAGCUUGACACAUUUAGACCUUUCCCAAAACCAAAUUCACGAGAACAUACCUAGUUGGAUUUGGAAGAUUGGUAAUGGCUCUCUUGUGUAUUUGAAUCUCUCUCAUAAUUUACUGGAGGAUCUCCACGAACCUUUCUCUACUUUUACUCCUUAUCUGUCCAUCCUUGACCUACAUUCCAACCAGCUCCAUGGCCAAAUCCCC